RNAcentral lists this long non-coding RNA (89147 nucleotides) under Vitis vinifera (wine grape). RNAcentral describes it as "long non-coding RNA (VVIN_LNC002162)". Lineage: Eukaryota; Viridiplantae; Streptophyta; Magnoliopsida; Vitales; Vitaceae. The record is from RNAcentral.
GCGCCUCCAGAAUCUGCCGAAGUAAUCUGACUUUAUGCGGACGCUUCCAUCGUGAGUGUUGAAGACCUCGUUCCCACAGUCGGGUCUCCAAUGUCACUUGAUGCAAACUCCAGAUAUGGUCCACCAGUGGUUCUUGGACCACCUUACGCAGUAUUUGUUGCUGUAACAGCAUCUUAUGUGCACUAGUCCCUUGCCAUUCUUUGCCCUCUCCACUUGGUACUUUGAGUAGGGUGUCACAACCUCCUUUCCCGAGAGAAUUGGAGAAAUCCAUGAAUCUGCACAUCUUCGUGUAUGUACUGCAAGUACUUGUUAUAUUUUUAUUUCAGCAACACAUACCUUGGUAAUGCCAUUUCCUCUUUAAUCACUUCUAUUGCUUCUCACUUCUCACUUCUCACUUCUCACUGCACUUUUCUUCUCCUAACUCUAACCUUAUUUAUAAGGGGGAAAAACUCUAUUUAAAUGUAAGUGCAAGGAAUUUAAAUUAUGUUUAAUGGAGCGCUCAAAAAGCAAGAGGCCCAUCAUUGAUUUGGUAGGGAGCUUGUAUUAAAAUACUGAUCAAGUGGUCUGCACUUUUCUUCAGUAAGUAUAAAUCAAUGAAUAUCGGUUUAUUGCCUUGGAAGUGUGCCUAAGAUCACAUCACCAUUACCAUUACUGACUUACUCUAAUGGAGUAACUUUCUGGACACCCAAACAUUCUCAUAUCUAGUUCUUUUUAAGAUCUCCGCUUGCAUAUUAUGUAAAUGCAAGUGGACAGGGCAGUUGUAUGUCAACAUUGAUAGGGGGCCUUAUCAUACCUCAGCAGUUUUGGUCAAGGCUAGUCCUCUUUCAAAUCCGGGUUAUUCUCUUAGACUGACUUGAGUUAAGAAAAAAUUAGUGAGGAAGAGAUCUAUUUUGUGAUUUUAUGACAAAUUUGAAGAUAAAAUAUGUGAUCCAAUUUUAUCCCAAAUUGAAUUAAUUAAAAAUUAAAUUUAAAUACAAAACCAUAAUUCACAUCAUAGAGUAGUAGCAUUCACAUUUCUAUCUCCAUUUCCAUUCCCAUCUAUAAAUACCCAAUCCAAAAAUAAGUAGACGUGGAACUUGGUGUGAAAUACUAAUCCUCAUGAAAAAUAAGACUAAUUUAAUUCCAUAAGAAGAGUCUCAUGGCAUUUUUCGUGGGGUUGGGAAAAUAUGAAUUGAUUUAAUUUGGACCAAACCAAAUAAAAUUGAUUUUUAAAAUUUUUAAAUUUUAUUUGUUCUAUUUAAGAAAACAUAAAAAAUUUCAAUCUAAUAUAAGAAUGAAUAUAUACAUAUUUGUGUCAAUCCACUAUGACACACUCAUCGGUAAUAAAACAAUUACCUCUACAUUUACAAUUUGUUUCAAGCAAUAAAAAGUUCAACAUAAGUUCCCUAAGAAAGGAAAGAAUUUGCAAAAUUACUAAAUUCAUGACGAAAAGCAUUGGCUAAUUUUGUUACAUACAAUGUUGUUCCUUUUUGGGGGUCUAUUUUAGAAGAAAAGGCCAGCAAAAAUUAAGAUAAAAUUACAAAAAUUUUGGCAAUAUAUGUCAACUAUUUAAAAAAAAUCAAUGGCUAAUAUGUCAAACAAAAACAUUGCAAUAAAUGGGUGUUUUUUUUUUAUAUAUAUUGAUUUUAGCCAAUUAAUUAAGGACUUGAGAUUUCAUUUUUUAAAACUCUUUUUAUUAUACCAUCUCUUUGAUCCUUAAAGUAAGUCCUAGCUAGACACUUAAUCCAUAGGUUAAAUUAUUACUUGCAAUCAACAACCCUUUGCUUGGGGUGAACACCACAAAAUAUUGGAGUUCAAGCAUGAAGGUUUAUGUAGUGUAAUGACCUGCUUCUAACCAUGUAGAUAUUGUCCGCUUUGGACCCAAGGACCCCUCACGACUUUAAAACGCGCUUAUUUGGUUAAGAAAAGUCUCUACAUAUAUAGCACUAGGAACUUGCUCCCCUAUCUGAUGUGGGACAUCACAAAUACCCCCACAUGCAGACACAACGUCCUCGUUGUGUUCCAUGGGAUUGCGGGGCCAAACAGACAAACAUCCCUUACGGAGCCAAACAAACCCCUACACUGGGGUUGGAGAUCGGCUCUGAUACCAUUUGUAACGACCCGCUCCCAACCAUGUAAAUAUUGUCCACUUUGGACAUAAAGGGGCCCUCACGGCUUUAAAACGCGUCUACUUAGUUAAGAAGAGUCUCUACAUAUAUAGUGCCAAGAACUUGCUCCCCUAUCCGAUGUGGGACAUCACAUGUAGGUUCUAGUCAAUAAAAGAUUCUAAGUAGGUUCUUCCAUAUCAAGUAAUUCUAUAUACAUUCCUUUCAUAUUUAGUGAAUUUAUUUGUGAUAAUUUGAUCCCUGGUUAUUUUACACCGAUGAAGUUUUUAGAAAACUCCAUAGGUGAUUUUUUCCUUGUUACAUCUAGUAUUCUUGUAUGAAAUAACCUUUAGCAACCCACCUUAAAAGGGGUUGCUAGGAGAUAAUGGGCCACUCUAGGUUGAAAUCUAAUGGAAUCACCAUCUUAAUAGAUAAAUAUAGGGCAUGAAAAGAACAGAAAAUAACUAAGUGAUGUUGAUAAAACGAUAAACUUGAUGAAAUAUUGAUAGUGGAAAUGAAGGUUUACAAGAAAAGUCACAUCGCAUAGAGCAACUAAAUUGAAGAUGAAAUAUAUAUAUAAAGAAAUGGACUAUAUGUCCCAUAGGUUUAAUAAGAAACAACAUUCAAGUUAGGUGCAUUGCGACUUUCUUUCCAAAACUGACACUACAUUUUGAAGAGGCAUAUAAAAAUCCUUACCUAAAAAAUAUAAAAAUCUAAAGCAUGAACAUAAAGUUCAUUGCCAGAACAUAUAAGUGUUAGGAUGAUCAAUCUAAGAUAAAAAUAAUUUUAAAACAUAUUAUGCGACAGUUUUAGUGUAUAUAUAGAAACUAGCAUGACAUAAUCAUAAUGGUAUUUAAAGAAAUAUGUAAUGUAAAACAUGAAAUCACAAGUUUGGAUAUAACUAUGGCUAAUCCAUUGGCUAUAAAUAAACUUACUACCCAUGACUACCACACAUCACCACAUUAUUUAGGGUCUAACCAUCUUAGAUCACAAUACCAAGUAACUCAUCUUCUUAUUAUCCUAUUAGGGGCACAACAAAGUAUACUCUACCACUUUGGGCUCUACCCCCUAACAUGACAUCAAAAUCCAUGGUUUCGCCUUAUAAUCCCCAUCUUGCUAUAUAAGUGGUAUGGAAUUCUAAAACAAAAAUGUAUAAAACACUUCUUAGGUAUAUGUGUUAUCAUGCCCAUCAUAUAUUAAUGCCCAAAAGUCUAAUGGUUUAUUUAGAUUAUGAUAGGGUAUGUAAUUUCAUCAAUUAUAAAUAUAAGUUAUUAAAUAAUUACUUGAAGAUGAAAUAUUAUUUAUUUUUGUAAACUCAAUAGAAAUCAUGUACAUUUGACCAAAAAACAAUACAACAUAUAUCUCAUGUUAUUAGUAACAGUACUAAGCAACAUAUACAAGACAUAUCUAUUUUAAGAAAAAUUAGUAAAAUCAUCCGUAUCAUAAUUACUCAUAAAAUUCCUAAAGCAAUUAAUACUAUAGCAAAGCUCAUAGUAUGAUGACUCCACAAACUCUAAGUUCUCACUUGAUAUAAGAAAUUUUAAGUGGAUUAAAGAGAUUUGGAAAUUUCAUAAAAAUGGGAACUAAGAUUCUAAAGUCCUAUAGGCCUACUCUCACCCAGACAACACCUGAUAUAGAAAGAUACAAAGUCUUUAAAAAUAAGAAUCUAGACAAACAAAGUUCAAUUCACAUAAGAAGCAAGCCAAUAAUUAUAUUGAUGAGUCUAGGUAUCUUGAAGAUUAAUAAAUAAGUCAAAUGAUUAGCAAAAAACCACCAAUUAAGCCUCAACAACUUGAUCCAUGUGUUAUAGCAUCUCAUUUGUGCUUGUGCAGUUCUUUGAAGAUUCUUAAUUUUGCUAUGAGAUUAUGCAAUCAAAUGAAUUCAAUAACAAUCUCACACCUUAGCAAUUUUGUAACAAAAAUUUAAGCAUAUGCAACCUCUACUAGCAUGUAUGCAUUGGUCUAAAAAAUUCAAAGCAUAAAUUUCCAAUGAUUUCUCCCCCUAUAUAUGUCUCUCUACCAAGCACACAUUUUCUCAUUCUAACAUCAACUUCCCUAGUCUUGUAUUUCUCUUGCUUUUUAAGGCAACAUGUCAAAGGCGAAGAUGCAAAACUUUAUGAAAGAGGAUUUUAUUAAACCAAAAAUGUUUUUGUGAGUAUGGUUGAGAAUUCACUCAAGGCUUUUAUUGUUUUUAGUUUGCCAAUUAUAUUUUUCAUCUUUUUUGGAUGGUGUUUGAUGUACAAAAGGUUUUAUAGUUAAGAAUUAACUCAAAGCCUCAUCAUCAUCUUUUCAAGGAGUUAUAUAACCUCGUAUAUUCAAGGAUAUACUCUUGGUACUUAUCAAAACAACCAUGAUAAAAACUCAAUUAAUCCUGGAUUGACUAUUCGAAGUAUGUGCCAUAAAUAUGCCUUUAUUAUAACAAAAAUUAGAGCUUUUAAAAAAUUAAUAUUGUUAUAUGAAGGACAAACAUUCAAACUUGGUGUGCAAUUCCUCAUGAUAGUUGAGGGGUUACUCAAUCACACAAACUUAAAUUUUCUAAGAUAUUCAAAUUUGAUUGAAACCAAAGGCUUUUAAAAAUGUAUGCCAUUUAAUCUUUAGUAUAAAAAUAUUCUAUUUUCAUUAUGUCAUUUUCAACAAGCUCCAUAAUAUACUGAAAUUGAAUGUUAAUAUGCUUAGUGAAAUUGAAGCAUUUAUUGCACUAGUAUUAUUACACAAGAUGAACAUAGUAUUGCAUUUGAUUCCAGAAUCUUUUAUCAUCUAUUUAAUCCAAUUCAUUGAGUGCAAGAUCUACCUAUACUAGUCAACUUUCAUAGUGGAUAAGAGGAUAUAAUGCAACUAAGUUGCUCCCAAUGUAAAAUCAACCUCUUGUAGUGUUGUAUAAUAGAAGAAACCUAGAGUAGUAUUGUUAGCACACCAUAACCCUAAAUUUUAAGAUCUAGGAAUAUAUUUGAUGAUCAUUUUUAUUGUUGCUAGAUGAGAUUCUUUUGGGCUUGAUUGGUAGCAUAAAAACCUAGACUAUGUGCUAUGUCUAGCCUACUAGAUGUAAGAUGCAAGAGAUGUCUAAUCAUGCUUCUGCAUGACCUAGAUUGAUCAAUAUCUAAUUUUUUUUUUUCAUCAUUUGAAAGCUUAAUUAACACUUGUUCCCACAAGUUUCUCUCAUGUUUAGCUGAUUCCAAGCCAAGCUCUUUACAACCUUAUAUAGCAUACUUGACUUUGAUAUAAAGAUUUCGUUUUUAAUCUAUCUUAAUUAUAUGCAGUUCAAGAAAGUAAGAUAACAUUUUCAUCAUGCUUAUCUCAAAUCUUGUUCUCAUUUUCUCAAUAAAUUCAUGUGCUUCAUUAGUUCAUGUGAAACUAAAUAUGAUGUCAUUGACAUAUACUUGGGCUACUAUAAAGACACCAUCCUUUCUUCUUAGGAACGAAGUCCUAUGAAAUGUGUGUCAAAUAACAUUUUUCUUUAUAAAAAGGUUAAGAAAAAUGUUUUUAAACUUAUUUUUUAUGGUGAAGAAUAAAUUUUAAUGAAAAUGGUAGAUGAGUACAUGAGAAAGAAUUUCAAUUAUAGUAAAAUUUAAUUAAAAUGAAAAGGAGAUUCUUUUAUUGUGUGAAUUUUAUUUUUAUUUUUUUGAAAGAAUUAAGAAUGAAAUAUAAAAUAUUUUAACUAAGCAAAAUAGUAAUAUUAAAACUAAAAUUUCAUAUAAUAUUAAAAAUAAGAGACAACGUUUUGCUACAAGUACAAUAUAUCUAAUUUUUCAGAAUUCCAUUACUAAUGAAUAAUGAGAGCCAAAGAAAAAAAAUCCUAAAUUUUAGAACUACAAAGAUGUGCAUAUUUAUUAAAUUGAAUUAAAAUUAAAAUAUAAAAUUGAAUAUUAUAAUUAUAUAAAAAGAUAUGAAAACAAAUAAAAUUGUUUUAAUAUGAUAUUUGAUUGUAUGUCAAACAACAUAUUUUUAUGAAAUGGCAAAAGAACAAAACCUUUUUUUAUAAAGAUAUGAAAGUCCCCUAUUUUUCCCAAAACAGACAUUGAUUGAAGGUGGCAUCUGGUGUGCCCAUUCAGAGGCUUGUUAAUGCUACUUUGUCUCUUGCAUUGGCUCUUUCGCAUACGGUUAGUGAUAAAAGCCUGCUGGGCAUUUACAAUCCAUCUCUGAUGGCCCUGUUCUGUUGGCCUCUUCUCAGCAUUGACCAGAUCCUAGCUUUCACAUGCCCUGUUCUGUUUCUCCUCCAUUCGAGGCAUUUCUAAGAUGAUCAGGAAAUGAAGUAGAAUAGUAUAGAUGAGAUGUAAGAAUAUUAAGUACAAGACAUUAAAACUAAAAAGAAAAAAAGGAAAAAGCUACACAAUAUCCACAUAAUAUUUAUUUCAUUAAUACUUAGAAAACACAAACUCUAGUAGCACAGUACGUGAUAAUAAGUUAAAUAAAAGAAUCAUCUUUCUUUAAAGCGCUGUCCAAUCAUGGACAACGUCUCAAGAUAAGUUCCCAACGUAAACGCAAGCACAAUUUUAUUACUCUUGAUAAUAUUAUUAGGCAAGGAAGGAGGAUUGGACAAAUGCAACAAGUCCUAGAAGCAUGACUUAGCAUUUCACGUCACAGCUUUUCUUCUUUGGUCUGGUACUCGACGUUGAAGCAAUUCACACCAACAUAAACACCAUCAUCCAUAUUGUAAACAACAUUUUUCCCGUCGGUCAAAGUGUCUCGCUGAGUGUACGAGAAAGGGACGUCGCACGAACCCUGUGUUGCUAUCAUGCUUAUGGUCACCCUAGUCCUCGCCGGCACAGUAACACUAUACACUGUCUCCUUUGCUGUUGUCAGUGAUUCAGUUUCUCCCCACUCAUAUGUACCGGUACCGCUAAACUCGGAUGAAACUUCUAACUUUCCGUCAGCGAUGAAUGGAACGCCGCUUUCUAUGGUGAUUUUGACACCCGACUUCAAUGAGACGCUGCCUUUCCAAGUACGGCUAUUUGUCUCUGUAUAUGAGAGCUUCACCUGUUGAGUGUGCGGUUCUUGGGUCAUGUUAAUGGCUCCUCCGGUGGUCAUCACGAUCACUCUCUGGUCGUAGAUCCUAGCGUCCAUGAGACGAAAAUUGACAUUAUAGAUGUUUCUUGAUAAAACAAGCUCUGCCACCUCUAGGCGUGCCUCUCUGGAAAUUGUGGAGACCCCGGCAUUGAGACAGCUGGUCUUGCCCUCGGUGGUGAGUCUCUUACAGAAAUUGUUGUUACCUAAGUUGCGGAGAGCGACCACAUUUUUGUCAACUCUAACGGGCCAAAACAAGGUAUUGGAGUUGUUGUUGGUGGAAUCAUCGGAGUCAGCCAAUAUCCAGUUAGGGCUGCGCCUCCAGAAUCUGCCGAAGUAAUCUGACUUUAUGCGGGCGCUUCCAUCCUGAGUGGUGAAGACCUCGUUCCCCACAGUCGGAUCUCCAAUGUCAGUUGAUGCGAACUCCAGAUAUGGGCGUCCCUCGAUCGUCCGGGCACUGAGGUAGUAGUCAUUAUCGCCCUUGAAGGCGAUAUGUUUUGGCAAUAUCAAUAGUGAUUCCCAAUCAAUGAUUGUAAAGACAUCGUAGAGGUCCUUGUCAGGCGAAGCUGAUCCUGCAAACAAACAAGAACCAUAAGGAGGUGGAAGCCUCCAUAAGCAUGCAUAGUGUCCAAGCUGGACGUGGCGAAAUCGGAGUGUUUGAGCAUCGCCAUCCACGUAGACAGGCUCGAACAAGGUACAUGUCCAUAACGAUUGGUCUUCAUCUGUUUCGUCGGCCCCGGCAACAAUCCACCAGUGGUUCUCGGACCACCUUACCCAGUAUUUGUUGUUGUAGCAGCAUCUUAUGUGCACUAGUCCCUUGCCAUUCUUUGCCAUCUCCACGUGGUACUUUGAGUAGGGGGUCAUCACCUCCUCUCCCGAGAAUUGGAGAAAUCCAUGAAUCUCCCCAUCUUCAUGGAUGUACCGCAAGCACUUGUUGUUAUAUUUUGAUUUGAACACCACAUACCUUGGUAAUUCCAUUUCCACUUUAAUCACUUCUAUUGCUUCUCACUUGUCACUGCACUAUUCUGCCCCUCACUAUGCCUUAUUGACAUGAGGAAAAACUAUUUUUAGAUGUGAAACCAUGUUUCAUUGGAGCAAGGAAUGGAGCGCUCAAAAAGCAAGAGACCCAUCAUUUGUUGUGGAGAUUGUAUUAAAAUACUGAUGAAGUGAUCUGCAGUUUUCAUCAGUAAGCAUGAAUCAAUGAGUACAGGUUCAUUGCGUUGGAAACGUGCUUAAGAUCAUCAUUACAGACAAUGACUUAAUCUAAUGGAGUAACUUUUUGGAUAUCCAAACAUUCUCAUAUCGUAAGCAUGAAUCAAUGAAUACUGGUUCAUUGCGUUGGAAGCGUGCUUAAGAUCACCAUCACAGACAGUGACCUAAUCUAAUGGAGUAACUUUUUGGACAUCCAAACAGUCUCAUAUCUAGUUCUUGGUAUGAUUAGUUCUUGAAAGGAUCAUUAGGCUGAAUAUUGAUGUAAAUGCAAGUGGACGGGGCAGUUGGAUGUCAACUUUGAUAGGGGCCUUAGCAUCCUCGAACAGUUUUGGUCAAGGCUAAUCCCGCUCCUCUCAAAUCCAGGUUAUUCUUUUAGACUGACUGAACUAAGAAAAAUACAUAAAUAAGGAAGAGAUCUAUUUUUGUGAUUUUAUGACAAAAUUGAAGAUAAAAUAUGGGAUCCAACUUUAUCCCAAAUUGAAUUGAUGAAAAAUUAAAUUUAAAUGUAAAACCAUAAUUCACAAUUCAAUUUCCAUUUCCAUUCUCUUAUAUAAAUACCCAAUCCAAAAAUAAGUAGAUGUGGAACCUAAUGUGAACAACUAAUCCUCAUGAAAAAUAAGGUUAAAGGUCAAUUUAAUUCCAUAAAAAGAGUCUCUCUUGCCAUUUUUUGUGGGUUUGGUAAAAGAUGAAUUGAUUUGAACCAAGCCAAAUAAAAUUGAUUUUUCAAUAUUUUAAAUUUUAUUUGAUCUAUUUAAUAAAAUAAAUAAAUAUUUCAAUCUAAUACAAGAAUGAAUAUAUAUACUGGUAAUUAAACAAUUAAACAAUUUUAUUUGAUUUUUCCUUUAUGUUAGUUUUUAUUUUUAUUUUUAUUUUUAUUUUCUCUUGAACAUAACGCAUUUAGUGGUGAAAAUGGUAAAGAAAGACUGCAAGCACUGAGAUUCAAUUAAUAAUUAUUUAAGUACAAAGACAUGAUAAUGGUAGAAGUUGGGUUUGUCUCUAUAAAUAAUUAUUAUUUUACUUGACAUCUAUUACCACCCAUUCCAAAAAUAAGUUGAUGUAAAAUCUCAUAUGAAAUAUAAAUCCUUGGUGAGAAAUAAGGUAAAUUUCCAUCAAAAGAGUCUCUCAUACAAUUUUUUUCAAGGUUGGAAAAGAUGAAUUGAUUUGGACCAAGACAAAUCAAAUUGAUAUUUUCAAAAUUAUAUAUAUAUAUGUGUGUGUCAAUCAACUAUGACACCUUGCGAGUCAUUCAACAAUAAUCAAUUUUCAAUCAUUUAUAAUUCAUACACCGACUUACAUGUAUAUAUAUAUAUAUAUAUAUAUUUGUUUUCCUUUGUUUUGUUUUUCUCUUGAGCACAAUAUUUAUAAUAUGAUUGGUUAUGUAGAUUUUAUGGCAAAUAAGAAGAUAAAAAAUACAUGUUAUAGUUUUAUUCCUAAUUGAAUAAAUCAAAAACUAAAUUUAAAUAUGUUAGAGCUCCAAGUCCAACCCGAAAUCUUCGCAGUGCGAUAUAUAUAGUGAAGAAAAAAUUAUGGAUUUCUUUUAUGCUUUAUUUAUUUUUUUCUCUCUCCCAUAUAUAUAUAUGGGAUGGUGUAUAGGUUUUUAGGGAUUUGUAUUAUUCUCAUUUUUCCAUAACAAACUAGUAUCAGAGCAAGGUUUGAUUAGUGAGAGGUUUGAUCUUCUCAACAAUGGCAAUGAUGAAAUACAAUAUUCCGCUUUUGGACCGCAACACCAAAUUUUCGUUAUGACAGGUCAAAAUGCAAGUUGUGCUCGCACAAAUUGAUUUGGAUGAUGCACUGUUAGGGUUUGAUAAGAUGCCCUCGUCAUGGACAUAGGAGGAAAAGCAAUGUAAGGAUCAAAAGGCUUUAUCUCAAAUUCAACUUCAUAUGUCAAAUCAAAUUCGACAGGACAUUCUAAAGGUGAAAACUAUCGUUGCAUUAUGGUUAAAUUUGGAGCAAUUAUGCAUGACGAAAAGUCUAACUAGCAAGUUUCAUCUGAAGCAGCAAUUCUAUUCUCAUUGUAUGACAGAAGGUAUGUCUUUAGAAUAUCACUUAACUGUCUUUAAGGAAAAUGUUUAUGAUUUAGAGACCAUGGAGGUUAAGUACGAUGAAGAAGAUUUAGGGUUGAUUUUAUUGUGUUCAUUGUCCUCUCAUAUUCAACUUCUAGAGAUACUAUUUUGUAUAGUCUUGACACCCUUAUCCUGUAAGAAGUUUUUGAUGCUUUAUUUUCUUAGGAGAAAAUGAAGCAACUUGUGGUUGGAUCUGAGGCUCAAGUAGAGGGCCUUGUUAUUCGAGGAAGGACACAAGAAAGAAAUUUUGCUGGUGAUGCAAGGAGCAAAUCGAAAUCUAGAAAUAAAGUCAAAACUUGCAAGUACUGUAAGAAAGAAGGGCACAUCAAGUCUGAAUGUUAUAAGUUGCAGGAUAAGAGUUAUUGCAAAUCAAAAGGGAAAACAACCAGAAAAAUCCGAUGAAGCCAGUGCUAUAGAAGGUAAGUAUAAUGAUGGAGAACUCCUUAUUGUUUCUGAUGGCAACUCCAAACCUUGUGAGGAUCGGAUUCUUGAUUCAAGUUGUAUGUUUCAUGUGUCCUAAUCGGGACUGGUUUUCAACAUAUGAAAUAGUGUUCAAAGGUGUUGUAUUGAAGGGAAAUAAUGCAUCUUGUAAGAUAGCUAGUAAUGGAACAGUCAGAAUCAAAAUAUUUGAUGGGGUUGUCAAGACACUUGGUAAUGUGAGACAUGUUCCAGAUCUAAAGAGAAACCUUAUCUUGUUGAGUACUCUUGAUUCAAAAGGGUACAAGUACACUGGUGAAAAUGGAGUCCUAAAGGUUAGCAAAGGUGUUCUUGUAGUGAUGAAAGGCAGAAAAGGUCUACUUGUAGGGAUCCAAAAUUACAGGUGAUGUUACUAAACUUUGGCAUGUGCAUCUUGGGCAUAUGAGUGAGAAUGGGAUGAUUGAAUUGAGUAGAAGAGGACUUUUUAAUGGUCAAAAUAUUAGUAAACUGAAUGUAGACCCUCCAUUUUGUCCCUUUAGCACAUGUCUUUAAGUUCACUUCCAAUGCUCCACAAUAGUUCCCUGGUGACCCAUUACUACUCAUAUAACUUAUCUCUUUUUGAGCCACCUCGGAGACUCUGGUUUAGGGAUUUAUCUAACCCCUUAUUGUGACCCUUGCAAGUCUUGAGUUAGACCUAGGAUUUUUCUUUCUUUUUUGGACAGCUCAUUUAGAUACACUUUUAGGAUAGCAUAUCUAGGCACACUAGGCCCAUUUAGAUGUACUUGGCCCACUUAGGCCCACCUAGGCUCACCUAAGCCCAUUUUGGCACACCUUAGCCCACUUAAGUUUACCCAAUCUUGCUUAGGUCACCUUUUUGGUACAUCUUGCAUGUCUCACGUGGCUUGUAUGACUUGCAUGGCUCGUUGUUGUAAAAUUGCAUGACUUGACUUUUUAUUAUUAUAUUUUUGUUUAUUUUAUUUAUUAUCUUGUCUGUUUCCUCCUUUAUUUUAUUUUCCUAUUAUUUUGUCACUUUUUCGUAAUACUAGUCCUUAUUUAUUUUUAUUUAAUAAUUUUGUUUGGAUGUUUUUUUUAAUACUAUUAUUAUUAUUAUUAUUAUUAUUAUUAUUAUUAUUAUUAUUACUUUUACUCAUUUUCAUCAUUAUUAUUAUUAUUUUAUUUAAUCUAUUAACUUUGAAAUUUUGUAGGGAAGGUGUGCACGGUCACAUUGAGAUUGAUAUUUUGGAAGAUGGGAUUUCCUUGGAUGCAUGGUCAUUGGACAUGGGAUAGAUACCAUAUUGAGAUCAAAAAGUAGGUGUGGACAUUUUGGGAGAGUUUAAGGGAUAGACAAUUUAAAAAAAAAAAUUGGAAAAAGAAAGAUGAAUAUUGAGGCAUUCUUAGGACAUGAAGACACAACUUGAGAGGAGAUGAAGAAUCACGGCUUUGAGAGGGCUCUUUAGGAAAAAUCCAUGCCUGUAUGCACUUUUCUUUGUUUUUUUUUUGGAUAUAGAUAGGAGGAUUUGAAGCAGAGUGGACUUUGGAUGGAAGGUUGGAAAGAGGAAUCUUGUUUUGGGAAGAGUCCUCAUUAAGGGAGGUAAGAUCAUGGCUUUAAGGAGUCCGGGCUGUAUAUAGAAAGUGGGGCAGAUCAUGGCUGAAGGUAAGAGAAAAAGGAGGUUUUUAUUUUUUUAUUUUUUUAAAAUGGGUAGAUCAUGGCUGAAGGUAAGAGAAAAAGGAUUCUCUUUAUCCAAAUAAAAAGGGAGACUCACAGAUGGGAGAAAGGGGGCGGGAGAGCAGCACACAACCAGCAGGCAUUCUGGACACACUCCAUGGAGAUUGGGGAGCAGAUUCUUUCACAAGAAAAAUCAUAGAGGCACCAUCAAUUUUUUUAAGGCUCCACACGCAUAUUGGGAACAAUCAGCUCUUUUGGAGAUGAAUACAGAUCAGAUUUCUUGCAAAUGAGGGCAAUAGAUUUUCUAGAAGGUGCUGAUGGUGUACACGGCUUGGUUAUGAAAAACCUCGGAUUUUAGGAGUUGCAUGAGUGAACGGUUUGUUGAUGAAGACCAUUAAGUUUUUUGGAGGUAGUGGUGCACGGUUGCAUGUGAAUGACGAGCAUCUAAACGCUCUAGAUGAAAGUUGAUGCUUAAUUGACGAGUACACGGUUUGGGAAUAGAGUGAUGAUUUUUUUUUUUUUUUUUUGUGGAGCACGAUGUGGACAAUAGGAUAUAGAGAAACAACAUCUUGAUUUUUUUUUGGGGACUCCUGCACAAAAGAGGGCUACCACUUUGAGAAUAUAGCAAGCAAAAAUCAUAAUUUUUUCUUUUUUUGAGGGAAAGAAAGCCGCCAACAGGAUCAUGCACAAGUAGCCUACACAUUCCAUAGGGAACCACAUGCGGCUGCCAUCCAUUGAAAAGAAGCACACGCAUCUAUUCAUCAGUAAAGAUUCAACCUGCAUGCAUGGAGAGGCCAUGCCACUUGAUAGGAAUUCUCCACCAAAGAGAUACCCAGCCUGCAGCAUCUUCGGGGUAGCCUACAAGCACUUUUGGAGGACACAGAAUCCACUUUGAGAGAAACAAACAUCUCAUGCUGCCACUUUGGAUGGACACUUGAAAUUCAAGCGCCACAUAUGAGGGGCCAUGGUCGCACUUGAAAAAUCAGGAGGUGGCACCCACUUUGAGGCAUCUCUGGCACGCACCAUAUUUUGAAAAGCAAGACGGGGCGCUAUUCGGAGAGAAUUCUCCACAUGCACAGCCAUGCACAUACAUGGGCUGGAAUCCGUGAAAGACUUCACGCCACUCUCCAAAGAUGCCAAUACGCUGCAAGGAGGACACCACACAGCCAUUUAGAGUACUCUCCAACAGAAACAAGGAGCAGCAGCCUGCGCCAUGAGGGGGAACCACAUGCCGCCAUGAGGAUGCUUCUCCUCAUGCCAGGGCUGCAUGAGUGGACACUCACAGUCCUCUUUUAGGAAAAAUCCUCCAAAGCACUCACCAUUCACUCAUUCUCAAGGGCAGUCACACCAUGCUCCUCUUUCUUUGUUUUGUUAAACGAUUCUAGUUUCCUUCAAAUUUCAUCCUUGAGAGUUUCUAGAUUCAUCAAAAUUCGGAUAUCAAGAAACUUUUUGCUGUCAUUUUCCACAUGGCAUGCAUUCUCACUAUUUUAUUUGAUUUUCAACUAUUUUCUUGUUUUUAUUGAUUUUCAACAACCAUGAACAAACUUCAUGAUGCCAAAUAAUGGAAUUCAUUGAACCAACUCAUGCAAAAGCAAUUGGGGAAUUGGUGGAACCCCUACAUAAAAUCAUUUUUUUUAACACUCUUCCUUGCUGCCAAUUUUCACUCAACCAUUGACCCUUUAGUUUUAAAAUUCGUUUCAGCAACUUUAGAAUACUUCAAAAAAAAAUUUCAAAAUAGCAUGAUUUUCCUCACUUCUUGAAUUUUAAUUUAGAAUUUCGUUUGAGUUAGAAAACAAUUCUAGAAUAGAAGAUAUAAAUGAGUUUUUAGGAGGGCUUUGUUUUCACCUAGUUCUGGACACCCGAAAUAUUUUUAUAAACAUAAAAUAACAGAUGAAUUUUUAAAUUUAAUUAGAUAUUUUUUUAUUAAUUGUAGACUUCUUUAAAUUGAUCUUAGACAUAAAAAAUAUUAAAAAAUAUGUUUUUUUGAGGGAGAUAUGAUUUUUCAAAUUCGUACCUACUGUACAUGAUGGAAUCUGGACAUCUGAUGAGUUGGAGUGUUUUAAAAAUAUUUUUGAGUACUACUCGACCCUGGAUUUAUUUUUCCUAUAAUAUAGAAUUUUUGAAUGAUGUGUGUGAUUUUUUGUACAAUUUUAUGUGAUCUUUUAUUAUUUUUAAAAAAAUUUCUUAUGCAUGUCACUAUUUUUUUACCUAAUCUGGAUCUUUUGGAACUUUUGGGUGUCUUUGCUGCAAUUUUUCAUUAGAAUGAGUGUUUGGAUUUUGGUAUCUUGUUCUAGAUGUGUAGGAGUUGCUUCUUGAAUUUUUUUUGUAAUUGAAUCCCACUCCAAGACAUUUUUUUCAGAAAUUGUUUUGUGAGGCUCCCUUUUCUAAUUGCAUGUUGAUGAUCUUAUGCUUUGCUUGAAUUUAUUAUUUAUUUUUGGGGUCAUUUGACUUAUCUUGACUCAAUUUUGGCUUUGGUACUGUAUAUUAUACAUAAUAAAGAUGUUAUAUAAUUUAUACUUGUCCUAACCACUUUAGCAUUUUUGGAGAAAUUUUAUAAAUUAUGCAUGUUAUCCAAGUACGCUCUCUAUCACUUACUUUUCGGAAUUUUAUGAACAUACAUGUUGUUGUGAACCAUAUCUUUGUUCGAUGUAAUCGUUGGGUGCCUAGAUGUCUAUUCGAUUUGCUUUGAUUAAAAACAUGUCGCGUGCUAUAUUUCUAUGCUAACUUUAAUGUCUUAUGAUAGCGCUUGAGAAUCAGUCCCGGUACACAUUCUAAGAUUUCUUUGCGAUUGUGAUUUGAUUUCUUUUUUGGCAUGCUAGUUCUAAAAUCACCUUAGCCUACUUAGGUACCUUCAAUCAAUUGAUUAAUUGCCACUUUUCCCUUGACUUAGUCAUUAGGGACCUCUUUAGGGCUUAGAGGGGUCCUACUUCUUAGAGGUACAUUCCUAAUAGGUAACUCGAUCCCCAGACCAAGACUCGAGUUUUUCAAGACUUGUUUUUCCAAAACUAUGAAGUCACUUCUUUAGGGUUUUCUUUCUUGUUUUAUUUUCCAUUUUAAAAUAAAAUAAAAUAAGUGGCAACUCCAACUUUUCCAAAACUAAUUUUUCACAAAAAAAAAGUCUUUCCAUUGAGUGGUGUUAGUGUCUCAUUUUCCCAUUUAUACGCGUUACAAAAUCAGCAUCCCACUAUAUGCAGGUUGCCUCUAUGGUAAGUUCACAUAUUCCCACAUGCAACCCAUGAUUUUCUACCAAAAAUUGCCAUGAAAAAGUCUUCACAUGCAUCUCAUGCCUCCAUAGCUUGCAGCCGUGAACCUACAUUUUGUUUACUCGCAUUUUUCACGUGCGUCCCCACUCAAUGGCAAGACUAUGUUUUUUUUUUUUUGAAAAAUUAGUUUUGGAAAAGUUGGAGUCGCCACUUAUUUUAUUUUUAUUUUAAAAUGGAAAAUAAAACAAGAAAGAAAACCCUAAAGAAGUGAUUCCAUAGUUUUGGAAAAGCAAGUCUUGAAAAACCCGAGUCUUGGUCCGAGGAUCAGGUUACCUAUUGGGAAGGUACCUCUAAUAGGUAGCAUCCCUCUAAGCCUUAAAGAGGUCCCUAAUGACUAAGUCGAGGGAAAAGUGGCAAUUAAUCAAUGGAUUGAAGGUACCUAGGUAGGCUAAGGUGAUUUCAGAACUAGCAUGCCAAAAAAGAAAUCAAAUUAAAAUUGCAAAGGAAGGUUAGAAUGUGUACUUGGACUACUUCUCAAACGCUAUCAUAAGACAUUAAAGUUAGCAUAGAAAUAUAGCACACGACAUGUAUUUAAUAGAGCAAAUCAAACAGACAUAUAGGCACUUAAGGAUUACAUCAAACAUAGAUAUGGUUCUCAACAACAUGUAUGUUCAUAAAAUUCCGAAAAGUAAGUGAUAGAGAGCGUACUUGGAUAGCAUGCAUAAUUUAUAAGAUUCCUCCAAAAAUGCUAUAGUGGUUAGAACAAGUAUAAAUUUUAUAACAUAUUCAUUAUGUCUAAUAUACAGUACCAAAGCCAAAAUUGAGUCAAGGUAAGUCAAAUGACUCUAAAAAUAAAUAACCAAUUCAAGCAAUGUACAAGAUCAUCAUCAUGCAAUUAGAAAAUGGUGCAUCACAAAAUAAUUUCUAAAAAAAAAACAUAUCUUGGAGUUGAAUUUAAUUACAAAAAAUCUCAGGAAACAACUUCUACACGUCUAGAAUAAGAUACCAAAAGUCAAACACUCAUUCGAAUGAGAAAUUGCAGACACCCAAAUGUUCCAAAAGGUUCAGAUUAAGUAAAAAAAUAGUGACAUGCAUAAAUGAUUUUUUUUUAAAAUAAUAAGCGUUCACAAAAAAAUCAUACGAAAAAUCACACACAUCUUUCAAAGUCUAUAUCACAUAAAAAAUGAAUCCAGGGUUGGGUAGUACUAAAAAAUAUUUUUAAAACGUUCAAGCUAAUCAGAUGUCCAGAUUCCAUCAUGUAUAGUAGAUACGACUUUGAAAAAUCAUAUCUCCCUCAAAAAAGCAUAUUUUUUAAUAUUUUAUAUCUCUAAGAUCAAUUUUAAGAAGUCUAAAAUUAAGAAAAAAAUAUUAAAUCAAAUUUUAAAAAAGUUAUUUGUUAUUUUAUUUUGACAAAAAGAUUUCGAGUGUCCAGAACUAGGUGAAAAUAGAGCCCCCUUAAAAACUCAUUUAUAUCUUCUAUUCCAUAAUGGCUUUCUAACUCAAACAAAAUUUUAAAUUCGAGUUCAAGAAGUGAGGGAAAUCACACAAUUUUUGGAAAUUUUUCUAAGAUGUUCUGAAGUUAUUAAAAUGAAUUUUAAAACUAAAUGCAUGGGUUGGUGAUUGAAUGAAAACUAAUAACAAUGAAGAGUUUUGAAAAAAUGAUUUUAUGUAAGGGUUCCACUAAUUCCUCAUUUGAUUUACACAAAUCUAGUCUAGAAUUAUCCCAUUUGUUUGGGACCACAAGCUUGGAUUCAUGUCUUACUGAAAACCAUAAUUUUUAUUGAAAGCUGAGAAAAAUGCGAACCGAUCAAGACAUGGUUGCAUAUUAUUUAAGAAAAUGAGAUUUUGAUUCUAAGGACUCUAAAUGAAUUUUUUUUAAAUAGAUUUUCAAAGGGAUCUUUUGAGAAGAGUAUUUUAUUUUAAAAUAAAAGAAAUUAAUUUGAAAACAACAAAAAUAAGACACAAAAUACCUAACAAAACAAAAGAAAACAAAAUGACAAAGUAAAAUUUUUGACAACCAAGCUAACUAAAGUGGUGAGAAUGGAGCCAACCUUCAUGAGUUUUUGAUGGCUUCUGAAAAGUAAAUUUGACAAGGGACUACCAAAGAAAUAAACCAUUAAAACUUAGAUCAUACAAGUUAAUGAAAAUAUCCACUAAGAAUUAAAAACUAGGAUUCAAGAAACACAUAAAUCGAGAAUAACAAAUCAAGAACUAACAUAUGAUUAACUAAACACACAAACACAUCUAGACUUAAAAAAUAAAUUAAAAUUGAACUAAAUUAGGAUUAAAAACAUGGACUUUAUCUGACAUGAUUAAAUAAACUAUUGGAUUAAAAUCACCAACACAUCUAAACUAAAGAAUAAAUUAAGACUAAACUAAUUGGAAUUAAAAACAUGAACUUUAUCUAACAUGAUUAUUUAAACUAAUGAAUUAAAAUCACUAACACACUUAAACUGAAAGAUAGAUUAAAACUAAACUAAUUCAGAAUUAAAAAAGCAUAAACUUUAUUUUAUAUGAUCAAUUAAAAAACACACGAAUUGAAAUUGGACCAAACAAGAAUCAGAGUUAACAUACUUAAAAAGUGAAUAAAACAACUUUGGGUCAACUAGACUAACUUACACACCAAGAGAGGAUUUUAUGAGAAACACGCACAACAUAUUUCAGGAUUGCAUCCAUAGGCAACUCCUUUCAGCAACACACACGGGAAGGUGGGAGUAUCCAUUGGAUUUAAAAUGGGCAUCACCUUUUUUGAAGGGGCUUCAAGGCGGCUACAAUGGAAAGGCUUUCUCUCAACCACGGACAACCUACACGCAUUCACCAUUGAAGAGGGCAUCAACCGCACCACCAUAGAGGAAUUCUAGAGAAGGUAAGUUAGAAUUUCUAGAUUUUAGUUUUAAUUUUUUUAUUAGAUUGAAAGUUAGAGUUUUUCUUAUUAGUUUUGAUUCAUAAAUAUUGGAAUGAAGGUUAGGUUAUUUGAUAACUUUAAUUCUUAAUUAAUACAAUUUUCAUUUUGUAUUUCAUCUUUUUAGAAAUUUUACCUUGUACUUUGUGGAGAUUCUAUAUAUAAAUAUGGAAAGUACAGGUUGUCAAUAUUAUUAUUUCUCUUUCCACCUGGUGUUAGUGCCUCCUUUUCCCAUAUAUACAUGUUGCAAAAUCAACAUCCCACUAUAUGCGAGUUGCCUCUAUGGUAAGUUCACAUAUUCCCACAUGCAACCCGUGAUUUUCUACCAAAAAUUGCCAUGAAAAAGUCUUCACAUGCAUCCACUUGCAGCCGUGUAUGGUUGCCUUCUGAAGACAAGUUGGUCUGCUUUGCUUCACUAAAAUUCAGCAUGCACCAAGUCUCUAUGCAAAGAUGAGUUGGCUGCAACCCUCCCAAAAUUUCUCCAUUAACGGAUCCCAAGUAUCUCCACCAAAAUCAUGCAAAGAUAAAUACAAAAAAUAAAAAUUAGAAAUCAUGUAAUAAUAUAAAAAAAAUAAAAUAAAUCUCAAAUAAUGCAAUGAGAGGGAAACAAAAGAAAAAAAAAAAAAAAAGAUCAAUCACAUGCGUUAAAAAUGUGUAUAUAUAUAUAUAUAUAUAUAUAUAUAUAUUAUUCCAUGUAACUUAAAAAAAUUAGAAUCAUAAUCUCAAGCAAUUUCCUAAUAAAUAAAUAAAUAAAUAACCUAACAAAAAAUAAGGAAAUAAAUGAAUAAAUAAAUAUCACAUGGGCAAUUAAAAUUUGAAAAUAAAAAUAAUGCAAUAGAAAAUAAUGAAAAACGAAUGCAAUCAAGAAUCGAAAUAGAGUCCAAUGCUCACCUAACCCUAAAAUCGGGCAAUCAAACUCACAUAAUUAAGUAUCAAAAGACCAUCUCAUGCAAUCAAAAGUAAAAAACAAGCCAAUACUCAUCGAAACCUAAAGAACCAAGCAAUCAAGAAAUCAAACCUAAACAAGUGUCCAAAUGACCUAUUUUGAAAAAAGUGCCUAAGUGACCUAGGGUGAAUGUGUGCAAGUUGGAAGGUGCUUAGGAUGUUUAGGACAAUGUCUAAGUGACUUAAACAUGCCUAAGUGUGCUAUCCUAAAAGUGCACCUAAAAGCUAUCUUAAAAAUGAAGGAAAAGCUUAAGUCUAAAUUAGGGCUGCUAAGAGUCACAAUGGGGUUAGAUAAAUCCUUCAACCAAAGUCUCCAAGGUGGCUAAAAAAAAGGUAAGUAGUAUGAGUAGAAAUGGGCCAUCAAGGAACUACUAUGGAGCAUUGGAAGUAAGGCAUGUGCUAAAUGGAAAAAAUGGAGGGUCUACACUGAAGUUCUGUGAGCAUUGCGUUUUUGAGAAGCAAAGGAGAAUCAAAUUCACAAAAGGCUUCACAACACAAAGGGGACACUUGAUUAUAUACAUUUUGAUCUCUGGGGACCAUCUAGGGUACCGUCUAAGGGAGGUGCUAGUUAUAUGUUAACUAUCAUUGAUGAUUUUUCUAGGAAAGUUUAGGUGUUCUUCUUGAAGCAAAAGAGUGAUAUGCUAGCUACAUUCAAGGAGUGGAAGAUUAUGGUUGAGAAACAGACAAGAAAGCAAGUAAAACAUCUCCACACUGGUAAUGGCUUGGAGUUUUGUUCUGAUGAGUUUAAUGCUCUAUGUAAGUCAAAAGGAAUUGUGAGACAUCAUAUAGUUUGUCAUACUCCACAAAAAAAUGGUGUGGCGGAGCAAAUGAAUAAGACUUUGAUGGAGAAAGUGCAUUAUAUGCUCUCCAAUGUUGGUUUACUUAAGUCUUUUUGGGUUAAAGCUACCUCUAUAGCUUGUUUCCUCACUAAUUGAUCUCCCUCAACUACUAUUGACAAAAGAACUCCACGAGAGGUAUGGUCUGGUACUCCUACUAGUUACUAUAAUUUGAAGAUAUUUGGAUGUCCUACCCAUGGUCAUGUUGAUAAUGGAAAUUUGGAACCUAGAUCUAUAAAGUAUGUUUUCCUUGGCUAUAAGUCUAGUGUUAAAGGAUAUAAGCUAUGGUGUCUAGAAACCAAGAAAGUCAUAUAUAGUCAGUAGAGAUAUUAUUUUUUAUGAAACUGUUAUGCUUCAUGACUCAUCUUUUAGAGAUUCUUGUGAUAAAGAGCAAUAGAAAUCAAGCACACAGGUAGAGUUUGAGUUUGGGUUAGGAUUCAUACCUGAGUCUACAUCUCAGUUUAGUUUUGAGAUGAAGAGUGGUGUUGCUACUCCCUCACCACCACCUGCACCACCACAGUAUUCUAUUGCUAAAGACAAGCUUAGAAGAGAUAUUAAACCUCCACAGAGGUAUGCUGAGGCUGAUUUGGUUACUUAUGCCUUAAAUGUGGCUAAAGGUAUUGAUUCCAAUGCAGAACCUUCUACUUACUCAAAGGCAGUUAAUUGUGAUGAUUCUAGCAAAUGGAUGAUUGUCAUGUAGGAGGAGAUGGAGUCAUUUCAUAAGAAUGACGCAUGGGACUUAGUGAGACUACCUAAAGGUAAAAAGUAUAUUCAUUGCAAAUGGGUGUUCAAGAGGAAAGAAAAAAUACCAGGAGUUGAAGAAACCAGGUAUAAGGCAAGAUUAGUUGCAAAGGGCUAUAGUCAUAUUACAUGUAUAGACUUCACUGAUGUGUUUUCUCCAGUUGUAAAGUAUAGUUUGAUUUGAGCUUUGUUUGGUAUUGUGACCAUGCAGGAUUUUGAACUUGAGAAAUUGGAUGUGAAGACAACAUUCUUACAUGAAGAACUUGAAGAGGGCAUCUACAUGCAACAACCUAAGUAUUUUAUAGUUUCAGGAAAGGAGGACUAUGUGUGUUUGUUGAAAAAGUCUCUCUAUGGCCUGAAAUAGUCACCCAGAUAGUGGUAGAAGAGGUUUGACUCAUUCAUGAAAACUCAUGAUUUUAAAAGAAGUAAUUAUGACAGUUGUGUCUACUUUAAAUGGAGAUCUGAGAGACAGAAAGGUAGGUAAAUUAUACCUAAGUUAAAAAGGGUAAUUGAGAAAGUUCUUUAUAGGUUCAAUAUGCAAAAUGCUAAACCUGUUAGUACUUUAUUAGCGGCUCAUUUUAGACUUUCAUCUGUUUUAUAUUUGCAAUCAAAUGAUGACAUUAAUUAUAUGUCACUGUGGACCCGCAUUUUUCACGUGCGGACUCGAUUGGCGAGACUCUCUUUUAUUUGUGAAAAAAAAAAUAUUUAGUUUUGGAAAAGUUGGAGUCGCCACUUAUUUUAUUUUAUUUUUUAAAAGGGAAAAUAAAACAAGAAAUAAAACCCUAAAAAAUGACUCCAUAAUUUUUGAAAAAGCGUGUCUUUGAAAAACCCGAGUCUAAGUCCGAGGAUCAGGUUACUUAUUGGGAAGGUACCUUUAAAAGGUAGCACCUCUCUAAGCCCUACAAAGGUCUCUACUGACAAAAUUAAGGGAAGUGUGGCAAUUAAUCAGCUAAUUAUAGAUAACUAAAUAGGCUAGGUGAUUUUAAAGAGUGGCAUGCCAAACACAAUCAAAUUGCAAAAAAAGGAGUGUUAGGGUGUGUACCUGAACUGCUCUUCAAGCGCUAUCAUAAAACAUAAAAGUUAGUGUAGAAAUGUAGCACACAACAUUUGUUUUAUUCAAGCAAAUCAGGCAUAUAUCAAGACAUCCAAGAAUCACGUCAAAUAUGGAUAUGGUCAUCAAUGGCAUACAAGUCCAUAGAGUUCUAAAAAAUAGAUGAGAAGAGAGCAUACCUGGAUAGCAAGCUAGUACUCGUCUAUGGGAAUCAAGAGCAUCUCAACAAGAAAUGCGAAACAAAUUCAUGUAUAUCAUCAAGAAGAAUCAAAAAUCAACAUAUCAAGCAAACAAUAUUGAAAAAGGUAUCAUGAAUGUUGGGCCCCCACCAAAGCCCUAAUUAAUUUCGCAUGAGUUGAUUCCAUAAAUUCCAUGACUUGGAAUUAUGGAGUUUGUUCAUGCUUGAGAAAAUUGAAAAAAAUCAAGAAAAUCGGUUGAAAAUCAAAUAAAAUAGUGAAAAUGCAUGUUGGAAGGAAAAUGGCAGCAAGAGUAUGUUAGAAUAUGGAUUUUAUACCUAGAAAGGAUCUAAGAUGAAUUUUUCAAAGCCAGGAAUGUUUAGUUGAACAAUGGUUCAAGAAUUCAAUUUAAAACAAUAAGUUCCCAAUCAAAGAAGCAAAUAGAGGAGAAUGUGUGUAUAGCAAGGCUGCCAUGAAGUGAAGCCAGGAAAUUCUGGAUAGAAGGGACCAAUUCACUGCAAGAGUGUUCAAUUGUCAAAUGCUUCAACUUAAAAGACAUCUUGAUUUGUAAGCUCAAUUGGAUUCUCCUCAACAGAAGUCAAAUACUGAAUUGAAGAUUCAGAAUUUCCAAUUUUCUGCAUUGUUGUAUUUCUUGCAUUUUGUGUUAUUUCCCCACCACCGAGACUUGGUUCAGUAGUAUUGUCGGAGUUUGCUUUUUGAUUGUGGGCGGAAAUGGAUCCGGCGAAUCGCGAGUAUCUGGCGAGCCAAGCUAUCCAGGUGGAGUGUGAAUCGUUGGCCACAGAUGCUAUCCGGAUAAGCGUUAUCGAAGGAUCCGGACAUGUCUGCCCGGGGAAGUUGAAUUGUCCUCCUAUCCCAUCCGGCGGCGGGAGCCAGAUGUGAAAUAUCCAGAGAAGGUGGAACGUCAGCCGGAUAGAAUUGCAGCUGUGAGAUAUUCGGAGAGAGUGGGAUGUCAGCCGGAUAGAAUUGCGGCUGUGAGACAUCCGGAGAAAAUGUGAUGUCGGCCGGAUAGAAUUGCAGCUGUGAGACAUCUGGAGAAAGUGGGAUGUUGGCCAGAUAGAAUUGCGGCUGUGAGACAUUUGGAGAGAGAGAGAUGUCGGCCGGAUAGAAUUGCGGUUGUGAGACAUCCGGAGAGAGUGGGAUGUCAGCCGGAUAGAAUUGCGGCUGUGAGACAUCCGGGUAGAAUUAGUGAGAAUUUCCGUCCGGGUGGAAUGAGCAAUGCCAUAAACUAAGAACCCUUAAGAACUAUGGUAACCUCUGCAUUUGUUUAACUCCAAGAAAACCCGUUUUACACAGCCUUUAUCAAGUUCCCAACUUUCUCGGAAUGCUCAUGGUCUCCAUAUCCGAGAAUACCAAGGUAAAGAAAGGGAGGAAACGUAGAUACAGAAGCACGCAAAAAGACCAAGAAAGAAAAGAAAAGAAAAUAGGGGAAAAAAAGACAAUCGAUGGGUAUUUUAAAGCCAGAUUGGGACAUAAAUGGGGGCAAGACCCAUAGCAUCAAAUUCAAAGGUAAACUUAUAUUCACAUUGCUUUCGGAUGGAACCAAAGACAUUAAAAGGAAUAUUAAAAUAACAUAAACAUGCAAGAAAACCAGUCUCAACUAAUCAAAUUAUGGCCCUUGCGUCCACACCAAACGACAAGAAUGAAUCUUUAGAAAACUAAGAAGUCGGGAAAGAUUGAAACUAAAUGGUGAUAUAGCAAAAAUCUGGAAACAUACCUGCACGUUCUCCUCUCCAAUUGCUUGGUUCUAGGCUGCUGCACCUUUUCCCGACUGAGAAAUCUGCUCCCCAAACCUUUUUCCGUCCACCAAUCUUCUCCUUCUCUAUACGUAUUCCAAGUCCCUCUCUUCUAUACCUCAUUUAAGACGAUCCUCUCAUGCACACCUCCUCUUCUUUUCCCUUUCCCCUUAUAUUUGUAUCAGCCUCUCAAACCAAAUAUGCUAAAGAAAAUCCACUUUCCUUUAUUCUAUAUCCUUUCCUUUUUUGAAAAUCAGAAUGCUCCUUUAGGAUCUCUUAUUUCCAUAUGUAUGCAACCACAUUAAUUCCUUUUUCCUUCACAAAAUAUUUUUCUUACCUUUUUGAGUGCACAUACCUUAGUGAGAUUUGAAUAGUAGCCUCCAUUCUCUUGCCAAACAAUAAGAAAAAAAAAACGAAAAUAAAGAGAAUAAAAAAUAAAAAAAAGUUAGCAAUCUUACAACCUAUCAAAGAUUAAAAUAAAAAAAAUAAAUAAAGUAAAACAUAAUAAAAUGAAAUGAAAUAAAAUAGUCAAUCCCAUGUGGGCCAUGCAAGUCAUACAAGUCACGCUAAAAAAAAGUCUUAAUGGGCCAAGUGCGUCUAAAAGGGCUUAGGUGAACCUAAAUGAGCCUAAGGUUGGGAUAAGGGUGCCUAAAUGGACCUAGGGUGUCUAAAUGGGCCAAGUAGACUACCCUAAAAGCUAUCCUAAAAAUGAAUGAAAAAUCUAAGUCUAGAAUAGGGCUGCUAAGGGUCACAAUAAGGGGUCAGAUAAUCCCUCAACCAAAGUCUCUGAGGUGACUCAGAAAAGGGUAAGUUAUACGAGUAAUAAUGGGCCACUAAGGAGUUACUGUGGAACACUGAAAACAAAUUUAAAGACAUGUGCUAAAGGGACAAAAUUGAGGGUCUACAAAUAUGCCCUUCUUCAGUAUAGAUCACGAGUGUAGAGAAUGUGAGUAGAAACGCGAGUAAUGAGCGAAAUGAAGUGAACUAUAUCGAAGAAUUAAAGAAGGACCAGAGAUUUUGUCCUAGCACAUGAAGAGGUAAGGUCAAAAGAUGGGGUCUCAACGAUAUGGAUGGGACAACUCUAUGUGGAGAGGGAAUGGCAAUAAAGAGAGAAAGGUAUGUGACGAGUAGCACAAGGAUGGAAAGAGGUGAAAAGGAUGACGAGUCAUGGAUGAGAUGAAUGAAUAUGGGUCAAGGACAAGAUGAACGACUCUGGGUCUAAAAUAGGAUAAACGACUCUGGGCCGUGAGCUCAGGGCUCUAAAUGGAUAGAAAUGACUCUAGGUCUAAAAUAAGAAGAAUGACUCUGGGUCAAAAAUGGAAAACGACUCUAGGUCGAGAGUUCCGAGCUCUAGAUGAAAAAGAAAUGACUCUGGGUCAUAAAUAGAAAACGACUCUGGGUCGGGAUUUUUGGGCUCUAAAUGAAAAAGAGAUGACUCGGGGUCAUAAAUGGAAAACGACUCUGGGUCGAGAGCUCUGGGCUCCAAAUGGGAAAGAAUGAGUCUGGGUCAAAAUGGGAAAAAUGACUCUGGGUCGAGAGCUCUGGGCUUUAGAUGAAAAAGAAAUGACUCUGGGUCAUAAAUGGAAAACGACUCUAGGUCGAGAGCUCUGGGCUCUAAACGAAAAAGAGAUGACUCGAGGUCAUAAAUGGAAAAUGACUUUGGGUUGAGAGCUCUAGGCUCCAAAUGGGAAAGAAUGACUCUGGGUCAAAAUGGGAAAAAUGACUCUAGGUCGAGAGCUCUAGGCUCUAAAUAGAUAGCCGAUCAGGAUACUUUCUGACUCAAGGUGCCAAGUCGAGGCCACUCACAAGUGGCUAGAAUGAUGAAAACGAAACAUCUCAGGGAUGUGAAUGAUGCAAAUGACUCUGGGUCGUGAGCUCAGGGCUCGGGGUGCUAUGAAUGACUCUGGGUCAUGAUGCAAUGAGUAAUUCGGGGUACGAUGAAUAGCUCAAGACUACGGAUGGUAUGAAUGACUCUAGGUCAUGAUGCAAUGAGUAACUCAGGGUUACGAUGAAUAGCUCAGGGCUAUGAGCUUCGAGCUCUAUGACUGAUCGGCUAGAAGGAGAAUGCAAUACGCAAACUCUAGGUCGAACCACUCAUGGGCGACCAAAUGAUGAAAGCUCAGCUAAGAGCUGGAAAGACUCUGGGUCUAUAGGAAAUGAUAGCUUAGGGCUACCAAGCUCAGGGCAUAAGGGAAAAAGGAUAGCUCAGGGCUAUAAGACUCAGGGUCUAUAAGGAACAGAUAGCUCAGGGCUAUGAGGCUCAAGGCCUAAAAAAAAAGGAUAGCUCAGCGCUACUAGGCUCAGGACCUAGAAGGGAAUAAUAGAGAAGACCAACUUGAAAGUGGACAUGAAAUAAAUUGGCUCAAAGCCAUAUACUCAAAAUGACAGGGGUCGGACUACUGAAACCAAGAAGAGAAAUAUGCCCCAGUAUCCAGGGUGCUCACACUACUGAAACAACCAGUUAAUCAAUCAUCUGCUAGAAUCAAUGGGUCAAGAACCAAUACAUCAUGACAAACCUCUAAGAAGUCAAAACUGAAGGAGGCCUCUGUGUCUAAAAAACUGCUAUGUCGACGAAUCUCAAAGUGUGUAUAUCGUGGCUCAUCUAAAAGCAAAUCUCAAAGUGCACAAAAUGGUGCUCAUCUGGAUAACCCAAUCGACAAGAUAACAAUGAUGAUCGAAAACAAAUCCAUCAUGAACAUCUAGAUAAAGGAUCCACCCAUGCUCCUCAGGUGAAAUCUGACGUGAUCCAUCUCUAUCUCAAUAAAUCCAUAUAGGGGGGUCCUGAUACAGUCAAUCAUCGAAAGCUCUGAGCUAGUACUCAAUCUGAAACCAAGCUGGUCAUUGUCUCAAUCUCAAGGAUACUCAAAGAAAAUGGGGAAAUAUGUCCCAGUAUAAGAUCUGAUGUCAAAGUCGUGAGGUGAACAACAAACAAUAAUCAUCCAUCCUCGUACCACUGCCCAAACACAAUCUCAUCGAGGAGAGGGGAAUAUGCCCCAGUGUGGAUAAUCUAAUGUUGAAGUCGUGAGAUAAACAACCAACAAUGAUCAUCCAUCUAUGCACGAUCUCAUCAAGGAGAGGGGAAUAUGCCCCAGUAUGGAUAUCCGGUGUCAAAAUCAUGAGAUAAACAACAAACAAUGAUCAUCCAUCCUCGUACCACUGCCUAAACACAAUCUCAUUAAGGAGAGGGGAAUAUGCCCCGGUGUGGAUAUCUGAUGUACAAUAAAGAGUCUGUCAAAAUCAACCAAACAUCUCUAUAACCAUGAAUAAGGAUAGUCAUACCGCACAAUAACAGAUAGGAAUCUCGGGGGAAGGGGGAAUAUGCCCCAAUGUGAAUAUAUAAUGCACAACCAAAGAAUGAAUCCAACAUCAUCAAUCAACUAUCCUCAGCUCAACAAUAAUUCGCUAAGAAGUCAGAAUGAAGUAUCGACCAAUGCCUCAAAGGAGACACUCUAAAUCUAAUCUCAAAUGAAUAGCCAAAAUGAUGAGGAACGUGAUAAUCUCAAGAGUAGAAACAUGUCUCUGAUGAAUCCCUAACUAAAUCUGAUAGGAAUCUGGUAACCUCAAAAUGAGGAAAUAUGCCCCAGUAUGCCGGAUCUAUACACUGCACUGAAAACUGCCUCCAACUCAGUACUAAUCCACUAGUCUAUCUCAGAAAUACUCCACGAAUGGAACCAACUAGGGGCUCAACGAUGCUCCACUAAAACUGAUAUAGUCUCAACAUACCCCACUAAGGAUCUCUGAUCGGUGAAAAUGCCAGGACUUAAAGAAAGUGUUCCACUAGGGGCUCAUCUCAACCAAAUGAAAGGGGAAUAUGCCAAGCAAGAGAGAUACCAAAUGCUGCCAAAAGCAUCUUCCAUAAAAGAGAACAUAGUAACGACUAUACUUCAACCAAACUACAAAAGCCUGUCCAAGUGAAGACUGUCAAAGAUAACUUUUGAUCUCGUGGCCUUAGGGUGGUCUUAAGACGCGGGACGUAAUGUAGGCCAAGGUGAUAGGGUGAAAGAAAUGAAGGGAAACUAGGCUUAAACACCCAAUGAUCAAACCCAUACCCUCGUGUAUAAGAUGUAAUGCAUAGAAAAAAAAAAAAAAACUCAUGAGUCAUGGACUUAGAAGUAACCAAAGGGAAUGUCGAUAGCGGAAUGAGAAAAAGGAUUAAUGGUCAAACUAUCAAUGAAAUAUGUGAAUGAUGUGAAGAAGGUAUCAAAUCAGUAAUGUGUAUCAAUAUGUGGGGGAUGAAUAAAAGGUGGAACAAAGAUCUGGAAAGAGGUAAUGGGAUACAAAAGAAAGCAAUGAGAAAGUGGAAUGAGUGAUGAUCAACCCAUGUUAGUACAAUAAAGGAAAGUCAUAUCACCAAUGAUGGAAUGGUGGGUAAGACAAUGAUCCAGAGACCCUAGUAAAAAGAUUACUCAUCUCUCAUACCUAGUAUAUAUCAAACAUGAUCCAAGAAGCAUAGGAUCUCAUAAAACUCUCAUAUGAACCCUCGACACUCCAAAUGUAUAACAAGAGUGGCUCAAGGAGUGAAAAACUCAUAAAAAACUCACAAAAACCCACAAUGACAAAUAUACCCAAUAAAUGAACCCCAAAAGGUGGCAUAAAUGCCCAAUGGAACGAGAUACCAUACAUGAGCAUAUCGUUGCGCUUUUUUUUUUUUUUUUUUUUUUGCACAUGCUCUGAUCAUCAAUAAAUCAAACUCCAAUGGGAAAAAUAUAAGGAAUAAACAAACUCUCUCAAAUCACUGAUGAAUACAUGAACCCUAUCCCAUGAGAUAACCUCUCAAACCAAAAUCUCCGAAUCAAUGUCAAAUGAUGGAAUGAAUAGAGUGAUAUGACUGCCCUCUUUGCACUAAGACGUGAAAAAUCAUCAACCCAAGAAAGAGAAUAGAUAAGAUGAAGCAAAUAAUGAUAGAGACAAGAAAGAGAAUGAAUAUGUGGUGAUAAUAAAAUAAAAAAAUAGGGUGAUAAGAGGAUGGUAACAAAAUGAGAAGAUAGACCUAUAAGUCUAAAGCUCAUGAGACUUUCCUAGCAAAGCAUGCAUAUACAUCAAAGGGCCCCAACCCGGGUAUAGAAAUGGUAAUCAAAGCUAUAAGAAAGAAAUAAGGCUAUAACGUACCACGCGAAGCUCAAUGGGCUAGCAACGGUCUAAUAUAUAGAGGUGAUAAAGUAUGAGGCUAACCGAAAUGAUGGCCACCCAUCCUAUGACCAUGGUCUCAAACAUAAUACUUCUUUAGCUGAUCCACAUUGGUAGGCUCUGAAAAUUGGUUUCCAUCUAAGUCUGUCAACCAUGCAGCCCCUUUUGGAGUCAACUCUUGGAUAACAUAAGGCCCACUCUAACUAGGUCUAAACUUUCCUCUAGGGUCUCCAAUCAAACCUCUGAGAAUCCUCAAAACUAAGUCCCCUUUUUGCAAUGGUCUAGGCUUAACCCGUUUCUUGAAAGUGAUUCAUGCCCAAUUGGUGUGCCAGCUGAUUCGUGUCCAGCUGGUGAUCCUUGAUUGAGGGAGUAAUAAACAAAAUUUAUAACCUAUAACAACAUAUACUAGGGUAGCAAAGAAAAAGCUAUUAUAGUAUAGUGGCUCUAGGAUCGUUCACUAGGAAGGAUUAACAAGCUAUCAAUGAUACCAAUUCAAAGUGAAUUGGUCUUGUUUCAUUUCAAGGUUAGCUUAAGAAAUAAAACACAAACCUUGAUUGGUAAAGAUUUAGACUUAAACUAACUAAUCACAACAAGUAAUGGGAAUAACUUAGGAAGAAAAACAUUCCUUGGAGAGUUAGGUUCACUGGGGUGGUUCCUCAUGCAAAAGACAUAGCUCCGGUCAGAUGGUUCAUUUCCUCGUGUUAGAGAUUCAACAUAUAGUCAAUUCUCUAACCGGUGUUGUACAGAUACAUUCUUUAAUUAGAUUUCACUUUAAUUCUCUCACUGAUGCAACUUGCAAUGGUUUAAGCCUCUCACUAAGCCUUAACCUUUCAAGGUGAUCUUUAACCUUGGACUUCCCUUCUCAAGCUCGCAAGAGAUAACUAAUGGAUGUCUCUUUGGAGUCCAAAAGCUUACCAAGUGUUGGCAAUUCCAGAAAAUCCUACCUUAAAGUCACCUCCCAGAGGCUCGCAAGGGGUAAACUAGUGCAUCUCCAUGGACGGAGAUCACUUGCCUUACCAAGUGUUGGCCCAGGUGACUCUAAGGUGUUUUAAGUUAACUAAAAACAUAGAAAUCAUUAAAGGAUUUCACUUCCUCUUCAUUACUUGCUAAAACCACAAAGCUUUGCAUUCUUACACUUGGAACCUUCCCCGGCAACCUUAGCUCCAAGGAAUUAGAGGUUUAGUUACUCAUUCUCUAGAGAAAACUCCUCAGAGAGUUCAUAACUUAGUAAUAAAUAAAAAAUACAAAGUGAUAAGGUAAGACAAUACAAAGAACUGAACUUUACUUGCUUACCCAAAACUUUACAAAAGGAUCUCCUCUCUGAGAACAGGCUCCCGAGAGGUAUAUAUAUGAACAUAAUAUAAAACUAAUUAUUACAUAGAUAUUUUCUCUUUUUACUAACUUAAAAGCUAAGGAAUCUUGUAAUUGGUGGCUUACAAGGAGUAUUUUGGGAUUUAGACAACAAAAAUCUAAUAGAAAAUAUCUCCAAAUGUCAGUAGCAAAUAUCGGGGUGCUUCAGGAACCAUUUCGCAAGAGAAAAUGGUGUCUGCGAGAUUUCGCAAGCACUCAAGAGGGCUGCGAAAUCACUUUGCAACAACAAGCUAUUCUCGUAGGGCUGCGAAGUUGGCUUCCACCUUGAGGUUCCAAGCUUCCCUCUCGUGGUAUAUGUCGGGCAACUUCAGAAGGAAAUACACCCUACUGUACAAAAAGGCUGCGGAAUCACUUCGCAGCAAAAGGGUGAUUUCGCAACACUUUGGAAAAUGCUUCCUUCAGCUGGGAGUGAUUGGCUUGCAAAGGCAGCAAUUUCUUCGUUUCAACUCCGAAUUGCGCACUGUUUGAAGAAUUGGAUUGUUGACUUCCUGAGCUUUGAAAUGGUAUAUAGAAUGCAUCAAUUGGACCUCAAAAAGUGCUCCAAAAAUGGCUGCUAUGACUGUCAUCAAGAAUAUGCUUCUUGGUAGAUUCUCUUUACUUUUUUUCCUUGCAUUCCGGAUUUACUCUUGGAAAAUGACUUCCAAGCUUUGCCCAAGAUUCCUCAACACUCUUCUCAAUCUUGAAUUGCUUUGGUGAUCAAAUUACUAACAAAAACACCAAAACUUACACAAAGUGAUUAAAAUUGCUUUCAAGGGUCCUUAACAUGCCAAUUGAGUUAAAAGGCCAAAACUACUACUCAAAAGCGUUUAAAAGGAUUAAUUAUAAGCUAUCAAAUAGCACUUUUUGAGUAGUAAUCACUCCCCCCAACCGACAUAUUGCUAGUCCCUUAGCAAUAUAGGAGAGAAAAAUGAAAAUAAAAAGCAACCUAUACUAAAAUUUACAAUAUCAUGCUGAACAAAAACAAUUCUCAAGUGGCAUGAUGAUUUAAUUCUCUCAUGAAACAUUAAAGAAAUACAAACCCAAAUUUCAACAAGAGUUAUAACAAACUAUGCUAAACACUUUCAAUCAAGGGAAUGCAUUAUGCAAACUGAAGUUUUAAAAUCAUUUCCACUUCCAAAGAACCAAACUUUAUUCUUCCUAAAAAAUCUGUGUAUAGGUUCUUUAGCUUCCGAGAAUAAUAUGCUAAACUAAUCUCUCCCCCCAACCUAUCUCUUUUCAACACUUAGCAAACUGACCAAAAUCAAUAAAGAAAGAACACAUUUUUUUUUUUUUUUUUUUUUUUUUUUUUUUUUUUUUUUUUAAGGAGGCUUUAUGGGAUACUCUUUCGGAAUUGUCCAUGUAAUGGGGGUCCAUCGAUGACUCCGAACCAAUUAAGGUUUAGGGCAUCAAGCUUUAAGGAUCUUUCAACCACUAACUCCUCGGAUUUUUCCCCAGACUUUUGAGAAUGAAUUUCUAAUACCCAAGCACCUACCAUAUGCUAACUCUACCUAUUCACCCUUAUAACGAGCAUUGAGGUCGGUGACUCCCAACCAAUUAAGGUUUAGGGCACCAGGCUUUAAAGAUUUUCACCAUAUACCCCUCAAACCUUGCUCGGGUUUCAAGGCAAGCAAACAACUUUCUUUAUUUCAAAGGCUCAUUGGCCUUUUGCAAGGUGUUUCAAUUUUUAUCAAAUGAGGUCAAAUAUACCAAGUCCCAAAAUUAUCCUAAGUCAAGAGGGAAAUAGUUUUUCAUCUUAUAAUCGAAAUCUAAUGUGCACAGUGUGUGAAUAGCUUAAAGUGGAAGAACUAAAUUCAAUUUCAAUAGAAGUUUCAACAAUUGAACCACUUUAGUGAGCAUAAUCCAUACUCUAAGUCAAGUGAAAAACAACAGUUUAAUUUCUCCUAUUUUAAUUUGAAAAUUUUUCCUCAAAAUUCAUGGAGAAUCGAGUAAAAAGAGUAAAAAGUAAAAAUUACAACUAAUUUACCAAAAUAAUUGCAUUACCAAAAAGACUUAUCAUACUUCCUUCCUCAUUCCCCCCCAACCGAAUUGAGCAUUGUCCUCAAUGUGAUAUGAGUGACUGUAAUUAAAGGGAGGAAGUGGUACCUCCUGAGUGAUAACAAAUUCGAAUACUGAUUGGAGAAACCACAUGUUUCAAAAAGAAUAGAAUAUGUGAGAAAAGGAAAUAAGAAUCAGUUAAUGCUAACUGUUAACAAGAAAUAUUAAACUUGUAUUACUUUAAAUUCAUUCGAGUACAAUGCAAAAGAAAAGUAAAACAAGCAAUCCCAAAUAUAGUACCAAAAUAAUGGGAUUUCUUUCCAACUAAAAAACGAAAUACAUAAAACAAAAAUAGUAGAUAUAUAAUAGUUUGAUGAGUGGGUGGUGCUGGGGCUAGGUAGAUGGGUCUGCCUCUUCAGUAGGUGCUUUAGCUGGGGCUUGGGGCUCUAGAGGAUGAGACUCUGAGGGAUGAGAGUGUGGCACUGCUGGAGUAGAAGUGGAUGGCUCAACAGCUGGUGGCAGGUCGAAAUGAAGCUGGAGCUGCCUUAAUAUGGCAGUGUGUUGAGCUUGAGUGGCCAACAUCUGCUCUUGACAUGCUCUAAUGGCUGCCAUAUCUUGAGCAAGACUGCUCUGAGAUGCUGUGAGAGUGUCCAAUGAACGACACAACUCUCUAUAUUCAGAUAUAGGAAUGGCCAUCCUUGGUUCAGCUGAAGUGGAUGGCUGAGAUGAAGCUGGUGCAGCUGGUGGAGCUCUAGGAAUGGUAGGAGUAGCAACUGUUAUACCCUCAGGUAUGUGUCGUGGGGAUGCUCUCCUUGCAGCUGGCUGUGGGCGUUCAGGCUGGUCAACUCGAUAAGCUGUCAUGUUGUUCCAUUUUUCGAGAGUAAAAAGCUCACGGCAAAUGCGCUUUCGUUCCAAUUGAGGCUCAGAAGGAUACCCCAAGUGCUCCAGAAUUUGGCAUAGCAGCCUUGGAAAGAAGAGGGGAAUGCAAUCAGCUCUCUGAAGCUUCUUUUUGUGUACCUUCUCUUCGAAAUAGAGAAGGGCUACCAGAAUCAGAUGAUGAGGCCCAAAGAAAAAUCCUUCAGACAUCUUGUACAGGGCUUCUAAGAGGACUCCUCCUCUUUGAGUCCAAUUUUGCAAUGGGUAGAGGUUAUGACGCAAAAAUGCAUCAAUCAAAAACAUGAUUGGAGGAAGCUCCCCCCUCAACAGAUGUGAUCGAUUGGCAGCUCCUCUGGAAAGGGCGCGCACCAUCUCCAGCUCAGUAGGAUUGGUCCAAGCUCUAAAAUUAUCGAAUUGGGUUGGCUCAUAGGGAAUUUGCAAGGCUUCAGCUAUAUGGCGUGCUCCCAAUAUGCCAUGCCUCCCAUCAAUAGUGAAAUGAAUUAAAGUUGGAUCCCUGACCUGGUUGGUUGUCAUGGAUUGAUAGAAAUCCAUGGCCACCAUUGGGUAGAAAAAGUCUCUCGGAGUCAACAGGUGCUCCAUGUGGUAUCUCCUCAGCAGAUUGAAUGUCUAUGCAAGCUCCGGCUGUAAUCGGAAUGCGGCUAUGUCGAAGCAUAGCUCGGAAUGGAAUGGCCGAGCUCUAUAAUCCAAAUUUCCCUCAAUUAGGGGUUGAGUUAGCAUUGGCCGCCUGAUUACUUCUUCCAGAGCUAUUUCGGAUGGAAUUUGGGGCUCGGGAAGUGGCGGCUGAGGCUCUUGUGCUUUUGCUUGCGGCGCCGGAGAUGGCACCGGCGACGGAAUUGGCAUGGGAAUCGGCGACGAAACUGGAGUUGGAACCGGUGAUGGAAUUGGCGAAGGCUUUGGAGAUUGCUCCGUCAAGUCGAUGGGUUCUGAGCUUUCAACCCUGGGCCUCUUUUGCAGCGGCCGACCUCCUGACCUGGUUAGGUAACGUCUCGCCGGAGGUUUUGGCGGCGCGGGCUUCACCGGAGGAGGAACUGCUCUCGGCUGCGAAGGCUCAGAAACGGGUUCCAAAACUGGCUCCUUUUGCAAGCUUCUCUUGCGGUUUGAAGGGGAGGAAGACUUGGCCCCUCUGGUUCGCGCCAUUUCGGGUUGCCGAAACUUGGCCGGAACGGAUGGUCGGAGAAGAUGACUGAAGGCUUGCGCGGUGAGGCUUGAGGAAGGAAAUGAACGAUCUGCGAGAAUGGCGAGCUCUAAUUUUGAAACCCUUUUCGCAGCUCAAAUGACUGGUAUAAAUAGGAAUAACUGAAGACUAAGGGUCAGUUUGAGUUUCGCAGCAAAAUGUCAAUUUCGCAGCAAAAUGCCAUUUUCGCAGCAAAAUGCCAUUUUCGCAGCCACUUCGCAAUGCAUUUCGCAGUUGCGAAAUUAAUGUUACUGUGUUGCGAAGUGGCACACGUGUGCCAAAAUCGCUUUCGCAAUUGCGAAAUACCCUACGGAAUGGGACUUUUGUUGCGAAAUCUGGGCUUUACCACUUCGCAAGUCGUUUCGCAGCUGCGAAAUGGGGGCUCCUGUGUUGCGAAGUGGCACUCGUGUGCCAAACUCGCUUUUGCAGCUGCGAAAAUUCUCGCAGAGAAUCCCAAAGUGUUGCGGAAUGAUUUGGCAACAAAAUGCUCAUUUCGCAGAAGUUUUCUUUAGGCUGCGAAAUCUCGCAGAGCUCUGUUUUUGCUCUGUUUUCACUCUGUUUUUGCUCCGAUUUCGAUCAGAUUUUUUUCCUUUCAAUUUCCUUGAAAUUUCUUCCACCUGAGAUCAUUCAAAAAGAUUAAAACACACCUAAAAACAUGAUUUAAGAUCAAAAACUAAGAUCAAAUGUAUGGAAAAAACUUGAAAAUUUACAAAAUUUACAAAAAUUUUGGAUUGUGGUAAACCACGUCCAACAAACCUUUCUUUGCUUAGGCUUUUUGAGGCUCAAGGAGGUUGAUCUCCUCCAUUUCUGGUUUGAAUGACUCCAUGAAUGGCUUGAGACGAUAUCCAUUGACUUUGAAGGUGUCCUUGCCAUUUGAAUUCAAUAAUUCCACCACUCCAUUGGAACAUACUCGGUGAAUUAUGAACGGGCCUAUCCACCUUGACUUGAACUUCCCAGGAAAGAUAUGGAGUCUUGUGUCAUACAGUAAAACUCUUUGCCCUUCCUGAAAUUCCUUGUUGGAGAUGAGUUGAUCAUGCCACUUCUUCAUCCUCUGUUUUGCAACUUUGGAAUUGAUAUAAGCAUUAUUUCUUAAUUCCUCCAUCUCAUUAAGGUCUAGAUAUCUCUUUUCUCCGGCUCUGAUCAAGUCCAUGUUCAACUUCUUUAUUGCCCACCAAGCUUUGUAUUCAACUUCCACAAGGAGAUGACAUGCUUUGUCAUAGACAAGACGAUAGGGAGACAUGCCAAGAAUAGUCUUAUAAGCUGUUCUAUAUGCCCACAAUGAAUCAUGAAGCUUAAUAGACCAAUCUUUUCUGCUGGAAUUCACCACUUUCAUCAAUAUGUUCUUUAUUUCCCUGUUAGCUAGCUCAACUUGCCCGGAAGUUUGAGGAUGAUAAGGUGUAGCCACCUUAUGCUUCACUCCAUACUUGGAUAACAGAGCUUCAAAAGGUUUGUUGCAAAAAUGAGCACCUCCAUCACUGAUUAUGGCUUUGGGCACCCCAAAUCUUGAGAAAAUGUUCUCUUUAAGAAACUUGAGAACCACCCUGUGAUCAUUUUGUUUACAGGGGAUUGCCUCAACCCAUUUAGAAACAUAAUCCACCCCCACCAAGAUGUAAGAAUUACCAAAAGACAUUGGAAAAGGUCCCAUGAAGUCAAUGCCCCAUACAUCAAAUAGCUCAACUAUUAGAAUGGGGUUCAUAGGCAUUUGAUUUCUUUUUGUUAGCUUUCCAAGCCUUUGGCAUCUGUCACAACUUCUACACAUGAUGUGGGCAUCUUUGAAAAGAGAUGGCCAAGUAAACCCUGAUUGCAACACCUUCAUGGCUGUUUUCUGAGAGGCAAAGUGGCCUCCACAUGCAUUCUCAUGACAAUGAUAUAAAAUCCCUUGCUGCUCAUCUUUAGGGACACACUUCCUUAUUAUCUGAUCUGCACAAUACUUAAAAAGAAAGGGCUCUUCCCAAUAAUAAGCAUGAAUUUUGGCAAAGAAGUGCUUCCUGUCCUGUGCAUUCCACUCACUUGGAAUUUUUCCAGUUACUAAAUAAUUAGCAAUAUGAGCAUACUAAGGAGUUUUCACUAGGAACAUGAGUGAUUCUUCAGGAAAAUCAUCAUUAAUAGGCAAGGGAUGGGAGUUAUGUGCUAUAACUAACCUCGAAAGGUGGUCAGCUACUACAUUCUCCACUCCUUUCUUAUCUUUGAUUUGGAGAUCGAAUUCUUGUAACAAAAGAAUCCAUCUAAUCAACCUUGCUUUUGCAUCUUGCUUUGUCAAUAAAUACUUCAAGGCUGAAUGGUCAGUGAAGACAAUGAUGAAAGACCCCACUAAAUAAGCACGAAAUUUGUCCAAAGCAAAUACCACAGCUAACAAUUCUUUCUCUGUAGUUGUGUAGUUCCUUUAAGUUUCAUUCAGUAUUUUACUUGCAUAGUAAAUCACAUAGGGCUUCCUAUCUUCUCUUUGGCCAAGCACAGCUCCUAUAGCAAAGUCAUUGGCAUCACACAUCAGUUCAAAAGGUAGUUGCCAGUUAGGGGCUCUCACUAUUGGAGUUGUUGUUAAAAAUUUCUUCAGUUGAUCAAAGCUAUUUUGACACCUUUCAUCCCAUAUAAACUUAGCAUCCUUAGCUAACAGCUCACAAAGAGGUUUUGAAAGACUUGAAAAACCUUUUAUAAACCGCCUAUAGAACCCUGCAUGGCCAAGGAACUUUCUUACUCCUUUCACAGUUGUUGGGGAUGGUAAUUUGACAAUAAGCUCCACCUUUGCUUUAUCAACUUCAAUGCCUUUUUCAGAGAUGAUAUGGCCAAGGACAAUUCCUUGACGUACCAUAAAAUGGCAUUUCUCCCAAUUGAGCACCAGGUCUUUUUCAAUGCAUUUGUGAAGAACUGCUUCCAAAUUAACUAAGCAUUCCUCAAAUGUACCUCCAUAUACGGUGAUGUCAUCCAUGAAAACCUCCAUAAUUCGUUCCACCAUAUCAUUGAAAAUACUCAACAUACAUCUUUGAAAUGUAGCAGGUGCAUUGCAUAAACCAAAAGGCAUUCUCCUAUAAGCAUAUGUUCCAAAUGGACAUGUAAAAGUGGUCUUUUCCUGAUCUACCAAAUUAAUUUCAAUUUGAAAAUACCCUGAAUACCCAUCCAAGAAACAAUAGAAUGGAUGUCCAGAGACUCUCUCCAGCACUUGGUCAAUAAAUGGCAAUGGAAAAUGAUCCUUCCUGGUUACAGCAUUCAGCUUUCUAUAAUUAAUACACACUCUCCAUCCUGAAGUGAGGCGUGUAGUAAUUUCUUCUCCUUUUUCAUUCUGAACCACUGUGAUCCCUGACUUCUUUGGUCCCACUUGAGUAGGACUCACCCAAGGGCUAUCAGAUAUAGGGUAAAUGAUUCCUGCUUGAAGUAGCUUCAGCACUUCAGCUCGCACCACCUCUUGUAGAUGAAGAUUCAACCUUCUUUGAAAUUGACGAAUUGGCUUUGCUUCCUCCUUCAUAUAUAUAUGAUGAGUACAAACUAAAGGACUAAUGCCUUUCAAGUCAGAUAUUUGCCAUCCUAUUGCCUUCUUACACCUCUUGAGAACUUCCAUUAAACAAUUCUCUUGAUGACUGGUCAGAGAUGAAGAUAUCACAACAGGGCAUUGAUUAUUUUCUUCAAGAUAUAUAUAUUUCAGCUCCACAGGUAAAGGUUUCAAAUUGAGUUUUGGAAUUUCUUUUUCAGCAGAUGCCUCUUCUUCUUCAUUGAACAAAGGUAGAAUCUCUUCUAUUUUUCUCCAACUUUGUAGAGUAGCAAGCAUAGUAGGAGAUCCAGACAAACCUUCUUCAAAAUCCACAAGACUUUCAUUCAACUUGUCUUACAUAUUUUGAUUACAGUGCUCCUCCACCAAAGUAUCAAUAAUACACAGCUCUUCUGGACCCUCUUCUUUUUCCGGAGUGAUUUGCUUUUUAGACACAUAGAAAAUAUUGAGAUCCAGUGUUAUGUUGCCAAAAGUGAGUUGCAUCAGCCCAUUCCUGCAGUUGAUGAUUGCAUUUGAGGUAGCAAGAAAUGGCCUUCCAAGGAUGAUAGGAACUAAAUUAGCUUCUUUUACAGUAGGGUCUGUAUCAAGAACAAUAAAAUCUACUGGAUAGUAGAAAUUAUCCACUUGAACCAAUACAUCCUCAAUUACCCUUCUUGGAAUUUUCACUGAUCUAUCUGCUAGAGAUAAAGUGAUUGUUGUUGGCUUCAAUUCCCCAAGUCCCAAUUGCUUGUAGACGGAAUAUGGAAGCAAAUUCACACUUGCUCCCAAAUCUAGCAAGGCUUUCUCCACUACCUUUCCUCUAAUCAUGACUGAAAUGGUAGGACUUCCCGGGUCUUUGUACUUCAAAGGAGACUUACAUUGUAAGAUUGCACUUACUUGCUCAGUCAAGAAGGCUUUCUUAUUUACAGUCAACCCUCUUUUGAUAGUACAUAAGUCCUUAAGGAAUUUUGCAUACAUUGGAACUUGUUUAAUCAUAUCCAGCAAUGGAAUAUUGACUUUCACUUGUCUCAAUACUUCAAGGAUUUCAGCUGCAUUUCUAAUCCCCUUUUUCCCAUGUAAUGCUUGAGGAAAAGGAGGAGAAGUUGAUUUCUUCAGCAUUUCUUCCUUCAUAAGUUCCUUCUCUGGAAUUGCAUUCAUUGUUGAAUCAGAGUCCUUCUUUUUUUCACUGAUCUCACUCUCUUUAUCUUCCAUUUCCUUUCCUUUCUUUAUCUCUUCUUCUUUCUCAACAUGUGGCUUGGGUGUUGGCUGCUCAAUUUUUUUACCACUCCUUAGAGUGAUCAAGGCUUUGACAUCUUUCAUCUGUGAUGAUUCUCCCUCUUGGCUUUCCACUUCAUGGACACCUUUGGGGUUUUGGUGGGGUUGAGAAAAAAAUCUUCCCUUUUCUUGCAGUGUAUUCAAAUUUGUAAGCCUUGAAAUUGAAUAUUGGAUGUUAUCAAACUUUUGGUUCAUAUCAUUUUGCAUUCCAUCCAUCCUUUUAUUCAACAUACUCUCUACUCUAUCAAUUCUUUGAUAGAUUUGAGCAUUGGUGGCUUCUUGCUUUCCAACAAAAUCUCCCACUACCUUGUUGAGAUUAGCCAUUACUUGUUCAAGACUUGAAGAUUGUUGAGAUGGUGGAUCCGGCUGUUGGUACUGAGUUGCUCUGGCUUUCCAUGAGAAAUUUGGAUGAUUCCUCCAACUUGAGUUGUAGGUAUUUCCAUAGGGCGCAUUGUUAUUAGGCCUGAAUUGUCCAACAACAUUUGCUUGAUCUCUAAACAUCUCCCUUUCAGCUGAAAUUGCAGGGCAUUCAUCCACUAAAUGUUCAUAUGAUUGACAAUUAGGACACAGCUUCACUUGCACUGGUGCUUCAGCAACAGCUUGCACUUCAUGUAUUCUUUUCAGCUCCAGCUCCUCCAAUCUUCUUGUCAUAGCUGCCAACUUUGCUUUCAUAUCAUCAUCUUCUUUCAAGGUAUACAUCCCAGCCUUUGCAUUGAAAGCAUUCAGUUGAGACUUCAUCUUACCCACUUCUCCUUUGGUUGGUUCAUCCCAUCCCCUUGAAACAUCAGCUACAUAGCUCAAGAAAUCCAUAGCUUCCUCUGGAUUUUUGCUCAUGAAAUCUCCUCCACACAUUGUCUCGAGGAGUUGCUUCAUUGAGGAGGGCAUACCAUCAAAAAAAUAGCUCACCAAUAGCCAAGUAUCAAAGCCAUGGUGAGGGCAAGCAUUUAUAGCUUCCAUAUAUCUUUCCCAACACUCAUAGAAUUUCUCAUUCUCUUUAGCUGAGAAGUUUGAAAUUUGCCUUUUCAAGCCAUUUGUUCUAUGAGUGGGAAAAAAUUUCUUGAGGAAUUCAGCUUGUAAAUCAGUCCAAGAACGGAUACUCCUUGGCCUUAAAGAAUUAAGCCAAACUUUGGCCUUAUCCUUUAAAGUAAAAGGAAAUAACUUAAGCCUCAUCAAAUCAAUUGAAGCUCCUCCCUCUUGGAAUGUAUUACAAACAUCUUCAAAUUCCUUGAUAUGUGCAUACGGAUUCUCACUUUCCAUCCCAUGGAAAGUUGGUAGAAGUGGAACAAGAUACGGUCUGAUCACUAGCUGCUCUAUAGGGGGCACUAUACAUGAUGGUGCACUCAUACGAGGUGGAUGCAUGUGGUCCCUCAUUGAUCUGAAUUCAUUGAGAUUGUCUUGACGACCUUGGUGACUAUGCUGAUCUUCAGGUGUAGCUUCCAUGAUAUUCAAGCUCAAUUCGAAUUCUUUUCUCUGAGGUGUAUCACACUUAACAAGCCUUCCUCCACUGUCUCGUAUCCACUUUGGCAUACACAACUAGUAUUUAUCUGCAACUUAAAUGAAAAUAAAGAACAACAACAGAAACAGGGCUACAACAACAAAAUUAAACUAGGCUAAAUUUUAAAAUAUAAACUUAGAUUAUGAAUAAAUAAAGAAAGAAUGAGAAUUAGUAAAGUGAAAGAAAUGUUACCAACUUGUGAUGAAAAUCACAAGUGCUCAAAAAUGGUAUCACUAUAAACUUGACACCUUCCCCGACAACAGCGCCAUUUGAUUCGUGCCCAAUUGGUGUGCCAGCUGAUUCGUGUCCAGCUGGUGCUCCUUGAUUGAGGGAGUAAUCAACAAAAUUUAUAACCUAUAACACCAUAUACUAGGGUAGCAAAGAAAAAGCUACUAUAGUAUAGUGGCUCUAGGAUCGUUCACUGGGAAGGAUUAACAAGCUAUCAAUGAUACCAAUUCAAAGUGAAUUGGUCUUGUUUCAUUUCAAGGUUAGCUUAAGAAAUAAAACACAAACUUUGAUUGGUAAAGAUUUAGACUUAAACUAACUAAUCACAACAAGUAAUGGGAAUAACUUAGGAAGAAAAACAUUCCUUGGAGAGUUAGGUUCACUGGGGUGGUUUCUCAUGCAAAAGACAUACCUCCGAUCAAAUGGUUCAUUUCCUCGUGUUAGAGAUUCAACAUAUAGUCAAUUCUCUAACCGGUGUUGUACAGAUACAUCCUUCAAUUAGAUUUCACUUUAAUUCUCUCACUAAUGCAACUUGCAAUGGUUUAAGCCUCUCACUAAGCCUUAACCGUUCAAGGUGAUCUUUAACCUUGGACUUCCCUUCUCAAGCUCGUAAGAGAUAACUAAUGGAUGUCUCUUUGGAGUCCAAAAGCUUACCAAGUGUUGGCAAUUCCAGAAAAUCCUACCUUAAAGUCACCUCCUAGAGGCUCGCAAGGGGUAAACUAGUGCAUCUCCAUGGACGGAGAUCACUUGUCUUACCAAGUGUUGGCCCAGGUGACUCUAAGGUGUUUUAAGUUAACUAAAAACAUAGAAAUCAUUAAAGGAUUUCACUUCCUCUUCAUUACUUGCUAAAACCACAAAGCUUUGCAUUCUUGCACUUGGAACCUUCCCCGGCAACCUUAGCUCCAAGGAACUAGAGGUUUAGUUACUCAUUCUCUGGAGAAAACUCCUCAGAGAGUUCAUAACUUAGUAAUAAAUAAAAAAUACAAAGUGAUAAGGUAAGGCAAUACAAAGAACUGAACUUUACUUGCUUACCCAAAACUUUACAAAAGGAUCUCCUCUCUGAGAACAGGCUCCCGAAAGGUAUAUAUAUGAACAUAAUAUAAAACUAAUUAUUACAUAGAUAUUUUCUCUUUUUACUAACUUAAAAGCUAAGGAAUCUUGUAAUUGGUGGCUUACAAGGAGUAUUUUGGGAUUUAGACAACAAAAAUCUAAUAGAAAAUAUCUCCAAAUGUCGGUAGCAAAUAUCGGGGUGCUUCAGGAACCAUUUCGCAAGAGAAAAUGGUGUCUGCGAGAUUUCGCAGGCACUCAAGAGGGCUGCGAAAUCACUUCGCAACAACAAGCUAUUCUCGCAGGGCUGCGAAGUUGGCUUCCACCUUGAGGUUCCAAGCUUCCCUCUCGCGGUAUAUGUCAGGCAACUUCAGAAGGAAAUACACCCUACUGUACAAAAAGGCUGCGGAAUCACUUCGCAGCAAAAGGGUGAUUUCGCAACACUUUGGAAAAUACUUCCUUCAACUGGGAGUGAUUGGCUUGCAAAGGCUGCAACUUCUUCGUUUCAACUCCGAAUUGCGCACCGUUUGAAGCAUUGGAUUGUUGACUUCCUGAGCUUUGAAAUGGUAUAUAGAAUGCAUCAAUUGGACCUCAGAAAGUGCUCCAAAAGUGGCUGCUAUUAUUGUCAUCAAGAAUAUGCUUCUUGGCAGAUUCUCUUUACUUUUUCUCCUUGCAUUCCGGAUUUAGUCUUGGCAAAUGACUUCCAAGCUUUGCCCAAGAUUCCUCAACACUCUCCUCAAUAUUGAAUUGCUUUGGUGAUGAAAUUACUAACAAAAACACCAAAACUUACACAAAGUGAUUAAAAUUGCUUUCAAGGGUCCUUAACAUGCCAAUUGAGUUAAAAGGCCAAAACUACUACUCAAAAGCGUUUAAAAGGAUUAAUUAUAAGCUAUCAAAUAGCACUUUUUGAGUAGUAAUCAGAAGGCAUGAGCCAUCUUUCUCUAAUAGGCCUGAACAUGAUUUGCCGCUCUCAAUCUCCUCUCAUCUAAAAGGUUAAGCUGAUCAAAUCGAGCCUGAGCCCACUCUGUCUCAGAAAUUUGCUGCUCAAGGGCUACUCUCAAUGAACCCAUCUCUGUCUCAACUGGCAAAACAACCUCCAUACCAUACACUAGAGAGUAAGGCGUAGCUCCUGUAGAAGUACGAAAAGAUGUACGAUAUGCCCACAACGCAAAAUGAAGCUUCUGUGACCAAUCUCGAGAAGUCUCAACCAUUUUCCUCAAAAUCCUCUUAAUACUCUUGUUUGCAGCCUCUACUGCCCCGUUGGUCUGUGACCUAUAUGCUGAAGAUCUAAGAUGUCGGAUGGCAUACUUCUGCAACAAAGUAUCUACCUCAGCUUGAAAGUGCGCCCCUCUUUCGGAAAUCAACUCAUAAGGAACCCCAUAGUGGCAAAUGAUGUGUGAUCUGAUAAAACUGGCAACCCUAGCAGAUGUCAAUCUCGCAUAUGAUGCGGCUUCCACCCACUUGGUGAAAUAAUCUAUGGCAACCAGGAUGAACUCAUGACCACUGGAAGAUUUUGGUGAAACCUUCCCAAUCAUAUCAAUACCCCAUACUGAAAAUGGCCAUGACGAGGUCAAAGCAUGUAACUCUGAUGGCGGUGCAUGAAUGAGAUCACCAUGAAUCUGACACUCUGGGCAUUUCUGAACAAACUGACAACAAUCUGUCUCCAUAGUCAACCAGAAGGAACUCGUCCUCAUAAUUUUGCGGGCCAACGUGUGUCCUCCCAUAUGCGGACCACAAACUCCUGCAUGAACCUCUCUCAUCACUCGAUCUGCAGAGACUCGAUCUAAACAUAAAAGAAGCAUACCAUCAGCUGAUCGUCUGUACAAGGUAUCUCCACAAAUCACAAAUCUAGUGGUCAGAUGCCUCAAUGCUCUCCGAUCCUUGGUAGUGGCUACCUUAGGGUAUGUGCCAGAUCUAAGGAACUGAUAAAUGUCAUGAUACCAAGGUAGAUCAUCUUGGACCUCUGUCUCUCCAAUCAAACAACAAUAGGCGGGUGCAAACCUCAACUCAAUCAGCAAUGGACGUAUGACUACAUCAAUCAGAAUGUCCACGGAUAAAGCUAAAGUAGCUAAGGCGUCAGCAAAUCGGUUUUUGCGCUCUAGGCAGAUGAACAUAUCUCAAGUCAUCAAAUCUUGCAACCAACAACUCUAAAUAAGCAUGAUAUGACCUAAGCUUCACGUCCCUAAUCUUCUAGUCUCCCUGAAUCUGUCUGAGUACCAAAUUGGAGUCACCAAAUACCUCCAUCUGUCUAAUGCCAAGCUCCAAUGCAGUCUCUAAACCCAGGAUGCAAGCCUCAUACUCAACUAUGUUAUUCGUGAUAGGAUGUCGAUCAUGGAAUGCCAAACGAAUAGAUCUCGGAAUAUGAUCGCCCUGAGGGGACACCAACAGAACACCUAUCCCAUACCCUAACUGAUUGGCUGCACCAUCAAAGUACAAGCACCAUCCUGAUAAGCUAGUCAUAGCAACAAACUCCUCAUCUAGAAAAUCAUCAUCAACUGGUCUGUCUUCAGAUGUCGGUAGUGAAGCUAAGUGAUCGGCGACAAUACUUUCCUUAAUAGACUUCUAAGAAACGUACUGAAUAUUGAACUCUGUCAAAAGUACGAGCCAUCUCAUCAAUCUACUAGUCAACGCAGGUCUAUCAAACAAGUAUCUCAACGGGUCUAGGUGGGAUAUCAAAUGCACUGAAUACUCUGUCAUGUAAUGCCUCAAUCUCCUGGUGGCCCAAACUAAUGCUAGGCAAAGGCGCUCAAUCAUAACAUAUCCCAUCUCAUACUCCAACAUCCUCUUACUCAGGUAGUAAAUAGCUCGCUCUUUUCCUGAGUCAUCAAUCUGAGCUAACAUACAUCCUAAGGCCAUGUCUGAAACUGACAAAUGUAGAAGGAGUGGACGUCCUGGUGUAGGAGGCACUAAAACAGGAGGAGAAAGCAAAUACUCCUUGAUCUUCUCAAAUGCAAACUGACAGUCAUCAUUCCAAACUGUUGGCUAGUUCUUCCUCAAAAGACAAAAGAUAGGCUCACAUAUGUCUAUCAAUCUGGCUAUGAAUCGAUUGAUGUACUAUAAUCUGCCUAGAAAACUCCUGAUCUCUUUCUCAGUCUUCGGUGCAGGCAUGUCAAGUAUGACUUUGAUUUUAUUUGGGUCGACCUCUAUGCCUCGCUCAUUAACCAUAUCCCCCAAUAAUUUCCCAGAAGUCACUCCAAAGGUGCAUUUCUUGGGAUUCAGCCUCAAUCUAAACUUCCGGAUCCUCUCAAAGAAUCUCUCUAGAGCAUCUAGGUGAUCUGCUCUACCUCGGGAUUUCACAAUCAUAUCAUCCACAUAAACUUCAACAUCUCUAUGCAUCAUGUCAUGAAACAAAGUAGUAGCGGCUCUUUGAUAAGUGGCUCCUGCAUUCUUUAACCCAAAUGGCAUAACCCUGUAACAGUAGGUACCCCACUCAGUAAUAAAGGUUGUCUUCUCCAUAUCCUCUGGAGCCAUCAAAAUCUGAUUAUACCCUGAAACCCAUCCAUGAAAGACAACAUCGAAUGGCCUGUGGUGCCAUCAACCAACAAAUCAAUGUGUGGAAGGGGAAAGUCAUCUUUAGGGCUGACUUUAUUAAGAUCUCUGAAGUCAACACAAACCCUAACUUUGCCAUCCUUUUUGGGAACAGGGACAACAUUAGCCAACCACUCUGGAUACUCAACCACUGAUAUGAACCCAACACUGAGCUGUUUCUGAAUCUCCUCUUUUACCUGCAGACUCCAAUGUGGAUGCAACCGUCUCAAUUUCUGCUUAACUGGUCUGGCAUGUGGUAGGGUAGGUAAAUGGUGCUGGACUAUAGAGGGAUCGAGACCUGGCAUGUCCUCAUAAGACCAUGCAAAGACAUCCAAGUAUGACCUAAGUAAAUGAAUAAGUCUAUCUCUCUCAUCUGUAGAUAGGGGUGAACCAAGCUUCAGCUUUCUAGGCUAAUCCUCUGUGCCAAAAUCAACAAUCUCAACAUUCCCUAUAGUAGGUGAAACUCUUUCAUCCACGGGAUCGAAGUCAUGAUCAAAAGAGUCCCUAUCUGAACCGGGCUGUGCAACCUUAUCAUCUAUAUCAAAUAUCUGUGAGAUGGGUGGGUGGGGUGCAGAUAUAGAGAUACUAUCACAAGAGAUAGGCGAAUACUAAAAAAUGCUCAAAUCCAUAAAUGAAGCAAUAGUAACAUCGUCAGAGCGGGAGACAAAUCCCGAUAAAACAUCAAAAGAAAGAGGUGGGUCCACAAGGUCGAAUGCUCCCUCAACUAAGCUAACAAUGCUCUCAAAUAAACUACUAUCAUCCUCUAGAAGCUCUGGAAUAGGAAUAGUCUGAGUCCCCUCAAGAACCUUAAUGGUAGACACCCCAAACAUAUCAAAUGCUGAAACAGGUUGAAGCUGAACAAUGCUGGUAAUCUGGCUCAUGGUCAUCAUGUCCAUCUCAUCAUGGUACUCAUCAUGGGAAACAACUCCAUCUCAUCAUGGUACUCAUCUCAGUAGAAUCAACAAUCACCCCAUCAUCAUUGAUUUCCUCUAGAAAGUAUAGAGACAACAUGCUAGCUCGAUCUGGAGACGUGGGAGUAAUCGUCAUAGGGAAAGAAGUGUUGGGAGCUCCAUCACUCAACUGUAGCUGGUGAAAUAAAUGCUGAAGAUCAGUCUCUCUAUCUGUAUGAACCACACUAUCGAUCUCCCCUAGACGAGGUCGAAUCUCUGAUCCUCUGACAAAGUAGUCGGCCAAACUCAUCCUAUAAGGUCGAAUGGGACAAUCAAAUGGUGUGUGGGAUAAACGAGCCCUCACCCUCUCCCUACGCAGCCGCGCCAUGUAACUGUAAUCGGCCUCAGUAGGGAUGAAUCCAAGUCCAAAUGUCGUAUCAUGGUCAAUGGCAGCUAUGAACUCGCUCGGUCCCUGUUGACGUCGUCCUAACCCCGUGCCAGGUAGAAAGGUCAUACCCCUCAUCAUAUCAAGGACCACUGUGCUGCUAUGCUGAUCAAAAGACAUAGCUACAAAAUCUCUGCAAAAAUCCUCAAUCUCGAGAGUCUGUAUCUCAUCAAAAGUAAAUCUAGUCAGAAGUAGGUCAUCCUCAUUGUGACUGAUCUGAAGUAUUGGCUCAGAAACGGUAAAUAUAUCCCUGGUAGAGCGCACUGUGAUGACCUGCUCAUCAUGAAUAAACUUCACCUUCUGAUGAAGGGAAGAAGAAAUAGCUCCAGCUAUAUGAAUCCAUGGUCGACCUAGUAGUAGGUUAAAGGAUGUAGGAAUCCUCAAAACCUGGAACAAAAUGGAGAAUGUUGCUGGACUAAUUUGCAAAUCAAUCAUCAAGGUACCCAUAAUCUCCCUCUUGGUGCUAUCAGACGCCCUGACUGUCUGAGUAGAAGGACCAAAAUCUGAAGGCGCGAAACCAAGGGUUAUAUCAGUGGCUAAAGGGUAAACAUUCAGGGCUGAGCCGUUGUCCAGUAGGACAGACAGGACUCUACGGCCUGAACAUCCAACUGUGAUAUAUAGAAGGCGCACGUGAUCUAAACCAUCAAGUGGCAAGUCGUCAUCUGAAAACACAAUGCAAGUGGCCCUACCGGCCGUCAUCAUAUGAAUCAAUCUCUCGGGAGUGGUAGUAUUCUCUACUCUAAUCUGACUCAAGGCUCGAAUCAAAGCAUCUCUAUGAGUACUGGAUGAUGCUAAUAAACUCCAGAUAGAAAUACGGGUCUGAGUGCUCUGUAAUUGUCUCAAAACUUCAUCAUCCUCUCUCCUAACCUCCUCAUGAGAGGUUGCACCCUCAAAUGGUCUGACUGCUGGUGGUGGUGGCUGAGCUAUCCUCCCACUAUGAGUCACAAUCUGUAUCUCCCUCCCCUCUGAAUCAUCAUCCUCUGGCCAUAAAGUGAACAGGAUAAAAGUAUCCUGACAUCCAAUAAUCAAGGGUGUGGGAUGAGUACACUGGAAUGGUGUCUCGUCUGGGAUCAAAUUGAAUGGUGUAGGAGCCUGAGGGACCACUGAAACCCCAUCAACCUUAUAACUGUCAUGCAAAACAAUCGGCUUGGGUAAUCCAUCAUCCCAACUCAACAUGUGUAUAUUGUCAUCCUCUAUAAGGUCCAUGUGAUGAAUAUCUCCUGGAGAUGGAGACACUGCGUGUGUAGAAUGAGCAGGAAGAGGGUUCGUAGUCACACUUGGCUGCCCCAAGUUGACUAAACCCUGGUCUAUCAAGUCCUGAAUAGCAUGUCUCAAAGCAGUGCAAUGGUCCGUGUCAUGCCCUAGUCCCUGAUGGUAGGAACAAUGUAAGUCCAUCCUAAAGCGAGGUGGUAUGGGCUGGGGUAAAGGCUUGGAUGCUAAUGGAAUCAAUAAUCCACCCUCUACGAGCUUCUGAAAAGCUCGACUCAAAGGCAUACCCAGUUGGGCAAAUUGACGUGGUGGCCUCUGCACAUAAGUAGUGGUUUGUGGAGCUCGGGGUCGAGUAUAUGGGACAGGAGGCCUCUCUGUGACAUGUGCAGCAAAAACAGGCUGUGAGACUGGAUGUAGAUAGGUAGGAGUCAUAGGUCUGGAAGGAGCAGGCGGCCUGUAAUGCGCAUGAGGUGAGGGUGGAUAGUAGAACCCAAGAGUCUGCCCAACUGUCUGAUAGCAUCUAGGAGGCCUCAUCCCUGUUGAACUGAUAACACCAACAUCUCCUGAUCUCUGUCCUCCUGAAGGCUUCUUCCCCUUAGAAUCAGUAGGGGAAGACUCAGACCAUAAUCCUCUAGCAAUGCCCUCCUCUAUACAGUACAAAGCCUGUACCAAAGAUCCAAAAUCCGUAUGGGGAAAUCCCAUCAAGUGUCUAGCGAAUCUAGGUUGUAAACUCCUCAUGAUCAUGUUAAUUUGAUCUCUCUCUGAAGGAUGGUCUAUAAUAUGUGAAAUCUUCUCCCUCCAGAGGGAGAUAAAUGAAGUAACUGACUCCUCUGGCCUCUGUCUCAAAGCCUCCAACUCUCUCCUCGAAACAUCAAUGACAGUGUUAAAUGCAAACUGUCUCAAAAAUUCCUGGGCUAAGUCAUCCAAAGUCCUACGGCGUGAUACCUCUAAUGAAGCGAACCAACGCUGUGCAGCACCACUCAAUGACAUAGGGAAAAACAUAAUCAUCUGGGCCUCAUCUAGUCCAUGGGCCCUCAUAACCGUACUAUAGAGUCUCAAAUGAAUGCGAGGACAACCUAUGCUAGUGUAUCUCUCAAUCUUAGGCAUCUUGAACUUGGUUGGUAGACUGGCCACUGGUGCUCCAUCAAAAUCUUCCCAAGUAAUAGCUCCCUCUAAAGUCCUCAUAUGUGUUAACUUCUGCUCAAGUCUAUCCAUACGAGCAUGUGGGUCCUCUAAGAUCAGAGUAGGCACUAUGGCAAGAGGUGAUGUGACCUCAGUUUGACUAUACAGAGUAAAAGGUACAGUAUGUGGUGCUGGCUGACUGUGCGAAGGUGGUGGUGGUACAUGGUAUCAAAUUGGGUAUCCUCUUGAACUAGAACCUGUUGGGCCUGCUGCCCAUCUAUCCUCUGGCCAAGGCUAGCUAAAGCCUCCUGGAUAGAAGUCGUGGCUGCGGCAAACUGGUUAACGGUAACUAUCUGUGAGUCUAUAUCCCUCUGAUCAGAUAUCUGAUCUGACUGAUCUGAUACUCUGGUCAAUCUACCUCCAACUCUAAUCCAUAAAGGCGAAUCCAUAUCGAUCAAGGUAAACCCUCCUAUAAAUAUGGAAAUAUUGGAUAAGGUGUGGUACAAAAGCGACUCUGUAGGAAUCAAGUGCGUAGAAGCAAAACCCAAAUAUACUCAAUCUGAUACCCUCCUUUGAUUACACCAAAAGGAGAAUAAGGAAGGGAUAGCCAAAUCCAAUCGUGACCAAGGCAGCUCUGAAGGUUCACAAAUGCACCCACGUGUAGGAAUGAAAUCUUAAUUGGGUCUAGGCUAACCUACAAGGUUAAGGCGGCUCUAUAGGAUAAAAUGGGUGGAUCAAAGGAUCCCUAGCAGAAGCGAUCGUACCCUCCGGCGGUACGCAACCCUCUUCACGCCUCCAAGGAGACGGGGUGCUUCCAUGCAAGGUGGUCAUUACCUCCACACAUGCACUUCCUCGCAUUCCCAGGGGGUUUCUUAAAGGUGAAGGCUCUCCCAUCUCUCAACACUCAGGGAUAAUCUAAAGUGCACAAUGAAGAAUGUGGGUGCAUCCGAAAAACCUAAGAUCUAAAGUGAGAUAGUGAACGAAGACAAGCAAUCAUACGAACAUGCAAGAGAAAGGGUUGUCAUGCAACAAGAAGUCAUGCGAAGCAGAUAAAUAUCAAACAAUCAAAAUCCUAUCUAACAUAUGCGAGAGUGAAUCAUGAUGAAGUGAGCAAAACAAUCAAGUGAUCAUCCAAGGUAAUCAAACAUGUUAGGAUAGCAAACCAAACAAGCAAGCAAAUCAAAUCACCUUGCCCAAAAAAGAGGUACCCACUAAUCGACCAAUUAAACGCCACAUUUUCCUCAACUAGUGUUCAAGCUUGAUCCACAAAAUCCCCAAUGGAGUCGCCAAUUUGUGGACCCGCAUUUUUCACGUGCAUCUCCACUCGAUUGGCGAGACUCUCUUUUUAUUUGUGAAAAAAAAAUUAGUUUUGGAAAAGUUGGAGUUGCCACUUAUUUUAUUUUAUUUUUUUAAAGGGAAAAUAAUACAAGAAAUAAAACCCUAAAAAAUGACUCCAUAAUUUUUGGAAAAGCGUGUCUUUGAAAAACCCUAGUCUAAGUCCGAGGAUCAGGUUACUUAUUGGGAAGGUACCUUUAAAAGAUAGCACCCCUCUAAGCCCUACAAAGGUCUCUACUGACAAAAUUAAGGGAAGUGUGGCAAUUAAUCAACUAAUUAUAGAUACCUAAAUAGGCUCGGUGAUUUUAAAGAGUGGCAUGCCAAACACAAUCAAAUUGCAAUAAAGGAGAGUUAGGGUGCAUACCUGAACCGCUCUUCAAGCGCUAUCAUAAAACAUAAAAGUUAGUGUAGAAAUGUAGCACACAACAUUUGUUUUAUUCAAGCAAAUCAGGCAUAUAUCAAGACAUCCAAGAAUCACGUCAAAUAUGGAUAUGGUCAUCAAUGGCAUACAAGUCCAUAGAGUUCUAAAAAAUAGAUGAGAAGAGAGCGUACCUGGAUAGCAAGCUAGUACUCCUCUAUGGGAAUCAAGAGCAUCUCAACAAUAAAUGCGAAACAAAUUCAUGUAUAUCAUCAAGAAGAAUAAAAAAUCAACAUAUCAAACAAUAUUGAAGAAGGUAUCAUGAAUGUCGGGCCCCCACCAAAGCCCUAAUUAAUUUCGCAUGAGUUGAUUCCAUAAAUUCCAUGACUUGGAAUUAUGGAGUUUGUUCAUGCUUGAGAAAAUUGAGAAAAAUCAAGAAAAUAGGUUGAAAAUCAAAUAAAAUAGUGAAAAUGCAUGUCGGAAGGAAAAUGGCAGCAAGAGUAUGUUAGAAUAUGGAUUUUAUACCUAGAAAGGAUCUAAGAUGAAUUUUUCAAAGCCAGGAAUGUUUAGUUGAACAAUGGUUCAAGAAUUCAAUUUAAAACAAUAAGUUCCCAAUCAAAGAAGCAAAUAGAGGAGAAUGUGUGUAUAGCAAGGCUGCCAUGAAGUGAAGCCAGGAAAUUCUGGAUAGAAUGGACCAAUUCACUGCAACAGUGUUCAACUGUCAAAUGCUUCAACUUAAAAGACAUCUUGAUUUGUAAGCUCAAUUGGAUUCUCCUCAACAGAAGUCAAAUACUGAAUUGAAGGUUCAGAAUUUCUAAUUUUCUGCAUUGUUGUAUUUCCUGCAUUUUGUGUUAUUUCCCCACCACCGAGACUUGGUUCAGCAGUAUUGUCGGAGUUUGCUUUUUGAUUGUGGGCGGAAAUGGAUCCGACGAAUCGCGAGUAUCUGACCAGCCAAGCUAUCCGGGUGGAGUGUGAAUCGUUGGCCACAGAUGCUAUCCGGAUAAGCGUUAUCGAAGGAUCUGAACAUGUCUGCCUGGGGAAAUUGAAUCGUUCUCCUCUCCCAUCCGGCGGCGGGCACCAGAUGUGAAAUAUCCGAAGAAGGUGGAACGUCGGCCGGAUAGAAUUGCAGCUGUGAGACAUCCGGAGAAAGUGAGAUGUUGGCCGGAUAGAAUUGCGGCUGUGAGACAUCCGGAGAUAGUGGGAUUUCGGCCGGAUAGAAUUGCGGUUGUGAGACAUCCAGAGAGAGUGGGAUGUCGGCCGGAUAGAAUUGCGGCUGUGAGACAUCCGAGUGGAAUUGGUGAGAAUUUCUGUCCGGGUGGAAUGAGCGAUGACAUAAACUAAGAACCCUUAAGAACUAUGGUAACCUCUGUAUCUGUUUAACUCCAAGAAAACCCGUUUUACACAGCCUUUAUCAAGUUCCCAACUUUCUCGGAAUGCUCAUGGUCUCCAUAUCCGAGAAUACCAAGGUAAAGAAAGGGAGGAAAUGUAGAUAUAGAAGAAGCAUGCAAAAAAACCAAGAAAGAAAAGAAAAGAAAACAGGGGAAAAUAAGACAGUCGGUGGGUAUUUUAAAGCUAGAUUGGGACAUAAAUGGGGGCAAGACCCAUAGCAUCAAAUUCAAAGGUAAACUUAUAUUCAGAUUGCUUUCGGAUGGAACCAAAGACAUUAAAAGGAAUAUUAAAAUAGCAUAAACAUGCAAGCAAACCAGUCUCAACUAAUCAAAUUGUGGCCCUUGCGUCCACACCAAACGACAAGAAUGAAUCUUCAGAAAACUAAGAAUUCAGGAAAGAUUGAAACUAAAUGGUGAUAUAGCAAAAAUCUGGAAACAUACCUGCACGUUCUCCUCUCCAAUUGCUUGGUUCCAGGCUACUGCACCUUUUCCCGACUGAGAAAUCUGCUCCCCAAACCUUUUUCCGUCCACCAAUCUUCUCCCUCUCUAUAUGUAUUCCAAGUCCCUCUCUUCUAUGCCUCCUUUCAGACGAUCCUCUCAUGCACACCUCCUCUUCUUUUCCCUUUCCCCUUAUAUUUGUAUCAGCCUCUCAAACCAAAUAUGCUAAAGAAAAUCCUCUUUCCUUUCUUCUAUUUCCUUUCCUUUUUCGAAAAUCAGAAUGCUCCUUUAGGAUCUCUUAUUUCAUAUGUAUGCAGCCACAUUAAUUCCUUUUUUCCUCACAAAAUAUUUUUCUUACCUUUUUGAGUGCACAUACCUUAGUGAAAUUUGAAUAGUAGCCCCCAUUCUCUUGCCAAACAAUAAGAAAAAAAAACGAAAAUAGAGAGAAUAAAAAAUAAAAAAAGUUAGCAAUCUUACAACCUAUCAAAGAUUAAAAUAAAAUAAAAAUAAAUAAAGCUAUACAUAAUAAAAUGAAAUGAAAUAAAACAGUCAAUCCCAUGCGGGCCAUGCAAGUCAUACAAGUCACGCUAAAAAAAAGUCUUAAUGGGCCAAGUACGUCUAAAAGGGCUUAGGUGAACUUAAAUGAGCCUAAGGUUGGGACAAGGGUGCCUAAAUGGACAUAGGGUGUCUAAAUGGGCCAAGUAGACUACCCUAAAAGCUAUCCUAAAAAUGAAUGAAAAACCUAAGUCUAGAAUAGGGCUGCCAAGGGUCACAAUAAGGGGUCAGAUAAUCCAUCAACCAAAGUCUCCGAGGUGACUCAGAAAAGGGUAAGUUAUACAAGUAAUAAUGGGCCACUAAGGAGUUACUGUGGAGCACUGAAAAUAAAUUUAAAGACAUGUGCUAAAGGGACAAAAUUGAGGGUCUACAAUCACGAGUUCCAUAUUCUAGUGCAGUGGGGUCUCUCAUGUAUGCUAUGGUUUGUUCACAUCUAGAUUUAUCAUAUGUAGUCACUGCAGUUAGUAGAUACAUGACAAAUCUUGGUAAAGAACAUUGGAAAGCAAUUCAGUGGAUUUUCAAAUACUUGCAUAGUUCUACUGAUGUUUGUUUGCAUUUUGGGAGAACUAGAGAUGGAGUUGUUGGGUAUGUCAAUUUUGAUUUUGCUUGUGAUCUUGGUAAAAGAAGAUCUCUUACAGGGUAUGUUUUUACUGUUGGGGGUUGUGCUAUCAGUUGGAAAGCUACUUUGUAAACUACAAUCUCUUUGUCUACUACUGAGGCUGAGUACAUGGCUAUUACAGAGACUUGUAAGGAAGCUAUUUAGUUAAAAGGAAUAUUUGGUUAACUUAGUGACAACUUGCAGAUUACCACAAUUUUUUUUUUUUUUUUUUUUUGUGAUAGUUAGAAUGUUAUUUUCCUCACAAAAGAUCAGAUACUUCAUGAAAGGACAAAGCACAUUGAUGUGCGGUAUCAUUUUGUGCAUGAUAUCAUUGCUCGUGGUGAUAUUGUUGUGGCCAAAGUUAGCACCCAUGAUAAUUUUGCUGAUAUGAUGACGAAGAUACUCCCUGAAGCCAAGUUUGAGCAUUGCUUGAAUUUGGUUAGUAUUCGUUGUUGAAUUAUCCUUUGGGGUUUGUAAAAAAGGUGAAGAGUUUUUUUGUUGAAGAUUGGAGUUUGUUUUUUUCCAUUCCUUACAUUGGAAUUUGUGUCAAGGUGGAGAUCGUUAGAGCUUGGUGACCCAAUUUCCUUUUUUAGUCCAACCGGAAAUCUUCAUGGUGUGAUAUAUAUGGUGAAGAAAAAAUUAUGGAUUUCUUUUCUACUUUAUUUUUUUUUCUCACCCAUAUAUAUAUAUAUAUAUAUAUAUAUAUAUAUAUAUAUAUGGGAUGGUGUAUAGGUUUUCAGGGAUUUGUAUUGUAGUCGCUUAAUACUCUCCCCUUUUGUACCAAUUUUUAACAUAGUGGAUUAUUCUUCUCCUCUGUUCGUGGUUUUUCCUUUCUAGGGUUUUUCACAUAAAUAUGUCCUUUUUUUUUUUUUUUUUUUUUUUGCCUAUUCUCAUUUUUCCAUAACAAAAUAUAAAGCCAUCUUUCACAUUGUGGGUUUAGAUUUGCAUCCUCAUUCUCAAUAGGUGGAUAACAAUAAUAUCUUUAUGUAUGUCUCACAAUAUUUAUUAAACUACAAGACAACAUUUCUUUCUACAUCAUAUGCUUGGUUAAGGAUAGGAAAGACUUUGAUAUAACAAGUCAUAUAUUUAGCAUAAAAAUAAAAGUAAUGUGAAUGCAUGAAAGGGAAAACAUUCAACGGACAAAAUGGUAGAGUGAACUACAAGUGGUGGGAUUUCAUUAAUAAUUAAAUUACUUAUAAACAUACGUUGAUGGUAGAAGUUAGGUUUGUCAAGUCUUCCUUUGGAAAUUAUUAUUAUUUUCCUAGACAUCUAUAAAUACACAAAAAUAAAAAAAUAAAAAAAUAAGUGGAUGUGGAAUCCCAUGAAAUAAACUAAUUAUGAGUGAUAAAUGAUGUUAACUCCUAUGAGAAGACUCUCUAAUUCUAAUUUAUUUUUAUGGGAUUGGAAACAUGAAUCGGAUUAAUAAACGAAAUUGAUAUUUUCAAAAUUUUAAGUUUUAUUGCAUCACUAAAUAUUUUAAUCUAAUACAUAAUUUAUCGACAUUUUAAUUAAUUUAUGAGACCAAGGUAUAAUAAAAUAAGAUUUUGGUACAAAUAAUGAAACCAAAUACAAAUAUAUUAGACAAGGUAUAAACUAAUAAGUCCUAAAUAUGACCAAGGUACAAACUAAUGAAACAUAAAUACAAAACAAUAAGACCAAAAUAUAGAGUAAUGACACUAAAGUACAGGGUAAUAGGAUCAAAGUAUAAACAAAAAGAACCAAUGUAUAAAGCAAUGAAAUCAAGAUAUAAAAUAAAUAAGAUUAAGUUACAAACCAAUAAGACCUAGAUACAAAGCAAUGAGAGUAAUAUAUAAAAUAAUGAAACUUAAAUACAAAGCAAUGAGAUUAAUAUAAAAAGUAACAACAUCAAGAAUUGAGACCUAGGUACAAAUCAAUGGGACCAAGACACAAAGCAAUGGAACCAAGGUGCUUAGUAAUGUGACCAAGGUACAUAUAAAUAAACUAAUAAAGUCAAAGCAUAGAACAAUGAGAUUAAGGUACAAACUAAUGGACCAAAAGAUGUUAUAACUGAUAUAUUCUACUCUUGAGAGUGAAAUUACAAACUUUUGGGGUGGAAUUUACUUAUAACUAGAAUGGUUAACAAAUUAUGGAAUCGUUUUUAAAAUUUUUUAUGAAGAUGAGGAAUAUGGAACUUUGUCAAAAGUGCACGAAUUCUAAGCAAUUCAAGUGCAAGUAUUUUUUUUAAAUGUAUAGGAGGAAUAUGGAACUCUUUAAAAUCGUACCAAUCUCGAGCAAUUAUAGUCAAAUUAAAGCAAUAUUGUUCUACAUAAUAGGGCUAAUGUAUGAAGAACUUGAUCAACCAAGUAAUUUCACACCCAAGAGAACAUAACAAAGUAACAUACAAAAGACUAAAGAAGUUAGACGGUCUAUUUUUCAAUAGAUUUGGUUAAAUGUGGAUGUUCUGGAUUUUGUACAAACAAAAUUUUAGUAAUAUUAAAGAUUAUAUACAUGAACUUAAAUUUUUAUUUUCAAAUUUUAGUUAUUUUGGUGAUCAUGUACAUAAAAUAAAUAUUUUAUAAAAAUUAAAUAAUUUGAUCUUCAAUGUAAAUAAAUUUGAUAUGAAUAUACAUGCAAAAGUCACUUUCCCAAUAUAAUGGCUUCUUAUCAAAACUCUUCCAUAGCCUAUUCAAAACAAAUAUUGCAUCUCAUUAAUACUAACAAUAGUUGAAUUUUAUAGAAAUAUCAGUAAUUAGGUUUUAUGAAAAUGUUGAAAAUAUCAAUAAAAAUUUGGAUAAAUAUUGGUGAGACGGAAAUUCAUAAAAACUGAUAUAAAUAUUGAAUUUUUUUAAAAUGAUAAAAUAAAUAAUAAUGAACAUUUAGAAGUUAUUUUAUUAAAAAAAAUAUUUAUAAUAAAAAAUAAUUUACAUUUAAUUCUAAAAUAGUGAUUUAUUUAAUUUGAAUAUAUUAAAAAAUGUAAAAAAAAUAAAAACCUCAUUACGAAUAAUAUUUCAAUUUUUAGUAAUUAGUUAAAUGGAAUUUAAAAAUAUAAAAAAAAAUUGAUUUAACUAUUAAUAUAUAUUUUUUUAUAUGAUCUUUUUAUCUGAAGUAGAAGGGAGUAUUUUGGGUUCUCCGGUAGGACCGACUUUGCUAUGCAUACUUUGAUUUCUACACAUAUAUUAAAAAUAUUUUGAAUAUAAAAUUUUAUGCAACUUAUUGUUCGACCCAUAGAUAAGAAUGGUUAUAAUUUUUAAUAUUUUAUUCCAUUAAUUAAUAUUUUUUAAGUUAUAAUUUCGAACUCACUUAAGAUUUUAGUUUCUCUCAUUCUGUUAUAUAUUAUUCCAACAAACAAUUCUAGAACACAAGGAAGAUCAUUCAUAUCAACUAAAUUUUUUUAGCCAAAUCAACAACAUGGGCUCAUCAAAAGAAGCCAUGCAAAUAAUGGAAUGAAGCGUUGCAAGUUCACGAUUUAAAUAACCAUACUACAAGAAAUCAUGACUUCUUUUGUAACUAAAGACAUGUAUGGCUAUUGUGCCAACUACUUCGCAAAAACCACUACAAUGUGUGAAACGCAUGAAACUAAUAGUAAAGCCUGUCUGGUAACUAGUAUUUUAAUAAUAGCUUUUUAAAAUAAUUUUUAAGAACAAUUUUUUAAAAUUAUUUUCUAAUGUUUUGCAUAACAAGUCUGUUUGGAAUUUAAAAUAUUUUUAUUUUUUUUUUAAUAUUUUUAAAAAUAAUUUUUAUAUUUAUUAUUUUAUUUUUAAUCGUUUUACAUGUUUGUAUAACUAUUUUUUAAAACGGUCCUUAGAAAACAAGUGAAAACAAUUAAAAGAUAUUUUCUAAAAAUAUUUUGUUUUCUAUUUUUAAGAGUAUAAAAUAGAAAAUAGUUUUUAGUUGUCAAACCAUGUGUUUUUUUUUUUUUUUUGAGAGAGAAUAGAAAAUUGUUUGGGAUGACAAAAAACUAUUUUCGAAAACAAUUAUCAAACGAGCCCUAAUGUUUUAUAAUUUUUUUUAAAUAACUUAUGAAGCUCAGUUUUGAAGAACCAUCUUUGAAAAUAAGCAUAUGUUAUUUUUAAGAAUAAAAAUUCUUUUAAUAGCUCAAUUUUGAAAAAUAAUUUUCUUAAUUUAUUGUAUGUGAAGUUAAUGAUGGAUAUACUUUUUCUGUCUAUUCUUCUGUUAUCAAUUGUUUCCUAAAAAUUUAACAAGAAAAGACCAAAAAACUACUUCAACUUGUUCUAAACAAGGCCUAAAAAAUAUUUUAUUGAAAAGACCAAAUAUUUUGAAAAUUAAAAUUUUAUUGAACAUAUUUUGAAAAUUUAAAACUAUUUUCUAUUUUUUAAAAUAUAUAAUUAUUUUUUAAAAUAAUUACCAAAUAUGUCAUCCUAUAAAAAAUAAACAAAAUAGAUAAAUAAUUCAAAAAGAAGGAUCGGGCUAGGCGGCAAUUGGAUUAGUUAUUGUUAAUGCAAGUGAACAGGGCCAUUGGAUGUCAACAUGAUAAUAUUGAUUAUUUAGAUUUUAUAACAAAUUUGUAGAUAAAAAUAUGAUCCAAUUUUAUCCCAAAUUGAAUUAAUGAAAAAUUAAGUUUAAAUGUAAAACCAUAAUUCACAUCAUAGAAUAAGAUUCACAUUUUCCAUUUCCAUUUCGAUUCUCAUCUAUAAAUACCCAAUCCAUAAAUAAGUAUACGUAGAACUUCAUGUGAAAUACUAAUCUUUGGUAGAAAAUAAGGUUAAUUUCUAUAAGAAGAGUCUCUCUUGCCCUUUUUCGUAGGGUUGGAAAAAAAUGAAUUGAUUUGGACCAAGCCAAAUAAAAUUGAUUUUAUAUUUGUGUGUAAAUCCGCAAUAACACACUCACUAGUCAUUAAUUUAUGAUAAUCUAUAGCUCAUAUAUUGAUUAGUACAUUCACUUGAGCAAAAUUUCAUAAUAUGACAAUAUUUAUUAUUUAUAUUUUAGAAAAAAAUAUGAAGAUAAAAUGCAUUACCUAAUUUUAUUCCAAAUUGAAUUUACCAAAUACUAAAUUUAAAUGUAUAACCAUGUUUCCCAUUGUAGACUAGGAUUCACGUUCCCAUUUGGAUUCCUAUUCUUACUUGGUAAAUGCUAAGAAAUCUAAGAAAUCAUUCCUCUCUAUGUGUCACUACAUUUAUUAGAUAUAAGUGCAAGAUGUCCUUUCUUUCUAUCAUAUACUUGGGUAAAGAUGAAAAAGACUCGCAAAACAAGUUAUGUAUUUGGUAUAAAAAUAUAAGUAACAUGAACACAUGAAAGUUUAAGUAUUUAGUGGUGAAAAUUGUAAAGUAAACCGUAAGUAGUGAGAUUUCAUUAAUAAUUACAUAACUUACAAAGACAUCAAAAUGAUAGAAGUUAGGUUUAUUGGGUCCUUUUCUAUAAAUAAUAAUUAUUUUAUUUGACAUCUAUUACCACCCAUUCCAAAAAUAAGUAAAUGUAGAAUCUCACGGGAAACACAAAUCCAUGGUUAAGAAUAACGUUAAUUUUCAUAAAAAGUCUCAUACCAUUUUUAGCAGGGUUGCAAAAAGAUGACUUGAUUUGGACCAAGGCAAAUCAAUUUGAUUUUUUCAAAAUGUGUGUGUAUUCAUAUUUUCAAAUUUGUGUGUUAAUCAACUAUGACACUCUCAACAGUCAUUGGACAAUCAUCAAUUUUUGGUCAUUUAUAACUUAUACAUUGACUCCCAUAUUAUUUUUCCUUUCCACCAUCUUACUUUUCCCUUGACCACGAUAUUUAUAUUAUGAUAAUAUUGAAUAUUUAAAUUUUAUGAUAGAUAAAAAAUAAAAUACAUGAUUUAGUUUUGUUAGAUAAAAAAUAAAAUACAUGAUUUAGUUUUGUUCCUAAUUGAAUAAACUAAAAACUAAGUUUAAAUAUAAAAAACAUGUUCCGUAUUUUAGAUUUAUAUUUGCAUUCUCGUUCUCAUUGGGUUGAUAACAAUAAUAUAAGAAUUUUUUUUUCCUUUAUAUAUGUCUUGCAGUAUUUAUGAAACUACAAGGGGUCAUUUCAUUUCUUUCUAUACCACAUUGUUGGGCAAAAUGCAUCAAAGGUAAAACUUUUAAUGGAGAAAAUGGUAGAGUGGACUGCAAGCGGUGGGAUUGCAUUAUUAAUUAGAUUACUUAUAAAGAGGUGUUGCUGGUAGAAGUAGUGUUUGCCUAUUGUCCCUCUGUAAAUAAUUAUUAUUUUACUGAACAUCUAUAAAUACACACUAAUCUCGAAUACAUCUAAUUAUAGGGAGCAUUCUGGAGGAUCAUAGUCUUUUAAUGGUUAAUUAUAUCUUUCUUUUAUAUUUUUCCAAAGAAUUAAAGGGUUAUUAUAUUUUGAUUACAUAAAAAUCACUUAAAAUAACAUACCAAAGAGAAAAUUAAAAAUAUUUAAGUAAGUUUAUAAAUGUAUAUCUUAUCUAUAUAUCAUAUUCAUGUUAUCAUAUUACUGAUAUUUUCCCUACAUGGGUUUUGACUAUGACAAAAAAUAUUUUCAUGUUAUCAUAAAGUAAUAUAAUUACUACAAAUUCAAGAAAUUAAAAUAAUAAUUAGGAAACAUUAAUUAAAGAAUAAUAUAUAUAUAUAUAUAUAUAAAUUUUUUAUACCUUCUAUCUAUGAAUAGUUUUAUUAUGAGAAAAUAAAUUUUUUGCAUAGCAUCAUGUUAUGAAAUAUUCUCUAUACAAUUUUUGACGUUAAAAUUCCACAAAAUUUUUAAUCGAAAAUUUAGUUUUGUAUAACUUCUAGUUAUACCAUAAUUAAAAUUUGUCUAUAUAGCUUCUAGUUAUAGAAUUGUUCAUUAAAAAUUUUGGUUUGUUAGACUUCUAGUUAAACAACAAAAUUUUAAAAAUUGUUUAUAUAAGUUCCGUUGUGAAAUGAAUAUCAAUAUAAAUUGUUUUUGUAGCUUGUGGCUAUGACAAAUUUUCCAUACAACUUAUGGUUGUACAAAAUUAAAUGUCAAUAUUUUCAAGCUUUUGGCUUAAACAUAGAAAAUAUAGAUUACAUAACUUCCGGUUAUGAUUUUUUUUCUUGUAUAACUUCAAGUUAUACAUUCUAUUUUACAUAUUUUAUUGUAACAAACUAUACAAAUUUAUACAUAACUUCAAGCUAUGAAAUAUUUUUUGUAUAGACUUUGAACAUACAAUUUUGUUUUAUAUAACUUCUAGAUAUACAAUAUAAUUUAAAAAAUAAAAUUACAUGCAUAACUUCUAGCUAUGUCAUUAUAACUUUAUAAUUUCUUGUAUAACUUCAUGUCAUGGGAUUUUAUAUAUUUUACAUAACUUCUUUUUUAUAAUUUAUGGCUAAAAAAUAUUUUCUACAUAGUAUUUGCACAUGUUUCUUAAUCUAAAUAAGGUAAAUCAAAUGCAAAAUAAAUAAAAAUGGAAUUUUAUCAUAUACCUUUUACAUGAGAAAGAAGAUAUUUUCUGGCAAUAGAUUUAAAAUCUAUCAAAAUUUCAUGCGCAAUUGUGAAUUAAAAUUUUUUAAAAGAAGAGAAAAAAAAAAGGUCAAAGGAAAAAUUAUUAACAAUAGUAUCUUAAAAAUAUGAUUUAGAUUCAUUUUUCCCCUUCUAAUUUUUUGUUCACUUAUAAUAAUUGUACUUUGGGUGGAAUAAAAGCAAAACAAAACGUUGAACAUCAAAAUACUCAUUCAUUGGAGGAAUAAAUAGAUUUUUUUAAAAAAAAAAAUCUUAUAAUAUAGCAAUUUAGAAAUUAUUUUCAAAUUUAUAGGAGUUUGUAAGGUGAAAAAUAAAUGAUAUCAUGAUACCCCUUAUGCAAACAUAAUGUCCUCAUUGUGUCACAUGAAAUUGGAGGGUCAAAUAAACAAAAAUCUCUUAUAGCGCAAAAUAAACCCUCACACUAGAAUUAUGGAUUAACUUUGAUAUAAUUUGUAACAACUUAUUUUCAAUUGUAUAGAUAUUGUUUGUCCUAAAUCUAAAAGGUUCACACGGUUUUAAAACACAUCUAUAAAAUUAAGAUGAGUCCAUAUAUAGUGUCAAAAUUUUUUUUUCCCUAUUCAAUAUGGGAUAUCAUGAUUGCAUCCACUAUUUUUAUUUUGUUAGGUUAGGCAAGCACAAACAUGCAUAUAUAAAACCCACUUUGGAAGGUUUUUUUUUAUCCUUUUGAUCUUAAGAUAGAAUAAAAUUUCCUAUACUACCCCUGCAUACCCAAAAAAAUUUACAAUUAAUUUGUUUCAGGCAAUGAAAAUAUUCAACACAAGUUCCUUAAGAAAAGAAAUAAUUUACAAAAUUACAAUAAUCAUGACCAAAAGCAUAUAAGCUAAUUGUUUUACAUAUAAUGAUCUCCUUUUUUGAGGGUCAAUUUUAGAAGAAAAAGCCAACGAAGAUUAUCAGAAAAGUCCCAUACCACAAGUAUUUGUUGUCAUAUUUUGAUUUGAGCACCACACAUCUUGGUAAUGCCAUUUCCUCUCUAAUCACUUCUAUUGCUUCUCACUUCUCACUGCACUUUUCUUCUCCUAACUCAACCUUAUUUAUAAUGGGAAAAAAUUCUAUUUAAAUGUAAGAGCAAGGAAUUUAAAUUAUGUUCAAUGGAGCGCUCAUAAAGCAAGACGCCCAUCAUUAAUUUGGUAGGGAGCUUGUAUUAAAAUACUGAUUUAGUGGUCUGCACUUCUCAUCAGUAAACAUGAACCAAUGAAUAUCGGUUCAUUGCCUUGGAAGCGUGCUUAAGAUCACAAUUACCAUUACAGGCAAUGAUACUCCAAUGAUGUAACUUUCUGGACACCCCACCCAAACAUUCUCAUAUCUAGUUCUUGGUAUGAUCUCCACUUGCAUUUUGAUGUAAAUGCAAGUGGACAGGGCAGUUGUAUGUCAACAUUGAUAGGGGCCUAAGCAUACCCGAACAGUACUUUUGGUCAAGGCUAGUCCUGCUUCUCUUUCAAAUCCGGGUUAUUCUCUUAGUCUGAGUUGAGAAAAAAACUAGAUGAGGAAGAGAUCUAUUUUUGUGAUUUUAUGACAAAUUUGAAGAUAAAAUAUGUGAUCCAAUUUUAUCCCAAAUUGAAUUAAUAAAAAAUUAAAUUUAAAUGUAAAACCAUAAUUCACAUUAUAGAAUCACUUUCAUAUUUUCAUUUCCAUUUCCAUUCCCGUCUAUAAAUACACAAUCCAAAAUAAGUAGACAUGGAACUUAAUGUGAACUACUAAUCCUCAUGAAAAAUAAGGUUAAUUUAAUUUCAUAAGAAAAGUCUAUCUUGCUAUUUUUCGUGGGAUUGGGAAAAGAUGAAUUGAUUUGCAGCAAGCCAAAUAAAAUUGAUUUUUCAAAAUUUUAAAUUUUAUUUGAUCUAUUUAAGAAAAAAUUAAAAAUUUCAAUCUAAUAUAAGAAUGAAUAUAUAUUUGUGUGUCAAUCCACUAUGACACUCGCCAAGAAAAAGUUCAACAUAAGUUCCAAAAGGGAAGAAUUUACAAAAUUAUUACAAUCAUGGUGAAAAGCAUAGGCUAAUUUUGUUACGUACAAUGUUCUUCUUUUUUGAGGGUCCAUUUUGGCAGAAUACAUAUGUCAAUUAUUUAGAAAAAUAAAAAGCCAAAUAAAAAGCCAGCAAAAAUUACGAUAAAAAUACCAAAAUUUUGGCAGUAUAUAUAUGUCAAUUAUUUAGAAAAAUCAAUGGCCAAUAUUUUCAAACAAAAACAUUGCUAUAAAUGGGUGUUUUUCUGAUCGAUUUUAGCCAAUUAAUUAAGGAGUUCAAAUUUUAUUUUUUAAACACUUUUUAUUAUACCAUCUUUAAUCCUUAAAGUGAGUCCCUAGCUAGACACUCAAUUCACAAGUUAAAUUAUUACUUGCAAUCAACAACUCCAUGCUUGGGGUGAACACCACACAGUAUUGGAAUUCAAGCGUGAAGGUUUAUGUAGGUUCUAAUCGGUAUAAGACUCUAAGAAGUAGGUUCAUCCAUAUCAAGUAAUUCUAAAUAUAUCCCUUUCAUAUUUAGUGAAUCCAUGGUUUUUUUUUUUUUUUUUACACCUAUGAAGUUUCUGAAAAACUCCAUAGGUGAUUUUUUCCUCAUACAUCUCGUAUUCUUGUAUGAAAUUCACCAACAUUUAAUUAUUAUUGAUAUAACUUUUAGCAACCCACCUAAAAGGGGUUUCUAGGAGAUAAUGAGCCACUGUAGGUUGAGAUCUAAUGGAAUCACCAUCUUAAUAGAUAACUAUAGAGUAUGAAAAGAAUAGAAGAUAACUAAGUGAUGUUGAUAAAAUAAAAACUUGAUGAAACGAUAGUGGAAAUGGAGGUUUACAAGAAAAGUAACAUAGCAGAGAGGAACUUAAUUGAAGUUAAGAUAUACAUAAAUUAAGAAAUGGGCUAUAUGUCCCAUAGGUAUAGUAAGAAAAACCAUUCAAAGGUGCCUAGUGACUUCCUCUCCAAAGAUGACACUACAUUUUGAAGAGGCAUACAAAAAUCCUUACCUAAAAAAUAUUAAAAUCUACAAGGUAAACAUAAAGUCCAUUGCCAUUACGUGUAUAAGUGUUAGGAUGAUUAAUCUAAGAUAAAACAAUUUUAAAACAUGUCAUACAAUAAUUUUGGUGUAUAUAUAGAAACUAGUAUGACAUAAUCAUAACAAUAUUUAAAGAAGUGUAAUGUAAAACAUGCAAUCAUAAGUUUGGACAUAUAUCCAUGAUCAAUUCAUUGACUAUAAAUAAACUUACUAGCCAUGACUACCACACACCACCACAUUCUUUAGGGUUUCACUAUCUUCAAUCACAAUACCAAGUAACUCAUCUUCUUAUCAUCCUAUUAGGGGCAGAACAAAGCAUACUCUGCCACUUUGGGCUCUACCCCCUAACAUGACAUCAAAAUUCAUGGUUUCACUAUAUAAUCCCCAUCUUGCUAUAUAAGUGGUAUGGAAUUCUGAAACAAAAUUGUACAAAACACUUCUUAGGUGUAUGUGUUAUCAUGCCCAUCGUACAUCAAUGCUCCAAAGACCAAUGGUUGUUUUAGGUUAUGAUAGGGUAUGUAAUUUCAUCAAUUAUAAAUAUAAGUUAUUAAAUAAUUAAUUCAAGAUGAAACAUAAUUUAUUUUUGUAAACUCAAUAUAAAUAAUGUAUCUUUUUGACCAAAAAAUAAUACAACAUAUAUCUCAUGUCAUUAGUAACACUAAGCAACAUAUGCAAGACAUAUCUAUUUUAAGAAAAAUUAGUAAAAUCAUUCAUAUCAUAACUACUCAAAAAUCCUAAAGCAAUUAAAACUAUAGCAAAGCUCACAGUAUGACUCCACAAACUCUAGGUUCUCAUUUGAUAAAAUAAAUUUUAAAUGGAUUAAAAAGAUUUGGAAAUUUCAUAAAAAUGGGAACUAAGAUUCUAAAGUCCUACAAGUCUACUCUCACUUAGACAACACCUUAUAUAAAAAGAUAUAAAGUCUUUAAAAAAUAAGAAUCUAGACCAACUAAGUUCAAUUCGAGUGAGAAUCAAGCCAAUAAGCACAUUGAUGAGUGUAGAUACCUUGAAGAUUAAUAAGUCAAAUGAUUAGCAAAAGACCACCAACUAAGCCUCAACAACCUGAUCCAUGUGUUAGCAUCUCAUUGGUGCUUGUGCGAUUCUUUGAAGAUUCUUAAUUUUGUUAUGAGAUUUUUCAAUCAAAUGAAUUCAAUAACAAUCUCACUCCUUAAAAAUUUUGUAACAAAACUUAAGCACAUAUCCGCAACCUUUACUAGCAUGUAUGCAUUGGUCUAAAAAAUUCAAAGCAUAAUUUCCAAUGAUAUCUCCCCCUAUAUAUGUGUGUCUCUACCAAGCACACAUUUUCUCGCUCUAACAUCAACUUCCCUAGUCUAGUAUUUUUCCCAUUUUUUGAGGCAACAUGUCAAAGGCGAAGAUGCAAAACUUUAUGAAAGAGGAUUUGAUGAAACCAAAAAUGUUUUUGAGUAUAGUUGAGAAUUCAUUCAAGGCUUUUAUCACUUUUAGUUUGCCAAUUAUAUUUUCAUCUUUUUUGGAUAGUGGUUGAUGUACAAAGGUUUUAUAGUUGAGAAUUAACUCAAAGCUUCAUCAUAAUAUUUUUAAGGAGUUAUAUAACCUCAUAUAUUCAAGGAUGUACUCUUGGUACUUAUCAAAACAAUCUUAAUCAGUCAUGAUAAAAACUCGAUUAAUCCUGGAUUGACUAUUCAAAGUAUGUGCCAUAAAUAUGCCUAUAUUAUAACAAAAAUUAGUGCUUUUGAAGAACUAAUGUUGUUAUAUAAAGCACAAACAUUCAAACUUGGUGUGCAAUUCCUCAUGGUAGUUGAGGACUUACUCAAUCACAAAUAAACUUAGAUUUUUUGAGAUAUUUAAAUUUGAUUAAAACCAAAGGCUUUUAAUUAUGUAUGCCAUUUAAUUUUCAAUAUAAGCAUAUUCUACUUUCAUUAUGUCAUUUUCAACAAGCUCCCUAAUAUAGUGAAACUGAAUGUUAAUAUGUUUAGUCCUACUAUACUUAGUGAAAUUGAAACAUUUAUUGCACUGGUAUUAUCACACAAGAUGAACAUAGUAUUGCAUUUGAUUCCAAAAUCUUCUAUCAUCUAUUUAAUCCAAUUCAUUGAGUACAAGAACUACCUAUACUAUUCAGCUUUCGUAGCUAGUGGAUAAGAGGAUAUAAUUGUCUUUUUCUCAUCCAAGUAACAAAGUUUCUCCCAAUGUAAAAUCAACCUCUUGUAGUGUCGUAUAAUACAAGAAACCUAGAGUAAUAUUGUUAGUAUACCAUAACCCUAAAUUGUAAGAUCCAGCAAAAUAUUUGAUGAUCAUUUUUACUAUUGCUAGACGAGAUUUUUUUGGGCUUGAUUGGUAGCACAAAAACCUACACUACGUGCCAUGUCUAGCCUACUAGAUGUAAGAUACAAGAGACGCCCAAUCAUCCUUCUGAAUGAUGUAGAUCGAUCAAUUUCCUUACUUUUUUUCAUCCUAUGAAAGCUUAACACUUGUUCCCAAUAAGGUCGUCUCAUGUUUAGAUGAUUCCAAGCCAAACUCUUUACUAACCCUAUAGCAUACUUGACUUCCAAGAAAGAAAGAUGACUUUUUCAUUGUGCUCAUGUCAAAUCUUGAGCUCAUUUCCUCAAUAAAUUCAUGUGCUUCAUCAGUUAAUGUGAAACUAAAUAUGAUGUCAUUGACAUUUACUGGGCUACUGCAAAGACACCAUCCUUUCUCCUUAGAAACAAAGUCCUAUGAAAUCUAUAUAUGUCAAAUAACACUUUUCUUUAUAAAAUGGUUAAAAAAAAUGUUUUUAAUGAAAGUAGCGGAUGAAGAGUACACGAGAAAGAAUAUUUUCGUUUUAUGGUAAAAUUUUAUUAGGAUAAAAAGAGUUCUUUUAUUGUGUAAUUUUUUUUUGGAAGAAUUCAGAAUAAAAUAUAAAAAAAAAAUUACUAAGAAAAAGGGUAAUAUUAAAACUAAAAUUUCAUAUAAUAUUAAAAAUAAGGGACCAUGUUUUGCUACAAGUGCAAUAUAUAUAUCUAAUUUUUCAGAUUUCAAUUACUAAUGAGUAAUGAGAACAAAAAAAAAAAAAAAUCCUAAAUUUUAUAACUACAAAGAUAUGCAUGUUAAUUAAAUUGAAUUAAAAUUAAAAUAUAAAAUUGAAUUUUAUAAUUAUAUAACAAGAUGUGAAAACAAAUAAAAUAUUUGAAAGUAUGUGAAACAACAUAUUUUUAUGAAAUGGCAAAAGAACAAAAUCUUUUUUUCAUAAAGAUAUGAAAGUCCCCUAUAUUUCCCAAAAAGAGACAUUAAUUGAAGAAGGUGGCAUCUGGUGCGCCCAUUCAAAGGCUCGUAAAUGCUGCUUUGUCUCUUGUAUAGGCUCUUUUGUAUACGGUUUGUGAUAAAAGCCUGCUGGGCAUUUACAACCCAUCUCUGUUGGCCCUGUUCUGUUAGCCUCUUCUCAGCUUUGACCAAAUCCUAGCUUUCACACACACCUGCACCAUUUCUUGCUCCUGCUCGGCAGGGCUGGCGAAAAUGACAACACAUCUCUUGUUUUCAAAUCAAGAGGAGCGCACCUGUUAUAUUUUAUUGAGCUUAAUGUCAUUUGUCAUCCAAAUAAGGGUUUAUAAGAAAAGGAAUUUAUUUUAGUCUACUACAAUGUCAACAACAUCAAAGUCUAGGUGACACGACAAGUACAUUUCUAUAGAAAGAGAAUGAGAAUAGGAAUCUAAAUUACAAUGUUAACAAUGUAAUUUAAGUCUAGGUGACACGAUAAGUAUAUUUUUAUCGAAUGAGAAUGGGAAAGAGAAUCUAAGUUUACAAUAUAAACAACGUCUGAGUCUAUACAUCGAAUGAGAACCUGAUCUGAUAAAUCAUGGGUCUAUAAUUCAGCCCUCCUGACAAGCAACUCUAUAUUGACUGAGUGUCCAAUCCAACAUAGCUACAUUAAGGUGUAUGGGGUCAAAAUUAGAAGUCCAUGAAAGAGACACGUCACAAUUAAGUCAUUAAACUCAAAAUCACAUAAAAUAUAUAAAGUAAUGUUUCUCCUCCAUUCAGAGGCAUUUCUAAGAUCUGGAAAUGGGGUGGCAUAGUCUAGAUGAGAUGUAAGUAUAUUAAGUACCAAGAUAUUAAAACUAAAAAAAAGUGAAAAAGCUACGCAAUACCCACAUAAUAUUUAUUUCAUCAAUACUUAGAAAACACAAACUCAAGUAGCACAGUACAUGAUGAUAAGUUACAUAAAAGAAACAUCUUUCUUUAAGUCGCUCACCGAUCAUGCAUAACACUAAGUAGUCCCAAAAGUAAAGGCAAGCACAAUUUUAUUAUCCUUCAUAAUACUAUUAGGCAAGGAAGGGGGAUUCGACCAAUGCAACAAGUCCUAGAAGCAUGACUUAGCAUUUCACAUCACAGAUUUUCUUCUUUGGUCUCGUACUUGACGUUGAAGCAGUUCACGCCAACGUAAACACCAUCAUCCAUAUUGUCAACAACAAUUUUCCCGUCUGUCAAAGUGUCGCGCUGAGUGUAGGAGAAAGGGACGUCGCAAGAACCCUUGGUUCCUAUCAUGCUCACGGUCACCCUAGUCAUCGCCGGCACUGUAACAUUGUACAUAGUCUCCAUUGCAGUAGUGACUGAUUCAGUUUCUCCCCACUCAUAUGCACCGCUAAACUCGGACGAAAUUUCUAACUUUCCGUUGGCGAUGAAUGGAACGCCGCUUUCCAUGGUGAUUUUGACACCCAACUUCAAUGAGACGCUGCCCUUCCAAGUACUGCUCUUAGUCUCCGUAUACGAGAGCUUCACCUGUUGAGUGUGCGGUUCAUGGGUCCUGUUAAUGGCUUCCGCGGUGGUCAUCACGAUGACGCUCUGGUCGUAGAUCCUAGCGUCCAUGAGGCGAAAAUUGACAUUAUAGAUGUUUCUUGAUAAAACAAGCUCUGCCACCUCCAGGCGUGCCUCUCUGGAAAUUGUGGAGACCGCGGCAUUGAGACAGCUGGUCUUGCCCUCGGUGGUGAGUCUCUUACAGAAAUUGUUGUUACCUAAGUUGCGGAGAGCGACCACAUUGUUGUCAACUCUAACAGGCCAAAACAAGGUAUCGGAGUUGUUGGUGGUGGAAUCAUCGGAGUCAGCCCAUAUCCAGUUAGGGCUGCGCCUCCAGAAUCUGCCGAAGUAAUCUGACUUUAUGCGGACGCUUCCAUCGUGAGUGGUGAAGACCUCGUUCCCCACCGUCGGGUCUCCAAUGUCACUUGAUGCGAACUCCAGAUAUGGGUGUCCCUCGAUCUUCCGGGCACUGAGGUAGUGGCCAUUAUCGCCCUUGAAGGCGAUAUGUUUUGGCAAUAUCAAUAGUGAUUCCCAAUCAAUGAUUGUACAGACAUCGCAGAGGUCGUUGUCAGCCGAAGUUGAUCCUGCAAACAAACAGGAACCAUAAGGAGGUGGAAGCCUCCAUAAGCAUGCAUAGUGUCCGAGCUGGACGUGGCGAAAUCGGAGUGUUUGAGCAUCGCCAUCUACGUGCACAGGCUCGAACAAGGUGCAUGACCAUGACGAUUGGUCUUCAUCUGGUUCGUCCGCCCCGGCAACAAUCCACCAGUGGUUCUUGGACCACCUUACCCAGUAUUUGUUGUUGUAGCAGCAUCUUAUGUGCACUAGUCCCCCGCCAUUCUUUGCCCUCUCCACUUGGUACUUUGAGUAGGGUGUCACGACCUCCUCUCCCGAGAAUUGGAGAAAUCCAUGAAUUUGCACAUCUUCAUGGAUGUACCGCAAGUACUUGUUGUUAUAUUUUGAUUUGAGCACCACAUACCUUGGUAAUGCCAUUUCCUCUUUAAUCACUUCUCACUGCACUUUUCUUCCCUUCACUCGGCCUUAUUUAUAAGGGAAAAAACUAUACUUAGAUGUGAAACCAUAUUUCACAUCGUAGACUUUCAUUUGCAUUCCCAUUCUGAUUUGGUAGAUAAAUUUAAGAUGCUAUUUAUUCCUCUGGGUCCCGCAACUUUCAUUGAAUAUCAUUAAUAGCAAGACUAAAACCACAUGUCAAAUUGUAGACUUUUACUCGUAUUCUCAUUUACAUUCCCGUUCUCAUUUGGUAGAUACAAAUAAAUUUAAGAUGCUAUACAUUUCUGUGUCCCACAACUUUUAUUGAAUAUCAUUGAUAGCAAGACUUAAACCACAUGUCAAGUUGUAAACUUUGAUUUGUAUUCUCAUUUGCAUUCUUGUUCUCAUUUGGUAGAUAAAGAAAUUUAAGAUCCUAUAUAUUUAUGUGUCCCACAACUUUUAUUGAAUAUCAUUAAUAGCAAGACUAGAACCACGUCAAAUUAUAGACUUUGAUUCGUAUUCUCAAUUGCAUUACCAUUCUCAUUUGGUAAAUGUAUAUACCAAUAAAUCAAGACAUCCUUUCUUUCCAUUGCAUGCUUAGUGUGGAUAAGAAAGACUCCCAUAAAACAAAUAAUGUAUAUAUGACAUAAAAAUAAAACUAUGCAUUAAACAUAAAACAUUUUAGUGGUAAAAAUAGUAAAUUGGAUUGCAAAUAGUGAGAUUUCAUUAAUAAUCAUAUAACCUAUAAAGACACGUUGAUGGUAGAAGUUAGGUUUUUUGGGUCUCCUAUAAAUAAUUUCACAUGACAUCUAUUAUUAAUACACACUUCUAUAACACUCUCACUAGCCAUUUAACAAUCGUCGAUAGUCUAUAACUCAUACAUUGACUACCAUAAUUUUUUUUUGCUUUCCAUUAUUUUAUUUUUCUCUUCAGUAUAAUAUUUAUAAUAUGAUAAUAUUGAUUAUUUAGAUUUUGUGAGAAAUAAGAAGAUAAAUACAUGAUCUAGUUUUAUUCCUAAUUGAAUAAACCAAAAACUAAAUUUAAAUAUAUAUAAAACCAUGUUUCACAUUGUGGAUUUAGAUUCACAUUCCCAUUUGCAUUCUCAUUCUUAUUUGGUGGAUAGCAAUGAUAUAAUAUAUUAUUUCUUCCAUUAUAUAUGUCUCUCAAUAUGAAUUAAACUACAAGACAUCAUUUCUUUCUAUAUCACAUGCUUGGCUAAUGAUAAGAAAGACUUUGACAUAACAAGUAAUAUGAAUGCGUGAAAUGUAAAAGAUUUAAUGGAGAAAAGGAUAAGAGUGAACAUAAGUGGUAAGUGGUGGGAUUUCCUUAAUCAUUAAUAAUUAAUAAUGAUAGAAGUUAGGUUUGUCAAGUCUUCCUUUGUAAAUAAUUAUUAUUUUACUAGAAUUUAUAAAUACACAAAAAAAAAUAGUAGUAGAUGUGAAUCUCAUGUAAAAAGCUAAUCUUGAGUGAUAAAUGGUGUUAACCCUUAUGAGAAGAGUCGUCUUUAAUUCUAAUUUUUGUGGGAUUGGAAACAUGACUCGGAUUGGAUCAAACAAAUGAAAUUGAUUUUUCAAAAUUUUAUAUUUUAUUGCAUCAAUAAAUAUCUUAAUCUAAUAUAUAAUUUAUCAACCUUUUAAAUUAUGAAAACAAAAUUGACUUAAUAUAUAUAAUUUUUAAACUUGUGUUUCAAUACCCAAUCACUGGUCAUUAAAAAGUCAUCAAUUUCAAAUAUUCUAUAACUCAUACAUGGACUUCUAAAUUUUAUUUUUUCAACUGACUUUAUUUUCUCUUAAGUAUAAUUGUCAAAACUAGAUAAUAUUGAUUAUUUAGAUUUUAUGACAAAUUUGAAGAUAAAAUAUACAAUCCAACUUGUUCCAAAUUGAACUAACCAAAAAUUAAAUUUAAAUGUAAAACCAAAAUUUACUUUAUAGACUAAGAUUUGCAUUCCCAUUUGAAUUCUCAUUCUUAUUUUGUGAAUACUAAUAAAUUAAAAACACUAUUUCUUUCUAUAUGCAUGCCUCACAACAUUUAUUGGAUAUCACUAACAGCAAGACUAAAACAAGGCUUCACAUUCUAUACUUCGAUUCUCUUUUCCAUUUGCAGCUCCAUUCUCAUUUGGGGGAUACCAAUAAAUCUAAAACAUAAUUUCUCUUUAUAUAUCUCACAAAAUUUAUUAGAUAUUAGUAAAUGUGUGACGUCAUAUUUCUUUUUAUCACAUGCUUGGUAAAGAUAAGGACUCACAAAACAUAUAACAUUGAGGGGUGAAAAUGGUUAAGCGAUUUGUAAGCAGUGAGAUUUGAUUAAUACUUAUAUAACCUACAAAGACAUGUUGAUGGUAGAAGUUAGGUUUGUUGGAUCUCCUUUUGUAAAGAAUUAUUAUUUUACAUGACAUAUUAAUACUCACUCCAAAAAUAAGUGGACGUAGAACAUCAUAUGAAAUAAUAAUGAUGGAUGAUGAAUAAAGUUAAUUUCCAAAAGAAGAGUCUCUCUGACGAUUUUGAGUGGGAUUGGGAAAAGAUAGAUUAAUUUGGACCAAGAAAAUCAAUUUGACUUUUAAAAAUUUUAAAUUUUGUCGGAUUUAUUUAAAAAGAAGCUAAAAUUUUCAAUCUAAUAUAUGAAUAAUCAACAUGUUAAAUGGUUGAAAACUGAAUUCACUAGGAUAUAUCUAGAAUUUUUAAAUUUGUGUGUCAAUCUACUAUGACAUCUCACCAGUUAUCAAAUAAGCAUCAAUGAGCAUAAUAUGAUAAUAUCGAUUAUUAAGAUUUUAUGAAAAAUAUGAAGAUAAAAUACAUGAUCUAGGUCCAUUCUUAAUUGAAUUAAUCAAAAAUUAAAUUUAAAUGUAAAACCAUGUUUCACAUGGUAGACUUAGAUUUACAUUCCCAUUCCCAUUUGCAUUCUCAUUCUCAUUCUCGUUUGGUAGGUACCAAUAAUAUAAGAUAUUAUAUUUCCUUUAUAUGUAUAUGUCUCACAACAUUUAUCAAACUACAAGACAUCCUUUCUUUCUACAUCACAUGUUUGGAUAAGGAUAGGAAAGACCUUGACAUAGUAAGUCACAUAUUUAGCAUAAAAAUAAAUUUGAAAUCAUGAAAGGUAAAGUAUUCAAUGAAGAAAAUGGUAGAGUGGACUACAAGUGGUGGGAUUUUCAUUAAUAGUUAAAUAACUUAUAGAGACAUGUUCAUGGUAGAAGUUAGAUUUGUCAGUCUCACUCUUUAAAUAAUUAUUGGAUGUGACAUCUAUAAAUACACACAAAAAAAGAAGUAGAUGUAGAAUCUGAAGUAAAAACUAAUCCUAAGUUAUGAAUGAGGUUAACUCCUAUGAGAAGAGUUUUUAAUAUUAAUUUUUAUGGUGUUGAAAAAAUGAAUAGAUCACAAUCAUCCAUUCCUAAUAAUUCAUAACCCUUAUAUUGAUUCCUAUAUUUUAUAUUUUUAGUUGAUUUUAUUUUUUCUCUUAAGCAUAAUUGUCACAGCAUAGUACUAUUGAUUAUUUGGAUUUUAUGACAAAUUUGAACAAGAAGUAUAUGAUCCAACUUUUUGAAAACUUGAAUUAACCAAAAAUUAUAUUUAACUUAAAACGGUAACUCACAUAAUAAACUAAGAUUUGCAUCCUCACUUGCAUUCGCAUUCUCAUUUAGAGGAUACCAAUAAAUAAAAGACAUCAUUUCUUUCCAUGUCUUACAACAUUUAAAAACUAUGUUGCACAUUUUAAACUUAAAUUCAUAUUCACAUUCCCAUUUCUGCUCUCAUUUGGUGGAUACAAACACUUACAAGACGUGAUUUCUCUCUAUUUGACUCACUACAUUUAUUAGAUAUUAGUAAUCGCAAGACUUUCUUCUUCUUUUUUUCUAUCAAGUUCACAAAACAAGUUAUAUAUCACACAUAAAAAUAAAAAAUAAAAAAAUAAAAAAAUAAAAAGUAUUCACUAUAACAUAAAGCAUUGAAUGGUGAAAAUAGUAAAGUAUACUACAAGUAGUGAGAUUUCAUUAAUAAUUUUACAAACUAUGAAGAUAUGUUGUUGGUAGAAGUUAGGUUUGUUGGGUCUCCUUCUAUAAAUAAUUAUUAUUUUACAUGACAUCUACUAAUACCCACUCCAAAAAUAAGUAGACUUAAAACCUAAUGUGAAAUAAUAACCAAAGAUGGUAAAUAAGGUUAAUUUCCAUAAGAAGAGUCUCUCUUAUAAUUUAGUGGGGUUCAAAAAAGAUGAAUUGAUUUGGACAAAGCAAAAUCAAUUUGAUUUUUCAUCAACGUAUAUUUGCACUAAGAGCAUGUCAUUUUCUUUGGUUUUUAUGAAAAGAGUUGUGUCUAUUUUUCCCAUUUUAAAACCCUCUUUCAAAAGAAAUUUACUCAAUCUUUCAUACCAUGCUCUAGGUGCUUGUUUCAAACCAUAAAAUGCCUUUUUAAGUUUAAAAACAUGAUUAGGAAGGUUAAAACUUUGAAAAUCGGGCGGUUGUUCUGUUGGGCUUUGUGGAGCCUAGUUUUGUUUGAUCCGGUUUGGCGACCUGACCCAAAUAAUAUUGCAUGACUUUUUAAUGGGAGAUUCACUAAGGCUUGUUGGGCCCGUUUAGCCCAUUGUGGAACCACCUUUUGUAAUUAGGGUUUUUAAGUGUAGUGUGGUUGCCAUGUUAUAUAUAGAGAGAAAAUAUUGUAGCCGCUGUGGUGGUACUCUAUAUUUUUCCCUGAUAAUAGUGAUAUCCCUACAACUCCGUGGACGUAGGCAAAUUGCCGAACCAUGUAAAUAUUGUCUUGUGCAUGUGAUUGUUUUUCUUUGGCGUGUGUUUUCUCUAAUUUUUGUUUCUCACGGGUUGGGAAUUCGGUUUAAUUCCCUACAACUGGUAUUAGAGCCUAGGGUUAGGUUUGAGUGGGAGCAAUGGAAAAAGAAGCAGGAAAGGCAUCUGGAAUAGAAAAGUUUGAUGGCACAGACUUUGCGUAUUGGAAGAUGCAGAUUGAAGAUUAUCUCUAUGGGAGGAAAUUGCAUCUACCUCUUUUGGGGACAAAACCUGAGAGUAUGAAGGCUGAGGAAUGGGCGCUUCUUGACAGACAGGUUCUAGGAGUUAUUAGGUUAACUCUGUCUAGGUCUGUUGCACACAAUGUUGUAAAGGAGAAGACCACAGCAGAUCUAAUGAAGGCUUUGUCCAGUAUGUAUGAAAAGUUGUCCUCAAACAAUAAGGUGCAUCUGAUAAAGAAAUUGUUCAAUUUGAAGAUGGCAAAGAAUGCAUAAAUAGCACAACAUCUGAAUGAAUUUAAUACAAUCACAAAUCAAUUAUCGUUUGUAGAAAUUGAUUUUGAUGAUGAGAUUCGUGCUCUAAUCGUCUUGGCUUCUUUGCUAAACAGUUGGGAGGCAAUGAGGAUGACAAUAAGCAAUUCUACAGGAAAGGAAAAGCUCAAAUACAAUGAUAUACAAGAUUUAAUUCUGGCUGAGGAGAUUCACCGAAGAGAUGCAGGCGAAACCUCAGGAUCUAGUUUUGCCCUAAACCUUGAGACAAGAGGCAGAGGUAAUGACAAAAAUUCAAACCAGGGUAGAUCAAAAUCUAGAAAUUCUAAUCGGAACAGAAGCAAAUCUAGAUCAAGCCAACAAGUACAAUGUUGGAACUGUGGGAAAACAGGUCACUUUAAAAGGCAAUGCAAAAUCCCUAAGAAGAAGAAUGAAGAUGAUUCUACUAAUGUUGUAACAGAAGAGGUACAACAUGCAUUACUUCUUGUAGUAGACAGUCCACUCGAUGAUUGGGUUUUGGAUUCAGGAGCUUCGUUUUAUACCAUUCCACACCGAGAAAUCAUACAGAAUUAUGUUGCAGGUGAUUUUGGUAAGGUGUAUUUGGCUGAUGGUUCAGCCUUGGAUGUUGUGGGUCUGGGAGACGUCCGAAUAUCGUUACCCAAUGGGUCUGUUUGGUUACUGGAGAAGUUCGACAUAUUCCUGACCUAAGGAGGAAUCUGAUUUAUGUUGGACAACUUGAUGAUGAAGGACAUGCAAUACUAUUUGUUGGUGGUACUCGGAAGGUUACAAAGGGAACUAGGGUAUUGGCUCGUGGAAAAAAGACCGGUACACUGUAUAUGACCUCAUGUCCAAGAGACACAAUUGCAGUUGCUGAUGCAAGUACUGAUACAAGCCUAUGGCACCGUAGACUUGGUCACAUGAGUGAGAAAGGGAUGAAGAUAUUGUUAUCAAAAGGGAAACUACCAGAAUUGAAGUCCAUUGAUUUUGACAUGUGUGAAAGUUGCAUCUUAGGAAAACAAAAAAAAAGUGAGCUUCUUGAAAACUGGCAGGACACCGAAGGCUGAAAAAUUGGAACUAGUACACACUGAUUUGUGGGGGCCUUCUCUGGUUGCAUCCCUUGGUGGUUCAAGGUACUACAUCACUUUUAUUGAUGACUCAAGCAAAAAGGUAUGGGUUUAUUUUCUGAAAAAUAAAUUUGAUGUAUUUAAAGCUUUUAAGAAGUGGAAGGUCAUGGUUGAGACAGAAACAGAUUUGAAAGUAAAAUGUUUGAGGUCAGAUAAUGGAGGAGAGUACAUAGAUGGAGGGUUUAGUGAGUAUUGCGUUGCACAGGGAAUUAGAAUGGAGAAGACCAUUCCUGGGACACCACAGCAGAAUGGUGUGGUUGAGCGCAUGAACAGAACUCUCAAUGAGCGUGCUAGAAGAUGAGGUUGUAUGUUGGACUACCAAAAACUUUUUGGGCUGAUGCUGUUAGCAUUGCAGCUUACCUGAUAAACCGAGGACCAUCAGUUCCUAUGGAAUUCAGACUUCCUGAGGAGGUUUAGAGCGGUAAAGAGGUGAAGUUUUCACAUUUAAAAGUUUUUUGUUGUAUUUUUUAUGUUCAUAUUGAUUUUGAUGCUCGUAGUAAACUUGAUGCAAAGUCAAAAAUAUGUUUUUUCAUUGGCUAUGGUGAUGAGAAAUUUGGCUAUAGGUUUUGGGAUGAACAAAACAGGAAAAUCAUCAGAAGUAGAAAUGUGAUAUUUAAUGAACAGGUUAUGUACAAUGACAGGUCAACUGUAGUGUCAGAUGUUACAGAGAUAGAUCAAAAGAAAUCUGAGUUUGUCAACUUAGAUGAAUUGAUUGAAAGUAUUGUCCAAAAAGGGAGUGAAGAAGAUAAGGAGAAUGUAAAUUCACAAGUAGAUCAAAGUACACCUGUAGCUGAAGUUCGCAGAUCUUCCAGGAACAUUAGACCUUCACAGCGUUAUUCACCUGUUUUAAAUUAUCUCCUGUUGACUGAUGGUGGUGAGCCAGAGUGUUAUGAUGAGCCUUGUAAGAUGAGAAUUCAAGCAAGUGGGAGUUAAUCAUGAAGGAUGAGAUGGAUUCCUUGUUGGGGAAUCAAAUAUGGGAACUGACUGAAUUGCCAGUAGGAAAGAAGGCUUUGCACAACAAGUGGGUAUACAAAAUAAAGAAUGAGCAUGAUGGUAGCAAACGUUACAAGGCCAGAUUAGUUGUUAAAGGGUUCCAACAGAAGGAGGGCAUUGACUACACAGAGAUAUUUUCUCCAGUUGUGAAGAUGUCAACAAUUAGACUUGUACUUGGAAUGGUGGCUGCAGAAAACUUACAUCUUGAGCAGUUAGAUGUGAAGACAACAUUCUUUCAUGGUGACUUGGAGGAAGACCUUUACAUGAUUCAACCAGAAGGGUUCAUUGUUCAUGGACAAGAGAAUCUAGUCUGCAAACUGAAAAAGAGCUUGUAUGGCCUUAAACAAGCUCCUAGACAAUGGUACAAGAAGUUUGACAAUUUUAUGCAUAGAAUUGGGUUCAAGAGAUGUGAAGCUGAUCAAUGUUGCUAUGUUAAGUCCUUUGACAAUUCUUACAUCAUAUUACUAUUGUAUGUGGAUGAUUUUCUUAUUGCAGGGUCUGACAUUGAAAAGAUUAAUAAUCUGAAGAAGCAAUUGUCCAAACAGUUUGCAAUGAAGGAUUUGGGAGCUGCAAAGCAAAUCCUUGAUAUGAGAAUCAUUAGAGACAAGGCUAAUGGUACAUUGAAGCUUUCACAGUCAGAGUAUGUGAAGAAAGUUCUUAGCAGGUUCAACAUGAAUGAAGCUAAACCAGUGAGCACACCCUUGGGUAGUCAUUUCAAACUAAGCAAAGAACAGUCACCGAAGACAGAAAAAGAAAGGGACCAUAUGAGCAAGGUGCCCUAUGCCUCAGCUAUUGGCAGCUUGAUGUAUGCUAUGGUGUGUACAAGGCCAGACAUUGCACAUGCAGUGGGAAUUGUGAGUAGAUUCAUGAGUAGGCCUGGAAAGCAGCAUUGGGAGGCAGUCAAGUGGAUUCUAAGAUAUCUGAAGGGUUCAUUAGAUACAUGUCUUUGCUUCACAGGUGCAAGUUUGAAACUGUAGGGUUAUGUAAAUGCUGAUUUUGCUGGUGAUAUUGAUAGUAGAAAGAGUACUACUGGGUUUGUUUUUACUCUAGGUGGUACAACUAUAUCAUAGGCUUCAAAUCUACAGAAGAUUAAUUGUUACUUUGUCUACUACAGAAGCUGAAUAUGUUGCAGCAACUGAAGUUGGAAAGGAGAUGAUUUGGCUACAUGGUUUCUUAGAUGAAUUAGGUAAGAAGCAGGAGAUGGGCAUUCUACACAGUGAUAGUCAGAGUGCAAUUUUUCUUGCCAAAAAUUCGGCUUUUCAUUCAAAGUCGAAGCAUAUACAAACAAAAUACCACUUUAUCCGUUAUCUUGUUGAAGAUAAACUGGUAAUACUUGACAAGAUUUGUGGAUCUAAGAACCCGGCAGACAUGUUGACUAAGGGUGUCACUAUUGAGAAGUUGAAGUUGUGCGCAGCUUCAAUUGGUCUUCUAGCUUGAGGACAGGAGGAUGAGUUGUAGGGAUGAAGGAUUGUUUCUUGGAUGAUAGCGGUUUGAUGUUGGUGAUUGAACUAAUCUCCAAGUGGGAGAUUUGUUGGGCUUUGUGGAACCUAGUUUUGUUUGAUCCGGUUUGGCAACCUGACCCGAAUAAUAUUGCAUGGCUUUUUAAUGGGAGAUUCACUAAGGCUUGUUGGGCCCGUUUAGCCCAUUGUGGAACCACCUUUUGUAAUUAGGGUUUUUUAGUGUAGUGUGGUUGUUAUGUUAUAUAUAGAGAGAAAAUAUUGUAGCCGCUGUGGUGGUACUCUAUAUUCUUCCCUGAUAAUAGUGAUAUCUCUGCAACUCCGUGGACGUAGGCAAAUUGCCGAACCACGUAAAUACUGUCUUGUGCGUGUGAUUGUUUUUCUUUGGCGUGUGUUUUCUCUAAUUUUUGUUUCUCAUGGGUUGGGAAUUCAGUUUAAUUCCCUACAUGUUCAACUUAUACCUCUUCAUUUAUAAAGCCAUUUAAGAAAGCACUUUUCACAUCCAUUUGAUAUAAAACAAAGUCUUUAAAACAUGCAAAGGCAAUUAGCAUCCUAAUGGCUUCCAAUCUAGCUACGGGAGCAAAGGUUUCUUCAUAAUCUAUCACUUCUUCUUUAUUAAAACCUUGGGCUACCAAUCUUGCUUUAUUCCUUAUAAUUAUGUCAUUUUCAUCCAUUUUAUUUCUAAAGACCUAUCUAGUUCCAAUAACACUUUGAUUUUGAGGUCUUGGCACUAAUUCCCAUACUUCACUCCUUUCAAAUUGAUUUAACUCUUCUUGCAUGGCAAUCAUCCAAUUUUCAUCAAUUAGAGCAUCUUUUAUAGUUUUAGGUUCAAUUUGAGAGAUAAAAGCAAGAUUAUUGCAAAUAUUUCUAAGAGAUGAUCUAGUUCUUACCCCACUAGAUGGAUUACCUAUAAUUUGAUCUUGUAGGUGGUUGAUGACAAACUUCCAAUCUUUAGGGAGGUCUUGGCUUGAUUCACCUUGCACUUGUUGAAGAGGAGGUAGUGCCAAAGGUGAUUCUUCUUUCUUGGGAUCCUCUACAACUUCUUCUUAUUGCCUUCUAUCUUCAAUUUGUAAUUUUCCCAUAGAGGUCUCCAACCCUAAAUCAUCAUCAAAGCUCUCUCUUUCUUGGAGAGAAUUGUUAGAUUCAUAAAAAAUAACAUGGAUGGACUCCUUAACAACCAUGGUUCUUUUGUUAAAAACUCUAAAGGCUUUACUUGAAGUUGAGUAACCAAGAAAAAUUCCAACAUCCGAUUUUGCAUCAAAUUUUCCAAAUUUGUCUUUAGUGUUUAAUAUAAAUCAUUUGCACCCAAAGACUUUGAAAUAGCUAAUGUUGGGUUUCUUGUUUUUCCAAAGCUCAUAGGGAGUUUUCUUAAGAAUAGGCCUUAAUAAAAUUCUAUUUAAAACAUAACAAGAAGUGUUAACCGCUUCAGCCCAAAAGUAUUUUGGUAAAUUGUUUUCAUUUAGUAUGGUUCUAGCCAUUUCUUGAAGAGUUCUAUUUUUCCUUUCAACUACCCCAUUUUGUUGAGGAGUUCUAGGAGCCGAAAAUUUGUGAUUAAUACCAUGCUCAUUGCAAUAGUCUUCAAAAUUAAUAUUUUCAAAUUCUCUCCCAUGAUCACUUCUUAUACAAGUAAUUGUAAAACCUUUUUCAUUUUGAACCUUGUUGCAAAACUUUGAAAACUCAUAAAAGGCUUCAUUCUUUUGACUUAAAAAUAAGACCCAAGUGUAUCUAGAGAAGUCAUCCACAAUAACAAAAGCAUAAGAUUUUCCUCUAAGGCUUGGUGUCCUAGAGGGACCAAAUAAAUCCAUAUGCAACAAUUCAAGAUGCAUAGUUGUUGAAAUGAAAUUUUUGUUUUUAAAAGAGUUUUUGAUUUGCUUUCCCACUUGACAAGCUUCACAAACUUUGUCUUUUUGAAAAUUUAUUUUGGGAAGGCCUCUAACAAGUUCAUCUUUGUUGAGUUGGGAAAUGAGGUCCAUGUUAGCAUGUCUCAACCUCCUAUGCCACAACCAACUUUGAUCAUGCAUGCUUGAAAAGCAUCUAUCAUGGCCAUCAUAUUUUGAAAUAUUUAUUGCAUAAACAUUAUCACAUCUAUGGCCCAUGAAGAUGGUUUUAUCAUUUUGAAUAUCUUUGAUGAUGCAAUGAGAUGCUUCAAAAAUCACUUUAAAACCUUUGUCACAAAGUUUUCUUAUGCUCAAAAGAUUAUGUUUUAAACCAUCCACUAAUAAAACACUUUCAAUAAGAGAGGAUAUGUCAUUACCAAUGUUGCCUUGACCAAUGAUCAUUCCUUUUGAAUUGUCUCCAAAGGUAACGUAUCCUCCCUUUCUCUUUGUAAGGAAAGCAAACUUGGAUUCAUCCCCGGUCAUGUGUCUUGAGCAUCCACUAUCCAAGAACCACUUAUCCUUCUUUGAUCCCUAUAAAAUAAAAUUUAAGCUGAUUUAGGUACCUAUAUCUUUUUGGGUCCUUGAGGGUUAGUGACCUUGGAUUUCUCAACCCAAACCUUUUUAGGUUUAGCAUUUGAAUUCUUUUGAGAACAAUUUCUUAAGGGACAUGUACUACAAAUGUGCCCUCCUCUUCCACAAAAGUUGCAAGUGGUGGAAGGACUUGCACUUGCGGAUUCUUUUACAAAGUAGUUUUUAAAAUACUUUUGAUUUUUUUUUUUAAGAUUUGAAUCCUAGCCCUUGUUUGUCAAAGACACAUUUUUGGCUAGCUAAGAUCAUUUCAAAAUAUUUUUGUCCACAAGAGAAAAUUGAAAGAGAGGAGGUUAACCAUUCAUUUUUCUUUUUCAAAAUCUCAUUUUCUUUUUCAAGAUGAGUUUUAGAUAUUUCAACAAUUGAAAAUCUUUCUUUCACUUCUUCAAGUUCCUUUUCAAGUUCUUGAAUUUUCUUUUUAAGAGAAUUAUUUUUCAAACUAAGUUUUUCAAAAUCCUCAUAUAAUUCUUUAAAAACAUCAUGCAUAUCUUUAUCACUAAAGUUAGAUUUUACCUCAUCAAGAUCAUCUAUUUCCAUAAAGCACAUGUUUGCCACUUCCUUCUCAUUUUCUUCUUCAGAGGAUUCUUCACUUUCACUCCAAGUGGCCAUCAUUGCCUUCUUCAUUCUUCUCUUGGCUUCACUCUUGUAGAGAGGACAAUCAUAUUUAAUGUGUCCCGAUUUUUUGCACUUGAACCAUAUCAAAUCUCUUUUCUCUUCCCAUUUCUCCUUGUCACCAUGGGAUGAAGAUUCCUUUUUAGAAGGAUCCCUUCCAAAGGUGAAUUUCCUUCCUCUAAACCUUUCACUUCUCAUGUAUUUGUUGAGCUCUCUUGUGAUGAGGGCUAAAUCAUCAUCUUCAUCACUUGGCUUUUCUUCUUCAAAAUCUUCUUCUUCCUUGGUUGUAGCUUUGAGGGUUAUACUCUUCUUCUUUUUGUCUUCACCCUCUUGUAGCUUCUUUGUCAAAUUGAUCUCAUAUGUCAUUAAUGACCCUAUGAGCUCUUCUAUAGGUAGCUUAGUCAAGUCUUUUGCUUCUUGAAUUGCGGUGACCUUGGUAUGCCAUUUUGAUGGGAGAGACCUCAAUAUCUUCAUCACCUUCUCGAAUUCCUUGUAGGUUUUUCCCAAAGCUUCAAGACCAUUGACAAUGUCGGUGAACCUAGUAAUCAUCUCAACAAUAGUCUCAGUUUCUUUCAUUGAAAAUAAUUCAUAGUUAUGAACAAGUAAAUUGAUUUUUGACUCUUUCACUUGAUUAGUUCCUUCAUGAGUUAUUUCAAGCAACCUCCAAAUUUCUUUAGCCGAUUUGCAUUGUCAUAUUCUAUUAUAUUCAUUUCUAUCCAUAGCACAUUGCAAAGUAAAACCGGCUUUAGCAUUUAAUUGAAAGUUUCUUCUAUCAAGCUCACUCCAUUCUUGCUUGGGUUUUGGAACCAAAACUCCAUCAACUAGUUUAGUGGAAAAAGUUGGGUCAUCUUCAAUGACAUCCCAUACAUCUAAAUUAGUUGAUUGCAAAUACCAAGUCAUUUUAGUUUUCCAAUAGGAAUAGUCGGUUCCCGUAAAGAAUGAAGCUCUAUGUUUUGAAAAAAUUUCAGCUUGGGAUGAGCUUGAUGGAAUAGCCAUUUCCUCUUAGACGAUUAAGUCUUUAGAAAAAAACAAGAGGUCUAGCUCUGAUACCAAUUGAGAAAACAAAGGCUAUACUUAGUUAAGAAAAACACCCAAAAGGGGGGAGAGGGUGGUGAAUUGGGUUUUUAAAAUCUUUUCAAUCACAACAAAUUCAAACACAAUAUAAGCAAAAUAAAGAGAUAGAGUUUAGAGAAUUCAAACUUAGGUUUAUAGUGGUUCGGCACUUCCUUGCCUACGUCCACUCUCCUCAACCUCCUAAUUGAGUGAGGGUUCCACUAACUUGAAGCUUCAACCAAGCUUCCAAUCUUCUUACACUUAGAUUCUGGCUCCAAUGGGCUCUUACACAAUCUCUUCAAGAUUCAAACCUCUUGAAGGCUUUGACACUCAGAUUUUUAUAAGAAAUGAUCCCUCAACCUAGCUUAAGGAUAGCUCAAAUACAAGACAAAGCUAGGAUGACACACAAGAGUGCACUAAAUGAUAUGCAAGUGGUGAUUUAAUGCACUAUGAAAGAAAUGAGAGCUUUUUUAUCAAGAACAGGUAGGUAGGCUAUUGAAUGCAAGUGUUCUAUUGUAAUAAAUGAAGUGGAGCUCUCAAUUUAUUGGUUUCAAAACUCGGGAGUCAAAAACAGCAAAAGGUAACCUCGUCCGGUCGAGCUAAGGGUCGACCGGUUCACUAGCCAUUGGAGCAUUUAAUGCAUGACAGGUUACCGUUGCCUUAACCGGACCUCGACCGGUCCUCGACCGGACAUCGAUCGGUAAGAGAAUCCCCUCGACCGGGAAGAGAAGGCUACUGGGAAAGAGAGAAACUUUUUGGCCUCCCUCGACCGGUCCUUGACCAGACGAGCACAACCGGUUUACCGGUUCCUUAACCGAUUGAGCUGGUUGGCCAUAGCCUCGACCGAUUGAGCCUUUUUUGCCCCGAAAACCUAUUUUUUUAAUUCCUUUCUUUUCUAACACUUAGGCAAGGUCUUUAGGUAAAUCAUUAAGCCAAUUAUAAAAUAUUUUGCCUAAGGUACAUUACUUAAAAACUCAGGUUUUAAUGAAAUCGACGUUUUAAAUAAUAAACCAAGUUUUCAAAGAUGCAUGAAAUGUGUGAAAAUCCUAAGUGCACUCAUGCAUUCAUCUUACAUUAGUUUCCUAUUAUCACAAGUCUUACAAGCGUCUCGAUCUUGUAUCCAUUUGGUCCUUUGAUGAAUUUUCGAGUUUAUGCCUGAGAUUCUUAACCAUUAAAUAAAUUAGUCACUUAACCAUGGUUUGUUAUCAUCAAAACCCGAUUAGGAGAACCCUUGGGCUAACAAUAGCAAUAUCAUUUCCAGUGUUUAUUAAAUCAUCCACACAUAAAUAAACAAUGAGCAUUUUUCCUCCAUCACCAAUUUUAACAAAAAGUGUAUGCUCACAUUUUUUAAAACCUUUCUUCAAAAAAUAAGCAUCAAUCCUCCUACUAUACCAAGCUUGUGGGGCUUGUUUUAGUCCAUAUAAAGUUUUCUUUAAUUUAUACACUUUAUGCUCAUUUCCAACCUUAAUAUAACCAAGAGGUUGAUUAAUAAAUACCUGUUAAGAAUUGAGCUAUUUUUCCGUUCACAAACUCCGUUUUGUUGAACAUGUAAGUUGCAGUGAGUUGCCUCCUGAUUCUACGAUUCUCACAAAAGUUUGCAAAUUCUUAUGAGAUGUAUUCUCCACCACAGUCUGUACAAAGAACUUUGAUUGGGCUGCCCAUGUCUUUCUCAACUAGCACUUUAUAGGUUUUAAAGGCUGUAAAAGCUUCAUAUUUCUCCUGCAAAAAAUAUACCUAAGUUUUCUGACUAAAAUCAUCAAUGAAGGUAAUUAUGUAUCUUUUACCUCCAUUUGAAGAUGGAUGUAUUGGGCCACAUAGGUCAUAAUGCACCAGCUCCAAUGCCUUCUUUGCUCUCCAUGACUUUCCUUGUGGAAAUUGAUUUUGGUGUUGUUUGCCACUACACAUUCUUCACAAACUUGUUGAGGGAAUUCAAUUUGAGGAAGGCUAGUCACCAUUUUUUUUUUAUUAUAAUGUCUUGAGUCGAAAAUGCCAAAGCCUUGCAACAUCCUCCAUCUUAGUAGAGAAGCAUAAAUUAGUAACACUAUGGAGAUACAAAGGAAACAUACGAUUGGCAGUCAUAUGGACUUGAGCAAUCAGGCCUUUCUUUGAAUCAUGAAUUUUGCUCCAAUGAUUUCUCCUCCUAUGCAUGUGUCUCUCAACCAAGCACACAUUUUCUCCCUCUGAUAUCAACUUCCAUAGUCUUGUAUUUUUGCCCACGUUUUGAGGCAACAUGUCAAAGGCGAAGGUGAAAAACUUUAUGAAAGAGGAUUUGAUGAAAACAAAAAUGUUUUUAUGACUAUAGUUAAGAAUUCACUCAAGGCUUUUAUCAUUUUUAGAUUGUCAAUUAUAUUUUUCAUCUUUUUUGGACAAUGGUUGAUGUACAAAAGGUUUUAUAGUUAAGAAUUAACUCAAAGCUUCAUCAUCGUCUUUUUCAAGGAGUUAUAUAACCUCAUAUAUUCAAGGACAUACUCUUGGUACUUAUCAAAACAAUUAAUCUUAAUCAGUCAUGAUAAAAACUCAAUUAAUCCUAGAUUGACUAUUCAAAAUAUGUGCCAUCAAUAUGCCUUUAUUACAACAAAAAUUAGUGCUUUUGAAAAAUUAAUGUUUUUAUAUAAAGGACAAACAUUCAAACUUGGUGUGCAAUUCCUCGUGACAGUAUCCCAUUUAAUUUUUAGUAUAAACAUAUUCUAUUUUCACUAUGUUAUUUUUAACAAGCUCCCUAAUAUAGUAUAAUCAAAUGUUAAUAUGCUUAGUCCUACUACGCUUAUUGAAAUCGAAGCAAUUAUUGCACUACUAUUAUCACACAAGAUGAACAUAGUAUUGCAUUUGAUUCCAAAAUCUUCUAUCAUCUAUUUAAUCCAAUUUAUUGAGUAUAAGAAUUACCUAUACUAUUCAACUUUUGUAGUAGAUAAGCAAAUAUAAUUCUGCCUUUUUCUCAUCCAUGCAACGAAGUUGCUCCUGACGUAAAAUCAACCUCUUGUAGUACUGUUUUAUAAUACAAGAAACCUAGAGUAAUAUUGUUAGUACACUAUAACCCUAAAUUGUAAGAUCUAGCAAUACAGUUGAUGAUCAUUUUUACUAUUGCGAGACGAGAUUCUUUUGGGCUUGAUUGGUAGCACAAAAACCUACACUACAUGCUAUGUCUAGCCUACUAGAUGUAAGAUACAAGAGAUCUCCAAUCAUGCUUCUAUGUGAUGUAGAUUGAUCAAUCUCCUUACUUUUUUCAUCCUUGGAGAACAUAACACUUGUUCUGACAAAGGUUCUCUCAUGUUUAGCUGAUUCCAAGCCAAACUCUUUACCAACUCUAUAGCAUAAUUGACUUCGAUAUAAAGAUUCCAUUUUUAAUCUGUCUUAUUUGCAGUCCAAGAAAGUAAAAUAACUUUUUCAUUGUGCUCAUUUCCUGAAUAAAUUCAUGUGCUUCAUCAGUUAAUGUGAAACUAAAUUUGAUGUUAUCGACAUAUACUUGGGCUACUACAAGGACACCAUCCUUUCUCCUUACAAACAAAGUCCUAUGAAAUGUAUGUCUUUCUUUAUAAGAUGGUUAAAAAAUAUUUUUAAACUUAUUUUUUACGAUGAAGAAUAAAUUUUAAUGAAAGUAGUAGAUGAAGAGUACAUGAGAAAGAAUUUCGUUUUAUAGUAAAAUUUUAUUAGAAUAAAAGGAGUUUCUUUUAUUGUGUGAAUUUUUUAUUUUUUGAAAGAAUUAAGAAUAAAAUAUAAAUUUUUUUUACUAAGAAAAAGGGUAAUAUUAAGACUAAAAUUUCAUAUAAUUUUAAAAAUAAGGGACCAUGUUUUGCUACAAGUGCAAUAUAUCUAAUUUUUUAGAAUUCAAUUAGUAAUGAGUAAUGAGAACAAAAGAAAAAGGAAUCCUAAAUUUUAUAACUACAAAUUAAGAUAUGCAUAUUAAUUAAAUUGAAUUAAAAUUAAAAUAUAAAAUUGAAUAUUAUAAUUAUAUAAGAAGAUGUGACAACAAAUAAAAUCGUUCUAAUGUGAUAUUUGAAUGUAUGUCAAGCAAGUAGCAACAUAUGUUUAUGAAAUGGCAAAAGAACAAAAUCCCUUUUUAUAAAGAUAUGAAAGUCCCCUAUUUUUCCCAAAACAGACAUUAAUUGAAGAAGAUGGCAUGUGGUGCGCCCAUUCAAAGUGACUGUUAUAUUAAGGGCUCCACAGGCUUGUUAAUGCUGCUUUGUCUCUUGCAUAGGCCCUUUUGUAUACGGUUUGGGAUAAAAGCCUGCUGGGCAUUUACAACCCAUCUUUGUUGGCCUCUUCUCAGCUUUGACCAAAUCCUAGCUUUCACAUGCACACCUGCACCAUUUCUUGUUCCUGCUCUACAGGACCGGCGAAAAUGACAACAUAUCUUGUUUUCAAAAUCAAGAGGAGUGCACCUACUAUAUUUUAUUGAGCUUAAUGUGAUUUGUCAUCAAAAUAAGGGUUUUAAGAAAAGGAACUUAUCUUAGUCUACUACAAUGUGAACAUCUUAGUUUAGAUGACACAAGUAGUACAUUCCUAUCCAACGAGAAUGAGAAUAGGAAUCUAAGUUUUCAAUGUGAAGAAUAUAGUCUAAGUCUAGGUGAUAUGAUAAGUAUAUUUCUAUCCAAUGAGAAUAUUAAAACUUUAAAAAAAAAAUGCUGCACAACACCCACAUAAUAUUUAUUUCAUCAAUACUUAGAAAACACAAACUCGAGUAGCACGAUAAGUUAUAAAAGAAACAUCUUUCUUUAAAGCGCUCUCCAAUCAUGGACAACACUCUCAAGAAGUCCCAAACGUAGAGGCAAACACAAUUUUAUUACCCUUGAUAAUAUUAUUAGGCAAGGGAGGGGGAUUGGACCAAUGCAACUAGUCCUAGAAGCAUCACUUGGCAUUUCACAUCACAGCUUUUCCUCUUUGGUGUGGUACUUGACGUUGAAGCAAUUGACGCCAACGUAAACACCAUCAUCCAUAUUGUAAACAACAUUUUUCCCGUCGGUCAAAGUGUCGUGCUGAGUGUAGGAGAAAGGGACGUCGCACGAACCCUGUGUUGCUAUCAUGCUUACGGUCACCUUAGUCAUCGCCGGCACAGUAACAUUGUACACAGUCUCCAUUGCUGUUGUCACUGAUUCAGUUUCUCCCCACUCAUAUGUACCGCUAAACUCGGAUGAAAUUUCUAACUUUCCGUCAGCGAUGAAUGGAACGCCGCUUUCCAUGGUCAUUUUGACACCCAACUUCAAUGAGACGCUGCCCUUCCAAGUACGGCUCUUAGUCUCUGUAUACGAGAGCUUCACCUGUUGGGUGUGCAGUUCUUGGGUCAUGUUAAUGGCUUCCCCGGUGGUCAUCACGAUGACCCUCUGGUCGUAGGUCCUAGCGUCCAUGAGGCGAAAAUUGACAUUAUAGAUGUUUCUUGAUAAAACAAGCUCUGCCACCUCCAGGCGUGCCUCUCUGGAAAUUGUGGAGACCCCGGCAUUGAGACAGCUGAUCUUGCCCUCGGUGGUGAGUCUCUUACAGAAAUUGUUGUUACCUAAGUUGCGGAGAGCGACCACAUUUUUGUCAACUCUAACGGGCCAAAACAAGGUAUCGGGGUUGUUGGUGGUGGAAUCAUCUGAGUCAGCCCAUAUCCAGUUAGGGCUGCGCCUCCAGAAUCUGCCGAAGUAAUCUGACUUUAUGUGGACACUUCCAUCGUGAGUGGUGAAGACCUCGUUCCCCACCGUCGGGUCUCCAAUGUCACUUGAUGCGAACUCCAGAUAUGGGUGUCCCUCGAUCGUCCGGGCACUGAGGAAGUAGCCAUUAUCACCCUUGAAGGCGAUAUGUUUUGGCAAUAGCAAUAGUGAUUCCCAAUCAAUGAUUGUACAGACAUCGCAGAGGUCGUUGUCAGGCGAAGUUGAUCCUGCAAACAAACAAGAACCAUAAGGAGGUGGAAGCCUCCAUAAGCAUGCAUAGUGUCCAAGCUGGACGUGGCGAAAUUGGAGUGUUUGAGCAUCGCCAUCCACGUAGACAGGCUCAAACAAGGUACAUGACCAUGACGAUUGGUCUUCAUCUGGUUCGUCGGCCCCGGCAACAAUCCACCAGUGGUUCUUGGACCACCUUACCCAGUAUUUGUUGUUGUAGCAGCAUCUUAUGUGCACUAGUCCCUUGCCAUUCUUUGCCAUCUCCACUUGGUACUUUGAGUAGGGGGUCACGACCUCCUCUCCCGAGAAUUGGAGAAAUCCAUG